This 153282-nucleotide long non-coding RNA is filed under the name Citrus x clementina. Its description in RNAcentral is "Citrus clementina (C. clementina) long non-coding RNA (CCLE_LNC004370)". The stretch from base 23437 to 23540 matches the Rfam family "Plant small nucleolar RNA R71". Lineage: Eukaryota; Viridiplantae; Streptophyta; Magnoliopsida; Sapindales; Rutaceae. The record is from RNAcentral.
UCUUACUUAAAUAUCUAAUUUGUCGAAAAUUUUGGGAAGACUCAAUUUCUUGUUAAUUUUCAGGUGUCAAAGUCUGGAUUUACAAAAUAUAAAUUUGAACUACCAUUAGGACUCUAGGCUGGGGUAGAAUUAUUUUUAUUCUAAUCAUAGAUCAAAUUUGGAAUUUGGAAUAUCCAAACAUCCGCACUUGAAAACUACUUCUCCUUAAAUUGAUACCAAUUGAAUUUCUUAACCUGACCAGUUUUUGUCAAUAUUUUACUAUCAAAGAUAGAGGAAGCCACAUAAAUUAGGGAAAAUCUUGGGAGGUGCCAACAGAACUGUGUCAUCGUCCCACAACAUCAGAAUUAUAUUCUGUGAUUUUCACAAUUAAUUAUCCUUAAUAAAUUUGUUAUCAGUCACCAAGAACAAAGAAUUUCCUUGUUUGAAAAAAUAAUUCCAGUGUAUGGUGCAGGUAAGAAAAUUGAGUUCUAUACAAGGUACUUAGAUUGUGCAGUGUUUAUGGCCAUGGGGGUUGGUUACUGGAAAUGAUAAAACCUACAAAAAUGUCGAGGGUUCAAAUCCCUUCUUAUACAGGGAAUGGGAAGGGAUUUGUUAUAUAUGUAUGUAAUAUUUUAAAAAAUCAAAGUUUAAAAUUAACUAGUAGUGAUAGCUUAUUUUGCAAACCAAAAGACGGGAAAUCCAGUGAAAUUUAGAACCUUAACUAAUUUUUUUCUUUUUUCCCCUCCCAAAUGAUUCCGUUUUCUGUUGCAGGUAAGCCAAAUUCUGUACGAGGUACUGAGGUUAUAUUCACCAGCACCUCUGCUUACUCGAGCUAAUGUUAAGGAGAUUAAGCUAGGAGAAAUUGUUAUACCAUCUGGAGUUUUACUUUCAUUGCCAAUAAUGCUUGUUCAUCAUGAUCAUGAAUACUGGGGCGAUGAUGCAAAAAAGUUCAACCCAGAUAGGUUUUCAGAAGGAGUCUCAAAGGCAUCGAAGAAUCAAGUUUCAUUCUUCUCAUUUGGUUGGGGUCCUCGAAUCUGCCUUGGACAAAACUUUGCUCUGUUGGAAUCGAAAUUAGCUUUAGCAAUGAUUUUGCAGAAGUUCACUUUCCAGCUUUCACCAACUUAUAUGCAUGCUCCUACUCGUGGGGUAACUGUAUAUCCACAGCAUGGUGCUAAUAUCAUUUUACACAAAAUUUAGUAUGCAUUACUAUCGCAAGUAUUCAGAAUUCUUGCCAUAUAAUAUAUGUAGAGCAAGAACUUUAUUAUUUUGAUUUACCGUUUUAAAUUUUCUCAGUACUCUUCUUUCCAAUAAAUUUAGAGUUGCAAUUUUUUUUUCUACUUAGUAUACAAAGUUGAUUAGGCCUCUUGUGGUGAAAGCAAAAAAAUAAAAACAAAUUAACCUUUCGUGUUUAAAAAAAAUAAAAAUUAAAUUUUAAAAAAAUAAAAAUUAUUUUUAAAAUGUGAGUCAAGCAUUUUUUUUUUUUUGCAAGCUCAAGCCUAGUCGAAUCUAGAGUGGGUGAAAAACAGGGCCCAAAUCUUGGCUCUAUACAUUGGACCUUAAUGAAAUCCUAACGGUCCAAUCUGGACGAAGUUCAUGCUGAGGAAAUGAGAAAUAAAUAUGACAGAUCAAUGGUUUUGAAGCGUUUAUAACACUUUUUUUAAAGGCUUUUUUUGAGUAUUUGUAGAUCGAAUUUUACAGAUUAGAUAUUAAUUUAUAUCCGAUUAAUAAUUUUAUGGAUUUUAAAUUGUCAAUCUAAUCAAAUCCAUAAAUUGGUGAAAUUCAUUUAAGACCAAUUCAUGUGUCAACAAAUCAAAUGCGGAUUUGAUCCAAUACUUAUCUAAUCCACCAUUUUACAAAUUAGUUUAAAAUUUUGUAAUUCUGUCAAAUCCACAAACUAAUUAAACAAAAAAAUUUAAUAUAAAAAUAAUUUUACUACCGAUCAAAUUCAAAAUUGAAUAAGAUUUAAAUAAAUUAAUUGUUUAAAUAAAGUUAGAAUAAAGCAUUUAGAGUUUCAAAAUAUACCACAUCGAAAAGAAAAAAAAAUCUCAUUUGUUUAAAUUAAUACAUAAAAAUUAGCUGAAAUUAUGAAAAUUAACUAUUUAGGAAUUGUUUUGUCUUGCUUGACCCAAGGAAGAGGAAUUGUUUUGUCUUACCUUUGGUUGAAUACCGAUUAUUAUUAUUUGGUGAGACCAAUUAAUUGUUUAUACAUACUUAAAAAAUAAUUUUAUCCAACCUUUUAAUUACAUUUUAUUAUAGGUAAUUAUGUAUAAACUAAAGUUAGUAUGUCGCAUACAAUUGAAAAAAAAAAAAAGAGUGCCCCGCACAUAUGACUAAUGGAAAUUAAUUAUAAGCUACCCGAAUUUUGACAUGGCUAGAUAUUUUUAAAUAAAAUAAAAUUAAAAGGCUUGUAAUUGGCCAAUUUGUUAAAAUAAUAAUUGAUGACAAACAAGUUAGACAAAUUUGUCUAUACAAAGGAUUGUGGAUGAGAGAAUUAUUUGAAAAGUCAGUCAAUCCCUUUAUAUGCAAAUUGAUGUGAUCAAGUUACAUAUAUAAAUUCUAACAAAGUGUUUGUGGUUUUACCAUUACUCAUUUAGAAAUUGUGUUCAAUUCUAGCCGAUCAUUUUAUAAAUUGUUGAAAAGCAAAAAUUUGGAAAAGUCUAGUCACAGGAGUUAACAUUUUAUCUAGAUAAAAUAGUAAUAACAAAAUAUGUUGGUUAAAAUUAGUGAAAAUAAAACAUUCAACUAAUAUUUUUUUUAAUUUUGUCAAUGCCUUAGGAAAUAAAUUACUUGGUCAUAAAAAAUACAAAGUUGUCUAAGACAAAACUUUUAGUUACUAUUUUUAGUUUUGUCACCAUAAUAACUCAUCUACGACUAAAAAACAAGAUCUUAAAAUUAUAAUAAAUCAAAAUAGCUUUAGAGACUAAUAUUAUGUGUUAUUGAUGGUUUGCCUAAAUUAACACCUGUGUUUUAGUUACAAAAUAUUUUUGUCACCUAUAAUUAUAUUUCUCGACCAUUUAUUUUGUCAUGAAUGACUUUUUCUUAAUUGGAUACGCGUAAUAUCUCUUGGAAUAAUCAUCAAUGAAAGUUAUCAAGUACUUUUCACCUCUCAGGAAUAUAUAUGGCAAUUCCCAAAUAUCAGAAUGAAUUAAGUUAAAAAUGCUUCUACUUUUGCCGCUAGAUUUGUUAAACUUGAAUCUAUGCUGCUUGUAAUACAAUGGUCACAAAACGAUGAGUUUUCCUAUUUAAACCUCGGAAGCAACUUUUGCUCAGAGAUAAUCUUUAAACCUUAUUUCGAUAUGUGGCUAAGUUUGAGAUGCCACAUUAUUGUCGAUUCUUCUUCAUUUGACGUGACACAUCAGCUUCUUGUAGUGUUUCCCCUUUAGGCAUGAAUAAAAUUAACACCGAUCUUUUCCACCUUCAUCAAUACAAAUGCGCCUUUAACAAUCUUCAUGAUCCCAUUUUUCAUAUGAGCUUUGCGUCCAAGUCACUCAAUUCGUCCUAAAGACCAUAAAUUAUUUUUCAUGCCUUUGACAUGUCGUAUCUCCUUAAUUGUGCGAACUGUACCAUCAAACAUUUUUCUUUUGACAGCACUAAUACCAGAGAUUUUUGAGUCACCCAUGUACACAUAUUCUCUUAAAAAGGUCCAUGUUUGUGGAACCAUUCUCUUUAAGAGGCCAUGUGUCAUGUUGCUCCUAAGUCUAUAAGCCAAAUGUCAGCCAAAUGCUUCCUGUCUUCUGCAAGAAUUACUGUCUCGCUGUAGAGAAUUUUUCCAUCAUCAAAAGUACUUAUUGUACAAUCAUGAGCAUUUGAUGACUUAACUUUAUUGUCUCUACUUUGCUUAUUUUUCCAACACUCUUUCUUGACAUGCCCUUUCUUGCCGUAAUUGUAGCAUUUAACAUUCUUGUUACUUCUUGAUUUUGAUAUACUAUGAUUACGACCUCCACUGGGGCCACGUUCUGUUGAUCUAUUUCUAGUCAUCGAUAAUGCUUUUGCUUGCUGCGAACUUGCCUGCCUACAUUCCUUGUUUUUUUUUUUUGUUUGCUUUCUUCAUUUAAUAUAGAGGUUACAACAUUGCCAAAGACUAGACUAUCUAUUUGGUUAUUGUUUGUUAGAUUAAUGAUGAGUUGAUCGUAUGAAUUUGAAAAGUGUAAAGAUUCCUUUUUAAGAAAAUCUUGUUUUGUAAAGACUUGUUCUCGUACAAUUUUGUAAGAGUAUCCCAUAUUUUCUUUGCUCUCUUUUUCUCUCUACACUAGAAAACACUUCAUUAGCCAGUGCUAAAUGUAGAUCCAUAGUUGCAUUACUGUCUACCUCGUUCUACUUGGCAUCAUCAGUUAUCUCCAUGGACUUUUCUCUUAUUGUUACCAUGCAAUUUUUUUUCCUCAAAAUAGCCUUCAUCUUUAUUUUCUACAACGACGAAUUAUUUUCGUUGAACUUCUCAAUUUCGUAUUUUGCGACCAUUGUUUUUUCACCACGAACUACAUUUGCUAAGAUUGGCUCCCAUCGUUUCACGUGAAUACUAACCAUAUAUGUGAACAGUACUAUAUAUGUGAAUAGUACUGUGACAACCAACUUGGCUCUAAUACCACAAUUAGGAAAUUAAUGGUGAAGCAGGGCCACAAUAAAAUGAAAUUGGAGAAAAAUAAAGAAUAAGCAUACAAAGAGGACACUAGAAAUUGCGUGAUUAAGCUUUUAACCUAUAUCUAUAGGCGAAGACAGAAGGAUAAAACUUCACUAGUGCAAAGAAGAUUAUAAGUAUUGUAAGAUUUUACCCUUACUUUCUAGAACCCAAUACACCCAAUCGCUCAAUCACUAAACUCUCAGCUUCUCGCUCUUGAUAGAAGAAACAAUUUGAAGAAAAGAAAUGAAAAUUUUUUUUUACAAAAUGGGCAUUAAUUUACAAUUUAUGGGGAACUCCCCUUUUAUAGCCAAAAUAAUCUAUUAUUUUAAUUUCUUCUUUUUUUUGUCCUUCUCAUGGCUUCUUCAACGUCGAAGCCAUAAACUGCCAUUUUCCUUCAAACUUUUUGGCGCCGAUCAUUAUUUGUCAAAUUUAACAUUUGCGGCUUCUUCAUUUGCGGCACCAGCUUCUACAUUUGAUAGCCAAGCCAAGAAGCCACAGACAGAAGAAGAAGCACUCGGUUACUAUCGAUGGUUGUUAAGCAGUCAAACAGCCAAGAUGAAAAAAAACAUUUAGGCAAUCUACGAUCUCAUUUUUUCCUUUCGCAAAAAAAUCCGUGCACGAUCCCCUCUUCAAUUUCCAAUUUUAUUAUUCCCUCUUCAUUUUUAAUAUUUUUCCCUUUGCAAAUCCUCUUUAAAAUCGUUUGAUCAAGUAGCCUAUCACUCUUAAAAAUAACCAGUUCAGGUGGUUGACUACUUGUUACUACUUUUUGAUAAGUUUCAUGGCAUGGAUUCAAAUUAAAACACAUUAGAUGCUCUCGGAUUCUCUACACUGUAAGUUACGUAAACAUAACUGAGGAAUUGCCUAAUAUAAAUUAUUUAAAAUAUAUUUUAUUAAAAGUAUCCUGUCUUUCUACACGUUUUAGAAGUUUUUGGGAUUGAUGCCAACUUAGAGUUAUCCAAAUCUUUUCUUUUUAAAUAAAUAAAUAAAUCAUUCUGCAUUUUGGUUCAUACAGAGCACAAAUAUAGCCACAAUCAAAUUCGGCAGUUAUGUUUCUCAUUUUGUAGAAAACUCUAUUGUAUAAAAUUCACUACUACAAAAUUAGUAUUUAAUGACGGUUUUAAAAGACAUAAGAUGACGGUUUUAGGCAGCGACAUUAAAAAGGGUACACUGUUUAUGACAGUUCAAAAACCGUCAUUAAAUGUAUACAUAUAAUGAUGGUUAUUUUAUUAAACAAUCAUUAUUUGAGAUAUAUUAUAGAGUUUCAAUGACAGGUUUUUCUUAAAAAUUGUCAUUAAAAAAUACCAUUCAAUGAAGGUUCUUUAAAUAACGGUCAUCAAUACUACUUUAGCAUAUAUUUUUAAUGAUAGUUUUCUUCAAAACCGUCAUUAAAUGUCAAUUUUUAAUGACGAUUUUAUAUAAAACAAUCAUCUUAUAUAGGUCUUUGAUGACCAUUCUUAUUUAAAAUUACCAUGCUUCAAUUGUUUUUUUUAGAUUAAAAUUUACAUAGUUGUUUUCACAUUCUAAACUGUACAAUUGAAGCUGCAUUGGCAAAUUUCAAUUUACAUUACACAUUGAUAUAAUUGUCAUUUACAUACAAAGAACUCAAAUACAUGCAAGCUUAAUUAUAACAGUUUAGCACUUAAAUAACCUUGAUCAAAGUAACUCCUAAUAAUGAAAAAAUAUGCUACGCGAAUUCUCAAAUUUAAAUCCUAUCAAAAACAUGGUUGGCACCACUUUUUUAGAUGGGCGGUGCCAAACCAUCAACAUUUUCAACACGGCCCGCCAUUUUUGGUGGUGCUGAAAUGCUUGAAGAAGAAAAAUGAGAAAAAAGAACAAAAGAAGAAAGAAGAAGUCGAAAGAUUUGAAAGGAAAAAUAAUAAAAUAUUAAUAGUAUUAUUUUAUUGAAAAAAAGGAAGGGAAAUGAAGCCUAUAAAUAGAAGGCUUUAAUUCCCCUCUCGGCAUCCCAUUCUUCAGUUUUUAAUCUUUUGUCAGAGAGGAAAAAUUAAGAGUCUUAAUACUCUUGUGUAAUUAGUGAGUGAGAGAUUGGGUGUAUUGGGGUUCUGGGAAGUGAGCCAAAAUAUUACAAUACUUGUAAUUUUCAUAUCACUAGUGAAAUAUUUUCCUUCUAUAUUCGCCUGUGGACGUAGGCUGAAAGCUGAACCACGUAAUUUUCUGGUGUCCUCUUUUGUACUUGUUCUUUAUUUUCUUCCAAUUUCAUUUUAGCUGUGGUCUUCCUUCACCCAUCAAUUUCCUAACAGUGAUAUCAAAGCUAGGUUGUAUUUUUUGGAGUCAGGUUGUUGUUCACGUAAAAGUACUAUUCAGAUGUAAAAUAUUGUCCACGUAUACGAUAUUGUUCACGUAUAUGAUAUUGUUCACGUAUAUGAUACUAUUCACGUAUACGGCUUUGUUCAUGUAUACAAUUACUGUUCACGUGAAACGGUGGGAGCUGAUCCUAACAAAGUUAGUUUUUGGUGAACAGUAAUGGCAGCAAAAUACGAAAUUGAGAAGUUCAACGGAAAUAAUUUUCCGUUGUGGAAAAUAAAGAUAAAAGUUGUAUUGAGGAUAAAUAAUUGCUUGACAGCAAUUGGAGAAAAGCCCACGAAGAUAACUAAUGACAAGUGGAACAAGAUAAACGGGAUCGCCAUUUCGGAUCUACACUUAGCACUUGUGGAUGGAGUAUUAUCUAGUGUGGUAGAGAAAAAGACAGUAAAGGAAAUAUUGGAUACUCCCACAAAAUUUUACGAGGCCAAGUCGCUGCACAACAAGACUUCUUAAAAAUGAGACUCUAUACUUCGAAUGACGGAAUCUACAUCAGUGACUGACCACAUCAACACCUUAAAGACUUUAUUUUCACAACUCACAAUGUUGGGUCAUAAUAUAGAGGAAAAUGUACGUGCAGGGCUCCUACUUCAAAGUCUACUAGAUUUGUAUGAUCAAGUCAUUAUCAACCUUACAAACAAUAAUCCAGCGGACAAUUUAGUUUUCGACGAUGUUGCCGCUUCCGUAUUAAAUGAAGAAAGUAGGCAGAAAAAUAAGGAAGACAGACAAGCAAGUUCGCAAUAAGCAGAAACACUAUCGGUAACAAGAGAGAGAUCAACAGAAUUUGGCUCCAGUGGAAGUCACAAUCAUGGUAGGUCAAAAUCAGGAAGUAAGAAGAAUGUCAAAUGGUACAAUUGUGGCAAGAAAGGGCACGUCAAGAAAGAGUGUUGGAGUAACCAGAAGAAAAAAGAGGGUAAAGAACCUGAUUCAUCAAAUGCUCAAGGGUGUGUAGCAAGUACCUCGGAUGAUGGUGAAAUUCUCUACAGUAAGGCAACAACUGUUUUAGAAGGCAGAAAACGACUAUCUGACGUCUGGCUUAUAGACUCAGGAGCUACCUGACAUAUGACCUCUCAAAGAGAAUGGUUCCACACAUAUGAACCUAUCUUAGGAGGAUCUGUAUAUAUGGGAGAUGAUCAUGGCUUGGAGAUCGUUGGCAUUGGUACUAUCAAAAUAAAAAUGUUUGAUGGUAUUCGCACAAUUAGGGAGGUAUGACAUGUCAAAUGCUUGAGGAAUAAUCUAUUGUCUUUAGGAAAAAUGGAUAGUCAUGGGUACAAAACUCAUGUGGAGAAUGAAAUUACAAAGAUUGUUAAAGGCGCGCUUGUAUUGAUGAAGGUAGAAAAGAUCGGUGCUAAUCUAUUUAUACUUAAAGGGGAAACAUUGUAGGAAGCUGAUGCGUGUGUUGCAUUAUAUGGAGAAGAGUUAAUGAUGAUAUGGCAUCUUAAACUUGGCCAUAUAUCGGAAUAAGGUUUAAAGAUUCUCUCUGAGCGAAAAUUACUUUCAGGGCUCAAAUCGUUAAGCUUACCAUUUUACGAGCAUUGUAUUACAAGUAAGCAACAUAGGUUAAACUUCAGUAAAUCUAUUGCUAGAAGUAAAUGCAUUCUAUACUUAGUUCACUCUGAUGUUUGUGAAUCACCAGACAUAUCCAUAAGAGGUGCAAAGUGUAUGGUGAAUUUCAUUAAUGAUUAUUCUAGGAGAUGUUGGGUGUAUCCAAUUAAGAAAAAAUCAGAUGUAUUUCCAGUGUUUAAAGAAUACAAAGCGCGGGUGGAACUUGAAUCCGACAAAAGGAUUAAGUGCUUGAGGACAAAUAAUGGUGGUGAGUAUACAGACGGCGAGUUUCAUACUUUCUGUAAGCAAGAAAGUAUUCAAAAGUAGUUCACGGUAGCAUACACUCCUCAACAAAAUGGAGUGGCAGAGCGGAUGAACAAGACUCUUACAGAACGAAUAAGAGCUAUGUUGAGAACUGCGAGUCUACCCAAUUUAUUCUGGGUAUAAGCAACAAAAACUGCCUGUUAUAUAGUAAAUCGGUUGCCAUCCACAAUAAUUGGGCUGAAGAUAGCGAUGGAGAUGUGGACUAGAAAGCCAGCUAAUUACUUCUACCUACAUGCAUUUGGAUGUCUUAUGUACGUGAUGUACAAUACCCAAGAAAGAACAAAGUUAGAUCCAAAAUCUAAGAGGUGUAUCUUCUUGGGGUAUGCUGAUGGAGUAAAGGUGUAUUGUCUGUGGGACCCUACUGGCUACAAGAUUAUCAUCAGCAAAGAUGUUAUCUUUGUAGAAGAUCAACUACAAAGGAGAGAUGAGGAUGAUAGUUGUUGUGCAAAUUUUACUGAACUCGUAAGUGCACGAAUCUAUUGUAGAAUAGAUUAAUGAUGAUGAGUGUCGAUCCACGAGGAGGUGAAUUUUAAUUGUGUGUAGAGUUAAUUUUCAUAAGGGUGGUUGGAUUUGUGGUGAAAAUGAUUUGGAAUAUCCUAAAAUUUAAAUUAGAAUGGCAGGAAUAAAUUAAAGCGGAAUCUAUUGAAAUAAAGCAUUUGGGUAUCUAUAUCUGCAUCAACAUGCACCAUGGACUAAAUAUUCCUUAUUAAUGCCAAUUAAAUUAUGAGGGGGGUUUUCACUCCUCAUGAACCACACUCUAAUCAAUAUGGUGCUAAGGGUUUAUCGUGCCAAAUAAUAAUAACCUUGUGCUAGGGAGCCGGUUAAAUCAGUGUGGUAUCUAGACAAGAUUAUUACUAUUUAUAGAUGAAAAGUCAAAAAUCCAUAAUAAUUAGAGAGGACAAGAAAAUAAAUUUACCAAAUAAAGCCCAUGACACAUGUUGAGACUUCACCUUCAACCCAAGCUUGAAAGAAAAUUAGUUACUCAUAAUUGAACUAGGGGUAAAAUGAAAAUUUAUUAAAAUACGUAGAAAAUACAAGAUGGAGAAGGCAUUACAGAAAAUGAAACUCAAAAAUGAAUUCAGGGAUCUCAAAUUAAGGGGGAGCCCCCUUUUUAUAGAUACAUUGAGUAAAUCGUGGCCAUCAGAUUAAAAAUAAUUUGGACGCUCAGGAUUGCGCCAUGUCAUCGGUCAACAGUACGCGGUUUGAAUAGUGACGCGGUAUGAACAGUGAGGCGGCUUGAAUAGUGACACAGUUUGGUUGUAAAUAAUUCUGUGUAUAUGCAUGUACCAUACACACGAUUUUUAGUCCACUAACAUGCUGCCACGUCACUGAUCAACAGUACAUAAGAAUUUUAGUCCAAUAGUAUCGUGAUACCUCAUCGGUCAAUGCCACAUCGUCGUUCCGAAUAUGUGAACAGUGUCAUGAACAGUAACAUAGACAGUACUGUACAUGUGAAUAGUGCCAUUUUUCCUUUUAUGCUCCUCAGAAGGUUUUUGACUCUCCUGAGUUCAAAAGUGAUGUCCAUUUUGUUGUCUGAUAUCUCGUUCAUUGUGAAAUAACCAUGAUGCCCCUAAAAUACAUAAAAUACUUAAUUAAAAUAAAACACACAUAAUUAAAUCACAAGAGACUUAAAUACAUAAAAGUAAGGGUGUUAGUAAGACUUGAAAUGUAAAAUGACGAUUUUCUCCUUUAUAAAUAUACACUUUCUAGUACUCAACACACCCCCCAACUAGCUUAUUGCUAGUCCCUAGCAAAUAAAGCGAAAACAAAAUUCAAAUCCAAAAUGAUUUUUUUUUUAAACACUCGUGUUUAUUCAAUUAGACUAAUGAUAGCAAUCAAAUAAAAGUAUAAUCAUUAUCUCCAGUUUAAAAAAAUAUCACUCCCACAUUAACCAUCCGUAUGAAUCAACCUAGUAGACUUUGUCACAACCACUUUUAAGAAUGACAUGUCAAACCCCAAAAUCUCACUGGAAGUAGUGACACUCUCACAAAAAAAUUAAACCCAAUAAAAAUAGUCACUCCAAUGAAUGGUAAAUUGAGACAAAAUAAUAAAGAAGUGAUAUCACACACUCCCAUCAAGAUGAAAGGAAUAUGCCCACAGCUAAAAAAUAACACGAUCUUAAGUCAAACAAAAUGCUAGGUUGAUAACUAUAGGAAAUGAGAGUUAUUACAUCAAUUCUAGACUUAAAUUAAGAUCACUUAAAGAACAAAUAAGGUGCUUUUAUUACAUUUUGGUUAUAUUUUGCAUAAACAUUCAUUUUAGUUGAGUCUUAAUAAGUUUUCUUUGAAUCAAAGUAAUUGGUGCUAAAAACAGGUGAAUAAUUGUAGGUUUUCAGAAAGUCUUAAUUCAUGAGGGAUAGUGAGACAUUAGAUGAGCAAGAGGAGGAGAGAAGAUGACUGCAAAAGAAGUAAAGCACAAUCGGGAAUAGUACAGUGUUGUAGCGGAUGUUAGAGCAAUCAGUGCUGUAGCAAUCUGGGAGCAAUGCGAGAGAAAACUUAGGCGCGGGUCAGCUGCAGAAUCGCGAUUUGCAUGUUUCCUAAUUUAACUCAUGCACGCCCAUGGACUUUGGUUUACCCUAGUUUGCAGUAUAAAAGGGAGGCGUGCACAACAUAGAAAGGUGGCAAGGAAAUUAUCAUUAGAAUAAUUAGAGAAGAGAGGAGAAGAAGAUCAGAAUUGAAGAGUGCCGUUUCGGCAACAUUGAGGAAUCUUGCAGAAUUACUUGGAUUUUUCUUUCACCGUGCUCAACUUAUAUUUAUCUUCUUCCUUUGAUUGUUCUGAUGUAUCCCGUGAACAAAAUAUUUAUGUUUGCUUUUCUUAUUCAGAAUAUGAACUAGAUCUGCUUGUAGUUGAGUGACAAACAAUCCAAUGGGUUUUUUAUUGUUCUUAUGUGCUGUUAUGUCAUUGCUGUAGCAUUUUACUUUAAUAGCUAUUAUUAAUAUAACUGUUAUUUUGGUUGACCACUCAUUUAAUAGUUCAAGUCAAGAUAAAGCCGCAAAAUGACAUGUCUUAGCGGAUAUUAUUAGAGUAUUACUUGGUCUUAAUUUAAGUUUCCUGGAUUAAGUUAUCUUGAAUCCCAUAAGGGCUAUACUUGAAGUUAAGAUUUGUGACACACUAGACAUAGGUGCUUACCUUGUAGGGUGGAGAGACUAAAGGAUCAUAAUGCCAUACCAUAAGUAGAUUAACAACUGGUCAUUGUUAAUAGAUUUAAGGGUAUGAGACUUCCAAUAAGCGAUAGCUGAGGAUUUAAAUUAAUUCUGCCCUGUGCUGCAGCACUUGCCAUAACAACUGGUGCUAACAUGAUGAAAAGUAGUCAACCCAUAAGGAGAGUUUAAUCAUUCAACUACCAUAGUUUCAAUUGAAUCUUAGACACAUUUAAUUUGGUUUAAUUCAUUACGGUAUUGUUUUACUUUAUUCUCUCACAAUCAUCAAUUACAAUAGAACCCACUCUAUAUUUGUUAACUUCAGAUUGAAUUUAGUUGCACUAUUGUGAUUGCUAUAGCAUUUCAAGUGACAUCAAUUCCUGUGGAGACGAUCUUGAAUAUUCAUCACUUUAUUACUUAUUGUGUACACUUGCACCUUGACAUCAAUAGCAUUUGAUUAUAAAAUUAACCAACAAGUUUUUGGCGCCGUUGCCAAGGAUUGAUUGUUUAUUUUUGAAGUGUGAAGUAAAUCUUGAUAGCGCCAAAUUUGACUUAAUUCAUUCUAUUUAUUGGCAGAUCAGUACGUGCAUGCGCAAAGACAGAUCUGUGGUAUUCCAAUUCGAUAUUGAGAUUGAAAGGACUGUCAGGGGACUGCGAAGAGAACAAAGGAAUUCAAAAACUGUUUCAAGCAUGAAUAAUUUGCAGGAUGUGGGAAAUUUGAACCCUUACGGGCCCUUACAACCAAUCAACAUUCAAGAAGAGCAGAAUGAACAUGCGAGAGACAGCCAGGCAAUAACAAUAUUAUUUACAUGGCUGAUGACAGAGACAGAGCUAUUAGAGAUUAUGCUGUGUUAACUCCUUAAGUUGUACACCAUGGGAUAAUCAACCUGAAGUAGAAGCUGCAAAUUUUGAGUUGAAGCCAGUGAUGUUUCAAAUGUUGCAAACAGUUGGUCAAUUUAAUGGAUUGCCAAAUGAAGAUCCUCAUCUCCAUCUUCAAUUGUUCUUGGAAGUGAGUGAUGCUUUUAAGAUUGCUGGAGCAACACAAGAUGCCUUAAGGCUGAGGCUUUUUUCUUAUUCCUUAAGACAUUGAGCAAGAGCAUGGUUAAAUUCGUUACCAUAUGAUUCUAUCACUACAUAGAAUGAGUUGGCUGAUAAAUUCCUAAUGAAAUAUUUCCCACCGAAAAAACAUGCUAAGUUACGGAAUGAGAUUACUUCCUUCCAUUAACUUGAAGAUGAGAGUUUGUACGAGGCUUGGGAAUGAUUCAAAGAACUGCUCAGAAGGUGUCCUCAUCAUGGCAUUCCUUGUUGCAUUCAGUUGGAAACUUUCUACAAUGGGUUGAAUCCAAGUAUAAGGUUAAUGGUGGAUGCUUCAGCAAAUGGAGCCCUGUUCUCCAAAUCUUACACUAAAGCUUAUGAAAUUCUGGAGAGAAUUGCGAAUAAUAAUUAUCAGUGGCUGUUGUGCAAAAUUUAUUGAAUUCGCAAGUGCACGAAUCUAUUGUAGUAUAGAUCAAUGGUGACGAGUGUCGAUCCCACGAGGAGGUGGAUUUUAAUUAUAUGUAGAAUUAAUUUUGUAUGAGGGUGGUUGGAUUUGUGGUAAAAGUGACUUAGAUUAUCCUAAAAUUGGAAUUAAAAUGGCAAGAAUAAAUUGAAGAGAAAUCUAUUGAAAUGACGUACUUGGGUAUCUAGAUCCGUAUCAACAUGCACUAUGGGCUAAAUAUUCUUUAUUAAUGCCAAUUAAAUCAUGAGGGGGGAAUCCACACCUCAUAAACCACACUCUAAUCAAUGUGGUGCUAAGGGCUUAUCGUGCCAAAUAAUAAUAACCUUGUACUAGAGAGCCGGUGAAACCAAAGCGGUAUCUAGACAAGAUUAUUAUUAUUUGUCGACGAGAAGUCAAAACAUUCACAAAAACUAGAGGGGAAGAGAAAAUAAAUUUACCAAAUAAAGCCCAUGACACAUGUUGAGACUUCACGUUCAACCUAAGCUUGAAAGAAAAUUAGCUACUCAUAAUUGAACUAAGGGCAAAAUGGGAAUUUAUUAAAAUAUAUAGAAAAUACAAGAUGGAGAAGGAAUUACAGAAAAUGGAGCCCAAAAAUAAAUUCAGAGCCAUCAAAUUAGGGGGGGAGACCCCCUUUUUAUAGAUACAUUGAGUAAAUUGUGGCCAUCGGAUUAAAAACAGUUUGGACGCUCAGGAUUGCGCCAGAUCAUCAGUCAACAGUACGCCAGUGAACAGUAACACGGUUUGACCUGGGUUGAACAGUGACGCGGUUUGGUUGAAAAUAAUCCUGUGUAAUGCAUGUUUCGUACACGAGAUUUUUGGUCCACUGAUAUGCUGCCACGUCAUCGAUCAAUAGUGCAUAAGAAUUUUAGUCCAACAGGAUCGUGACACCUCAUCAGUCAAUGCCACAUCAUCGGUCAAUGGCACGUCAUCGAUCCGUCUAUGUGAACAGUGUUGUGAACAGUAACGUAGACAGUACUGUACAUGUGAAUAGUACCGUACAUGUGAACAGUGUCAUUUUUCCUUUUAUGCUACUCCUAAGGUUUUCGACCGUCCUGAGUUCAAAAGUGAUGUCUGUUUUACCGUCUGAUCUCUCGUUCAUUGUGAAAUGACUAUGAUGCCCCUAAAAUACAUAAAAUACUUAAUUAAAAUAAAACACACAUAAUUAAAUUACAAGAAGCUUAAAUACAUAAAAGUAAGGGUUGUUAGUAAGGCUUGAAAUGUAAAAUGACGAUUUUCUCCUUUAUAAAUAUGCAUUUUCUAACACUCAAUACACCCCCCAACCAGCUUAUUGCUAGUCCCUAGCAAAUAAAUCGAAAACAAAAUUCAAACACAAUAUAUAUAUAUAUAUAUAUUUAUUUAUUUAUUAUUAUUUUUUAUUUUUGAAACAAUCUUUUUUAUUCAAUCAGACUAAUGAUAGCAAUCAAAUAAAAGUAUAAGCAUUAUCUCCAGUCUAAAGAAACAUCACACCACAUCAACCAUCCACAUGAAUUAGCCAAGUAGACUUUGUCAUAGCUACUUUCAAGAAUGACAUGUCAAACCCCAAAAUCUCACUGGAAGUAGUGACACUCUCACAAAGAAAUUAAACCCAAUAAAAAUAGUCACUCCAAUGAAUUGUAAUUGAGAGAAAAUAAUAAAGAAGUGAUAUCACAUGCUCUCACCAAGAUGAAAGAAAUAUGCCCUCAGCUUAGAAAUAAUACGAUCUCAAGUUAAAUAAAAAUGCUAGUCAACCCAAUUUAUUUAUUUAUUUUUAUUAUUUUUUUUAUGCACCACUACUUCUUUUUAGCUCAUGUAACUAUCUUUUACUUCAGACUAUAGUUCCCUAAAAUCAAGAAGGACUUUUAUUAGGACGUAACGUAGGCUAGAGACAUGGCUAACAAAGAAGGGAAAUAAGGAAAACAAAGUGUAUGUUUGAGAAAAAUGCAGAGGAAUUUUUCUUUUUUGGAAGUUACAAGGUGGAUUUCACCUAUUAUUGUUAUUUUUUUCUUCUUUUAUUUUGUAACAACAAUUUUUUUUUUGGGCAUAACUUCACUAUACAAAAUAUUUAUUUACAUUUUUUCAAACAUAAAUAGGUGAUGUAACUUGUAAGAUAUUAGGUAAUACUCCAAAUCGGAGUGGGUCAAGAUGAUAAGUUUGACAAAGAAAAGUUUUUUUUUUUAAAGGCUCAAAAGGGUUAACUAUGAAUAUUUGAUAAAAAGGAUGGCUAGAAAGGCUCAAACGGAUCAAAGAUGACCUUUCUAUCGUCUUUUAGGGCUCUAAAUAAUUUUUCAUAUCUACUAGUUAGAUGGGCCUCCAUAUGUAGCAACAAUUUUUUUUUAUUUUACGAUUUUUUUAAGGGUUAACUCAAAAGAAAUCUAGAGUUCGUGUAUAUAAUAAUAAACUGCUAAGCUGUAUAAAGAAUGGUCAAAAGGGUUACUCUCCAAGAAAAAUGAUAGGAUCAAAAACUCACUUGGUACUUAUUAUGACAUGUUCAUUCCUUCAAGCAGCUCAUAUUUGUCUCCGACAUCAACAUGUAAAGUAGCAAACAUAGUGUAACAUCACUUAAGACCAAAGAUAAUACAAAUACUAAAAUUUGAAAUUAAUCAUGUCAUCCAAUGUUAAAACAAAUCACACAAUUCUUUUUAAACAACAUUCUACCCUCCAACCUAUUCUAAACAUGAAAAGAAAAUAUGCAUGCAGAAAUGUGAAAAUGAUGCAGAAAAACUAAUUAGAAAAGUUACACUUAAAAUGAUAGAAAACAAAAAUGAUUUUUUUUUAUAACUUAAGAAGAUACGUUUCUAGAGGCACUACACUCCAUAUUCAGUCAUUUUCAACUCAAAAAAAUUAAAAAUGUAUAUUUAUAAAGGAGAAAUUAAAAAGAAGAAGAAAAAUGAACAUCAAAACAUAAUAAAGAAAAAGAAAAUGUCUUUUUUUUUUGUUUUUUUUUCAAACGAUGAAGAUGCGUUUCUAGAGUCACUACACUCCAUAUUCAGUCAUCUUCAACAUAAAAAGUUAGCAACAGUUAGUUUCUACAAUAAAAAAAAUCAGUAAAAACUUAACCAAGAUUCUACAAUUGUCGACUAUUCCUUUCUCCCAACCAGAACGAAACAUUGUCCUCAAUGUUUGAAAGGAAAGAAGUAGAGUUUAGAAGACAUCACCUGGGUGGUGCAAAACAGAAGAAAAUAUUUACAAGCGGAGGGUUAAAUCUAAUUUGUACUUCUUACUGCGGCUACUGUUACCAUCAUUAUUUGGACGCUCCAACACAAAGGUCCAGGGGUCUGGCUCCGGUCUAUAAGCUGGUAACAGAUCAAGUAGCUCAUUAGCAGUGUGAGCACAAAUAAAAAAGUUUUUGGCAUUGGAAGGAACGAAAUAGUUUUUUAUUGCAUGGUUAAGAAAUGCGAUAAAGCCAUCAUAAAAAUUAUUGACAUUUAACAAACCGAUGGGUGUCUGGUGAAUGUGCAGAUGGACCCAAGAUGCUAAUGUGAUAAGUGCCUCUAAUGUUGCAAGAUCUCCUGUAAGGAAAAUAAAAGCAUCAGCAUGAUUAAGCAUUUCAGUUAUUCUUUCUUGCAUACCUGAGACGACUAAUUCUUCUCCAGUCGGUGAGUCAGACAAACUGCCUAAAGGUUUUAGGACUCUUGGGAUGAUGCCUAACACUUGGCUUCCUCUGACAAAAGCAGCUUCUGAGACCAAUUUUUAUAACCCUCGGUUACCUUCUCCAUAUACUAAGUGUAAUUUUCUCUUUGCUAUGCUUCGACCAAGAUCAACGGCUGCCUCAACGAACUCUUUAUGUUUGCCAUAGUUAAAUCCAGAAAGCACACAAAUGUUCUUGAAUUGUCUAUUAGGAGUAGCUACCAUUGGAAUAUUUCUCAAAAAUAAUUUGUGAGUGCUUAACAAAAAGUCUUAUUUAAGAAUCUUGGUGACAGUGGAUCACAACUGUGUAUAAGGUGGCAUGUUAGUGUCAAAUAACGCGUAAAGCACAUGGCUAGCGAGUUAAAAAGGAAACAGUAAAAAGAAAAAGAAACAAUGAUAAAAUAAAAUUAUUAAAGACAAUAAUGCAAAUGAUAAAACAAUAGUGAAAUAAAAUAACAGUGAAGUAAAAGGAUAUUUACAUGUAGUUGGGACUGUGGCUCACAUCUUCCUCUGGUUUUAUGUCCAGAAAUGGCUUGAACGCCUUCUAUUGGUCGAGGAUAGGCUUCCCAUCCAGUUUUCUUAUAAGCUGGCAAAUAGGGUCGUUUAUAGUCAGAUUCCCGAGACUAUAUCGUGCAUGCUCUUUCUGGAAUAAUGGCCAUAACUGGAGAAUCGCUCAUUACACAUUAUCCAAUGGGAUGCGUUUCAAGAGACAGAAGGAUAUCAUCCAAUGACUCCUUAUUCAAACCAUCCCUAAUGAAUUGAAUCUUAUCUUCCUUAUUAUCAGACACCAUUCCUAAAGAACAUGGGUUUUUAUUGCAUCUCAUUCUAGCACACUUAUGACAAGCAACAGAAAUUCUUUGAGCUUUUCAUUUUCUUGUAUAAUUUCCUUUACCACAACCAGGCAUGUAUGCAAUAAAUUUUGGAGGUAACUCACCUGUCAAUCGUACUUUAGCUUUGAUUAACUAACAGAUGUCAGCAGGUAUGUUGUUCCUCAUGAGUAAUCGCAUACGUUCGGACCGAGCUUUAUAGAUUGUAAGGAGGGCAUUCUGAGGAAGUGAAGAGAAUCAAUUAUGAAGCUUUGCUAGAAUCUCAUUUCUGUCCAUACCUUCGCUUCAGAAUAUCAGUUAUUAUGGGAAACUGAAGUAACCGACUUGAUUGUCACGGAGUACCGUUAUCCGCCACUUCACCGGGAUAACAAACUAAAGCACACAAAUAGAAAAAUAAAUUAAAACACACAAAGAAAAUUAAAAUCAUCCUCUUAUUGAAUUUACCUCAAGCUCCAACUGGAUGUUGUAAACACUUUUCUCAAUGUCUCUGAGUUGGCUUUCUAAACCCUCAACAUAGGAUACUAACUCUGGUGGUUGCAGAGCUCAAAUACGAUGUGUCGUACAAAAUCGAAUCUGCCUUUUGAGAUGAGAUUUUACACGUUGAAGUGGUUUAAGAAUGUUCAGGAGGAACAGUUUAAGUAUGGUACUCAUGAUUAACAAUGAUAAUAAAAAAAACUUAAUGGUUAAACAAACACACUUAUGCAAAAAUAAUUUCAAUUAGCAAAAGAAUAAUAAAAAAAGAAAGAAAAAAAUCAAAUCACCGAAAAGAAAAAAAAUCAAUUCAAAUCUGGUGGGUCAUUCAAAUUUAUUUCGGUGUCUUCUCCAUGUGGUUGGUACUCUAGAUAUGACUUUAAUCUUUGACCAUUAACUUUAAACGUAACACCAUUCUUUAGGUUUUUAAUUUCAAUUGCCCCAUGUGAAAAAAAUAGUAUGAAUAAUAAAGGGGCCAGACCAUCGAGAGCGUAACUUACCUGAGAAUAUGUGCAAGCGAGAAUUGAAUAAAAGCACUUUCUGACCUGGAGUGAACGAUUUUCUCAUAAUUUGCUUGUCAUGGAAGACUUUUAUUCGUUGCUUGUAAAUCUUGGCAUUUUCGUAUGCAUCAUUGCAAAUUUCUUCAAGUUCUUCCAACUGUAAUCUUCUUUUUGAGCUGGCUUGCUGCAUGUCAAAGUUGAAUUUCUUGAUAGCCCAAUAUGCACGAUGCUCAAGUUCCACAGGUAGGUGGCAAGCUUUUCCAUACACUAGCCUGUAUGGUGACAUCCCAAUUGGGAUCUUGAAAGCCGUUCUAUAUGCCCAUAAUGCAUCAUCAAGUCUUAAUGACCAAUUUUUUCUGUCCAGCCUCACCGUCUUUUCUAAUAUGUGCUUUAUUUCUCGAUUGGAGAUCUCAACUUGGCCACUGGUUUGCGGAUGAUAUGGGGUUGCCACUUUGUGAGUGAUUGAAUACUUCGUCAAAAGAGUAUUGAAUGCUUUAUUACAAAAGUGGGCACCAACAUCACUGAUUAUUGCUCGAGGGAAUCCAAAGCGUGAAACAAUGUUGCUUUUCAAAAAUUCUAUCACCACCUUAUGAUCAUUGGCUCUACAUGGAAUUGCUUCUACCCAUUUCGAUACGUAGUCAACAGCAACCAAUAUGUAUUGAUGGCCAAAAGAAGGGGGAAAGGGUCCCAUGAAGUCGAUACCCCAUACAUAAAAAAUCUCAACCACUAAAAUUGGAUUUAAUGGCAUCAUAUUCCUUCGUGUAAUGCUCCCCAUUCGUUGACACCUAUCACAUGAAGAACAAAAAGUGUAAACGUCUCGAAAUAUAGUUUGCCAAUAGAAACCACAUUGUAAAACUUUAGUAGCUGUUUUCUUAGCACUGAAAUGACCUGCACAAGCUUGUUCAUGACAGAAUGAAAGGAUAUUAUGAAUUUCACUUUCUGGGACACAUCGCCUAACAAUUUGAUCUGCAUAAUACUUGAACAAAUACGGGUCAUCCCAAAAGAAAUUUUUUAUUUCCACAAAGAAUUUAGCCUUGUCUUGCUUGGUCUAAUGCUCUGGAAGUUGACAUGUAACAAGAUAAUUAAUGAUAUCAGCAUACCAUGGUAAUACUUCCACACUCAUCAAUUGUUCAUCUGGGAAUGACUCAUUCAAUGGUAAUGAUUCCAUAAUUGUGUCAAAGUGGAGACGAGAGAGAUGGUCAGCUACAACAUUCUCUGUGCCUUUCUUAUCUUUAAAUUCAAGUCGAACUCCUGCAAAAGUAACACCCAACGAAUUAGUCUAGCUUUUGCAUCUUUCUUUGUGAGAAGAUAUUUAAGAGCAGCAUGAUCUGUGAACACAAUUAUUUUACAACCAAUGAGAUAAGAUCGAAAUUUUUUCAAUGCAAACGCUACUACUAUCAUUUCUUUUUCAGUAGUUGAAUAGUUCAAUUGUGCAUCAUUCAAUGUCAUACUAGCAUAAUAAAUAACAUGGGGAAUUCGAUCAACUCUUUGUCCUAAUACUGCUCCUACUGCAUAAUCAGAUGCAUCACACAUGAGUUCAAAUGGUAAGCUCCAGUUUGGGGCCUGAAUGAUGGGUGAUGAUGUCAACAACUGCUUUAAUUUUUCAAACGGCACAAGACAAGAAUCAUUAAAGAUAAAAGGUACAUCCUUAUCAAAUAAAUUGCAUAAGGGUCUAGAAACUUUGCUAAAUCUUUAAUGAAACGUCUAUAGAAACCAACAUGUCCAAGGAAAGAUCUUACUUCUCUGACUGUUUUGGGUGGAGGAAGAUUAGAAAUAAGAUCCACUUUGGCUUUGUCUACCUCAAUACCUUUGCUCGAAAUGAUGUGACCGAGAACAAUACCUUGUUUUACCAUAAAAUGACACUUCUCCCAAUUUAAGACUAAGUUCUUCUCGCUACAUCUUUGCAAAAUUAGUGUUAGAUGAUGUAAACAUUUAUCAAAAGAGUCACCAAAGAUAGAAAAAUCAUCCAUAAAAACUUCAAGGAAUCGUUCAACCAUAUUAGAAAAAAUGCUCAACAUGCAUUGUUGAAAUGUAGCAGGUGCAUUAAAUAAUCUAAAUGGCAUUCUCCUAUAUGCAAAUGUGCCAAAAGGGCAAGCGAAAGUAGUUUUCUCUUGAUCUUUUGGUUCUAUAGGAAUCUGAUUAUAUCCUGAGUAGCCAUCUAGAAGGCAAUAAAAUUCAUGGCCUACCAAUCUAUCAAGCAUUUGAUCGAUAAAUGGUAAAGGAAAAUGGUCUUUACGUGUGACAGAAUUCAACUUUCUAUAAUCAAUGCGUACACGCCAUCCUGUUGUCACUCUAGUUGGUAUUAAUUCAUUAUCGGCAUUCAUAACUACUGCGACUCCUGAUUUUUUGGGGACAACUUGUACAUGAUUGACUCAUGAACUAUCAGAAAUUGGGUAAAUGAUACCUGCGUCUAAUAGCUUAAGGACUUCAGUUCUAACAAAUUCUUUCAUAUUAGGAUUUAACCGACGUUGCAUUUCCCUAAUAGGUUUAACAUUUUCAUCAAGGUGAAUGUAUGCAGUCUACUAGGUUUAUACCUUUAAUGUCUGCUAUGAUCCAUCCUAAUGCUCCUUUGUGCUUUUUUAAAACAUCCAACAACUUAUAUUUUUGUUCGUCAUUUAGAGAUGAGGAGAUGAUUACCGGUAGAGUACUUUCUUCUCCCAAAAAUGCAUAUUCCAAUAUGUUGAGUAAUGGUUUGAGCUCGAGUUUCGGUGGUGAUUCUGAUGAUGAGAUGGGUUUCUUUUCUGAUGGUGCUAGUUGUUCAACUCUUGACUUCCAUUUAUUAGUGUCCAUGGAUGGUGCUGAGUCAAAUAGGGCAUUGACCUCAUCGACCGAUCUGUUAAUAUCAAAAUCCAAACCAAAGUGAGUUAAACAUGUUUGUAAAGGAUCAUCACUGAGGUUUGAAAGAAAAGUGUCAUCAACUAAUGCUUCAAUUAAAUCCACAUCAACAAUUCCAUCAUCUGCAUUAUGAGGUUGUUUGGCAAUGUUGAAGAUGUUCAGCUCUAUAGUCAUGUUGCCGAAGGAGAACUGCAUAUUUCCAGUCCUGCAUUGAAUGUGAGUAUCAGCAGUUGCCAAGAAAGGUCGGCCUAGAAUAAUGGGGAUGUGCUUCCUUGAAUCUUGUAUUGGUUGAGUGUCAAUUACAAUGAAAUCAACAGGAAAAUAAAACUUGUCUACCUGGAUAAGCACGUCCUCCACAAUACCACAAGGUAUUUUCGUGGACCGAUUUGCAAGCUGUAACACCACUGGAGUUGUGUGUAAUUCUCCAAGUCCAAGUUUCAAAAAUACUGAGUAAGGCAACAGAUUUACACUAACUCCUAAAUCCAACAAGGCAUUCUCAAUUGUGUGGUUCCCUAUGCUACAUGAGAUAGUAGGGGAGCCUGGGUCUUUGCAUUUUAGAGGAAUUUUAUGUUGGAGGAUAGAACUAACGUUUUCUGUUAAAAAUGCCUUCUUUUGAACGUGAAUAUUUCUCUUUUUAGUACAAAGGUCUUUAAGAAACUUGGCAUAAGAUGGAACUUGUUUUAUAACAUCAAGUAAAGGGAUGUUAACACUUACCUGUUUGAAGAUUUCAAGAAUCUCACCUGUGGAUUUUUCCUUCUUUCCUUUAGUUAACCUCUGAGGAAAUGGAGCUUUGGGAACAUAUUCUCGUGAGUUGGUUUAUUCUUUCUCUUCCAAUGGUGAGUCCUCAACAUUCAUAGGUAUAAUUUGAUUUUCUUUUGUCACCGGCAUCUCCACUUUGUUGUCGACUUCUUUUCCUUUUCGCAAGGUCAUGACUGCUUUGACCUCUCCAUGCUGCUGUGGUGAACUGGUACUUGCUUCAUGCACUCCUUUAAGAUUAGGCACUGGUUGACUUGGAAACUUGCCUUUCUCAACAGUCAUUGCCAAGGUCUGAACUGAAGAGGCAAGCUAUUCUACCAUCUUCUCGAGGCUUGAAACUAAUUGGGCUUGUGAGUUGAAGCCUGCUCUUAACUCAUUUCGUAGUCCAUCAAUGGUGCGGUUCUGUUGCUCAAUCGUGGAGUGAGUAACAUUCUUGAAAUUCUGGAAUGCAUCCUCCCAUGGUCUUGGUUGAGAGUAAUUCUGAUUUUGAUUGUAUGGUCUAAAUGAUGGCUGAGAGGCUUGAGGAAUUUGAGGAAUUGGUUGCAUUGGUAGAGUUGGAGCUGCUGGUCCAUUCUGUUGGAAUCCUUGAGACCAUGAAAAAUUGGGGUAGUCUCUCCAUCCAGGGUUAUAUGUGUUGGAGUAUGGGUUGUAAUUUGAUGGUUUUCUCAUUACACCUACGGCAUUGGCUUGAUCUAAGUAUGAGUCAUGGUCAUGUGACUCUGUUGAUUUAGCAGUCGAUAACGAUGUUAUUUGUCGAGAUAGACCUUCAAUUAUUGCUUUGACUUCAUUAAUUUCUUAACUUGAUUCGCCAAUGUGAAACUCAUUUACUCCCUUAAUUCUUCUAGUAUUCCGGAGUGAUCGACUCCGUUGUUAGGAAUUAUCCGCUUGUCGCUGGAAGAAUUCCCAAAUCUCUGAUGCACUUUUUGACAUUAGCUCUCCUCCACUUGUUGCCAUUAGCCAUUCUUGCACAUUCGGCAAUAAUCCCUCUAAAAAGUAUUGGCAUUGAUGCCAUGUCUCAUACCCAUGAUGUGGACACUUUAAGAGUAGCCCAUUGAAUCGCUCCCAUGUUUCGAAAAACUGCUCGUCAUCUCUCUAGGUAAACUCUGAAAUUUCCCUGCGAAUAGCAUUGGUUUUAUACACUGGGAAAUAUUUAUUUAAAAAUUUAGUUACCAUUUGUUCCCAUGAUGCAAUGCUAUUAGCAUGCAAUGUAUUAAGCCAUGAACGAGCUUUAUCCUUUAAAGAAAAUGGAAAUAGUCUAAGUUUUACAUCAUCAUCUGAAAAUUUCUCAUAUUUAAAUGUUUGACAAAUAGCAUGAAAAUUAUUUAAAUGAUUAUAUGGGUCCUCAUUUUCUAGGCCAUAGAAUGUUGGGAGACAAUUUAGCACACUAGGUUUUAGUUCAAAACUCCUAGCAGCUACAUUUGGGUAUCUUAUGCAUGAUGUGCUCAAAUUACCUAAAGGACUGAAGUAGUCCUUAAAUGGCUUCUCUUGUGGCUGCAAAUCCAUUUUAUUUUUAACUUGUUUGUGUGUGUGAAGUGUUUUCUCAAGUUAGAGGUCUAUAGGUUCAAGAUUAGGUAAUAAUGACCUUCGACCAUGCAUGCAAAAUAAAUAAAAUAAAAAUAAAGAUGGGAACAAAACAAAUAAAAAUAAAGAAGAGGGAGAAAUUAGGAUACUAACCUUAUUGCGCUAUUACAACCUUACUAUAAAAACACACUAAAAAAAAAUACGUGAAAAUAAAUUAACUAAAAAUUACAAAGAAAAAUAACUUAAAAAUUAAAUUGCAGAAUUGUAAAGAAUAGAGAAAGAAAAGAAAUACUAACCUCUAAAUAUAUAUUCAUUUUUUUCUUUUUUUUAAUAAGAAAAAAUACAAGAAAACAAAUAAAAGAAAUUAUUGACAAAAAUUAAUUCUACAAAUUGAAAUAACUUACAUCCCCGGCAACGGCGCCAAAAACUUGUUGUGCAAAUUUUAUUGAACUCGCAAGUGCACGAAUCUAUUGUAGUAUAGAUCAAUGGUGACGAGUGUCGAUCCCACGAGGAGGUGGAUUUUAAUUAUAUGUAGAAUUAAUUUUGUAUGAGGGUGGUUGGAUUUGUGGUGAAAGUGACUUAGAUUAUCCUAAAAUUGGAAUUAAAAUGGCAAGAAUAAAUUGAAGAGAAAUUUAUUGAAAUGACGUACUUGGGUAUUUGGAUCCGUAUCAACAUGCACCAUGGGCUAAAUAUUUCUUAUUAAUGCCAAUUAAAUCAUGAGGGGGGAAUUCACACCUCAUGAACCACACUCUAAUCAAUGUGGUGCUAAGGGCUUAUCGUGCCAAAUAAUAAUAACCUUAUAUUAAAGAGCCGGUGAAACCAAGGCGGUAUCUAGACGAGAUUAUUAUUAUUUGUCGACGAGAAGUCAAAACAUCCACAAAAACUAGAGGGGAAAAGAAAAUAAAUUUACCAAAUAAAGCUCAUGACACAUGUUGAGACUUCACCUUCAACCCAAGCUUGAAAGAAAAUUAGCUACAUUGAGUAAAUCGUGGAAGAAAAUUAGCUAUAUUGAGUAAAUCCAAAAAUGGAUUCAGAGCCAUCAAAUCAGGGGGGAGACCCAUUUUUUAUAGAUACAUUGAGUAAAUCGUGGCCAUCGGAUUAAAAACAGUUUGGACGCUCAGGAUUGCGCCACAUCAUCAGUCAACAGUACGCAGUUUGACCACGCGGGUGAACAGUAACACGGUUUAACCCGGGUUGAACAGUGACGCGGUUUGGUUGAAAAUAAUCCUAUGUAAUGCAUGUACCGUACACGAGAUUUUUCGUCCACUGAUAUGCUGCCACGUCAUCGAUCAACAGUGCAUAAGAAUUUUAGUCCAACAGGAUCGUGACACCUCAUCAGUCAAUGCCACAUCAUUAGUCAAUGCCACAUCAUCGAUCCAUCUAUGUGAACAGUGUCGUGAACAGUAACGUAGACAGUACCGUACAUGUGAAUAGUACUGUACAUGUGAACUGUGCCAUUUUUCCUUUUAUCCUCCUCCUAAGGUUUUCGACCGUCCUGAGUUCAAAAGUAAUGUCCGUUUUGCCGUCUGAUCUCUCGUUCAUUGUGAAAUGAUUAUGAUGCCCCUAAAAUACAUAAAAUACUUAAUUAAAAUAAAAUACACAUAAUUAAAUUAUAAGAAGCUUAAAUAUAUAAAAGUAAGGGUUGUUAGUAAGGCUUGAAAUGUAAAAUGACGAUUUUGUCCUUUAUAAAUAUGCAUUUUCUAACACUCAACAGUGGCCAUCAACCAGGUAACCAGCAGCAAGAGGAUCAACAGGGGUACAUAACAUAGAUGCAAUUACAGCAGUAGUGACAUCAUUGACUAACAUGGUAAAGGCCAUGACAUCUGCUCCAGCAGUAGUGAAGCAAGUUGCUGAACUUUCUUGUGUAUACUGUGGUGAAGAACAUGACUUUGAUAAUUGUCCUAGAAAUCCAGCAUCAGUAAACUAUGUAGGUAAUUUCAAUCGACAGCCUCAGAACAACCCAUAUUCAAAUACUUACAACCUUGGAUGGAAACAACACCCAAAUUUCUUAUGGAGCUGUCAGAAUCGAAAUGCUCCAGCAGUAAAUGGACAAAAUAGGAACACUCAAUCAUCUGGUUUUCAUCAGUAGAGUUAGGGACAAAAACAUAUCAGUUAGGAUCCAAUCACUUCAUUGGGAAGCACUGAUUAAGGAAUACAUUGCAAAGAAUGAAGCAAUUGUGCAGAGUCAAGCUGUAUCCUUGAGAAAUCUAGAGAACCAAAUGGGACAACUUGCUACAGCAAUGAGUAGCAAAACUCAAGGAAGCCUACCUAGCAACACAGAAGACCCUAGGAGAGCGAGCAAAGAACACUACAAAGUAAUUAAUUUGAGAUCUGGAAAGAAUAUUGAUAUCCCAGUUGAUGUGACCAAAAAUGGAAUGAAAUUCAAUUCAUCACAAAAACCACCUCAAAAUGGAAGCGUGUUACAACAAUCCCCCCAUCAAGACACUGGUUACAUGGGCCAAGCUACAAAAACUGCAGAAGGAAUUCAACCAGAACAUGCUGAAAAAGAAGUUGCAACACCAGUAGCCACGACCUACACCAAACCAAAGAAAUAGAGUUUGGUACCUCCUGAAGCUACCCAGCAGUUUAGACAUCCACCACAUUUCCCACAAAGGUUCCAGAAGCAAAAACAAGACAAGCAGUUCAGCAAAUUCCUAAAAGUGGUAAAACAAUUACACAUAAAUAUACCUUUUGUGGAAGCUUUGGAGCAAAUGCCAAAUUAUGUGAAAUUUUUAAAAGACAUUUUGGCACGAAAGAAAAGGUUAGGAGAAUUUGAAAUUGUUGCUUUAACACAGGAGAGCAGCCAUAUGCUCCAAAGUAAGAUUCUUACAAAAGUGAUGGAUCUAGGAAGUUUUACAAUACUCUGCUCUAUAGGAACUAGGUAUGCUAGUAGAGCACUUUGUGACUUGGGAGCUAGUAUUAAUUUGAUGCCAUUGUCUGUAUUUAAGCAGCUGUAAGUAGGAGAAUGUAGACCAACAACAUUCACUUUGCAAUUAGCUGACAAAUCUCAUGCAUAUCCUGAAGGAAAAAUUAAGGAUGUACUGGUGAAGGUGGACAAAUUCAUCUUCCCAGUAGACUUCAUUGUACUAGACUUCGAAGCUGAUAAAGAGAUACCCAUUAUACUUGGAAGACCUUUUCUAGCAAUUGGAAAGACUCUGAUUGAUGUGCAGAAAGGAGAGCUCACCAUGAGAGUGAAUGAUCAGCAAGUCACAUUUAAUGUACUAGAGGCUAUGAGGAGCCAUGAUGAAGUAGAAGAUUGUAAUUUCCUAAGUGUCGUGGAUUUUGUUGUAGCAGACAGAGUGGACAGAUGCUGUAGUAAUGAAAUCAAUAAAGUCACCACCUUUGAGGAUGUAGAUGGGGAAGAUGUUGCAGCAAAUCAGAUAGAUUAGAUGGAAGAAAAGUAAUCUGAUAGGCACAAUAGGUUUAUUGAGCAUCUGAAUCUUUCAAACAGGGAAGUAAAAACAACUUUACCAUCUAUUGAAUCACCUCCUAGUCUUGAAUUAAAAGUGUUACCUUCAUAUUUGAAGUAUGUUUAUGUUGGUCAAAAUAACACACUCCCUGUAAUCAUUUCUUCUACUUUGGAUACAGGUCAAGAACAUAGUCUAGUAGAUUUGCUUGGAAAAUAAAGAAGAGCAAUUGGAUGGACCAUGGCAGACAUCAAGGGGAUAAGCCCAUCAAUAUGCAUGCAUAAAAUCCUGUUAGAAGAUUGCUACAGCAAUUCGGUGGAGCACCAGAAAAUGUUGAACUCUAUUAUGAAAGAAGUGGUGAAGAAAGAAAUCAUCAAAUGGUUGGAUGCUGGAAUCAUAUGCCUAAUAUCAAACAGUUCGUGGGUGAGCCCAGUUCAAUGUAUUCCAAAGAAGGGAGGGAUAACAGUAAUAGCUAAUAAGAGGGAUGAACUUAUUCUUACAAGGACAGUGACUCGAUGGAGAGUAUGUAUGGAUUACAGGAAGCUCAACAAAGCCACAAGGAAAGACCACUUCCCACUUCCAUUCAUAGAUCAGAUGGUGGACAGACUUGCUGGAAAAUAAUACUAUUGUUUCUUAGAUGGGAUUCAAGCUACAACCAAAUUGCUAUAGCUCUAGAGGAUCAGGAGAAGACUACAUUUACUUGUCCUUAUGGAACAUUUGCCUUCAGAAAAAUGCCAUUUGGGUUGUGCAAUGCUCCAACAACUUUUCAGAGAUGCAUGAUGUCUAUUUUUUCUGAUAUGGUAGAGCAGACUUUAGAAGUUUUCAUGGAUGACUUCUCAGUUUUUGGAGAGACAUACAAUGAUUGUUUACCUAACUUAGAAGAAGUUCUUAAAAGAUGUGAGAUGACUAACUUAGUACUCAAUUGGGAGAAGUGCUAUUUCAUGGUGCAAGAAGGAAUAAUGUUGGGUCAUAAGGUAUCAAAGAAUGGUAUUGAAGUAGACAAAGGUAAGAUAGAGGUAAUCGAUAAAUUGCCACUUCCAACUUCAAUAAAGAGUAUUAGGAGUUUUUUGAGUCAUGCUGGAUUUUACAAAAGAUUUAUUAGGGAUUUUUCCAAGGUAGGUAAAUCAUUAUACUCAUUGCUGGAAUAUGACAAACCAUUUCACUUUGACAAAGAUUGUCUUCAAGCAUUUGAAGAAUUAAAUAAAGCUCUGAUCAAUGCUCCAGUAGUUAUAUCUCUAGACUGGACUUUACCAUUUGAACUGAUGUGUGAUGCUAGUGAUCAUUAUGUGGGAGCAGUAUUAAGGCAAAGAAAGGAUAAGAUUUUUCACUCCAUAUACUAUGCAAGCAAAACUCUUACUCAAACUCAAAUCAAUUACACCACUACAAAAAAAGAAUUGCUAGCAGUAGUAUUUACUUUUGACAAAUUUAGAGCUUACUUUGUAGGUGCUAAAGUGACUGUAUGCACAAACUAUGCAGCCAUCAAAUACUUAAUUUUAAAGAAUGAUGCCAAACCAAGAUUAAUCAGAUGGAUCUUAUUGCUUCAAGAAUUUAAUCUGGAAAUUAAAGAUAGAAAGGGGACUGAGAAUCAAGUAGCAGACCACCUGUCACGGCUGGAAGCAGACAUUAGUACAUUGACAAAAAGGGACAUCAUUGAAACUUUUCAUGAUGAACAGCUGUUGGCAGUACAGCAAGCACAGAUGCUGCAGCAGUCAGGAUCUCCAUGGUAUGCAGAUUUUGCUAACUACUUAGUAAGUGGGAUGCUACCACCUGAGCUGAAGUUUCAGGAGAAAAAGAAAUUUCUUCAUGAUGUUAGAAGCUAUCAGUGGGAUGAUCCACAUUAAUAUAAGUUAUGCUCAGAUCAUAUAAUAUGAAGAUGUGCUUCAGAAGGAGAAAUCCCCCAUAUAUUGGAGUCAUGCCAUGCUGCAGCAUAUGGAGGACAUUUUGGUGGUCACAGAACAAUUGCUAAAGUUCUGCAAUCAAGUUAUUACUGGCCUACUAUUUUUAAAGAUGCUUAUGAAUUUGUUAAAUGUUGUGACAGGUGUCAAAGGACAGGAAACAUAACUAAAAGACAUGAAAUGCCAUUGACUAACAUUCUGGAAGUUAAAGUUUUUGAUGUCUGGGGAAUAGAUUUCAUGGGACCUUUCCCACCAUCCUUUGGGAACUUAUAUAUCCUUGUUGCUGUGGAUUAUGUCUCCAAGUGGGUAGAAACUGCAGCAUUACCUACCAAUGAUGCUAAAACAGUGGUGGCUUUUCUUCAGAAAAAUAUUUUUUCCAGGUUUGGCACUCUUAGAGCAAUUAUUAGUGAUGAGGGUACUCAUUUUUGCAACAAAGUCUUUGCUACAGCUAUGGUAAAAUAUAGAGUCAGACAUAAGGUAGCAACAUCAUAUCACCCACAAUCCAAUGGUCAGGCUGAAGUGUCCAACAAAGAAAUUAAAAAGAUCUUAGAAAAAGUGGUGAACCCAACAAGGAAGGAUUGGUCUUUGCAGUUACAUGACUCUCUAUGGGCCUACAGAACAGCAUACAAAACUCCACUCGGCAUAUCUCCUUACCGAAUUGUUUAUGGAAAGGCUUGUCAUUUGCCACUAGAGCUAGAGUAUAAAGCACACUGGGCACUGAAGAAAUUAAAUUGGGAUAUUUAUGCUGCAGCAGAGGAAAUGAAGCUUCAACUUUGUGAGCUUGAUGAAUUACUGCUAUUUUCAUAUGAAAAUGCAAGAAUCUAUAAAGAGAGGACAAAACACUGGCACGACAAGCAUAUUCAACACAGGCAAUUCAGCCUUGGUCAAUUAGUAUUGCUCCACAAUACAAGACUAAGAUUAUUUCAGGGAAAGCUAAAAUCACAACGGUCUGGCCCUUUUAAGCUGUUAAAAUUUCAUCCUUAUGGAGCUGUUGAUUUUCUAGAUGAACAAACAAGUCAAGAAUUCAAAGUUAAUGGACACAUGAUUAAACAUUACAUACACUCAGUGGCAGAUUGUUUAAAGGAGGUGUUACUCCUUAUAGAACCCAAUUAUUGAGCAAUGAAGAAGGUCAGGCUGAAGGACCUUAAAUCAAAUGCUCAAUGGGAGGCAACCUAUUGUGGAGACAGCCACCUCAAACCAAGUUUGAUCUCCUUUGGUUUUGUUGACAGCUCUCCCUCUUUUUCAUUUUAUUUAAUUUUGUUCUUCCAUUCUAGCUAUUUAGUUUUAUCCUUUCACAUUAUUGCAUUCUUUACUUUUGCUAUCAUUUGAUCUCUUUAUUUUUUAAUUAAUUUUAGAAUUCAUUUUAGUUUUUAUGGGAAGUAUGUAUGGCAAUUGAAUUCCAUAUUGACAAGUGAGCUUGUAUGGUGGCAGAGUGCAGAGGUGAGCCACGUGUAAGAGGGUAUUGGCGUGGAGUAUGUAACCAUUGCUAGAGUAAGUGAAUGGGUGCUGCAGCAACCAAUUUUACCGUUAUAGUAAAUUAAAAAUUGGAGCCUCUCACUUACCGUUGGAGAUAAAUCAUGACAGAUGGAUGCAUGGCUUUGGAUAGCAAUUGCGAAAAACUCUCCGAAAUUAAUGCGUUAAUUUCGCUGGCCUAUGUUUUAGGGAUAUGCACAUUAAAUUCAAAAAAUUUUCUUCCCUCAUUUAUCUUUAGUUACCAGAUUUAUCUUCAAUUAAAGUCCACUAUAAAAGGGAGUCACUUUUCGUAGUGAUCUACGACACUAUUCCCUAUCUCCUUCGCAAGUACAACUCUCAUAAUUCUCAACCUCUUCUUCUCAUUUUACUCUCAAGGACAUUAGCCUCAAUUUGUUACUGCUACAGCAAUGCCAAGAUAUAAAAAAAUAGCCAGCCACCUCAAAGAUCCUUCACACUUCUAGAGUUACCAAGCCGAAAAAAAUAUGAAGAAUUCAUAGAGCCGCGUAAGAUUCUAGAAGAAAAAGGGUUUCAAUUUCCAGAAUGACUUACCGGAAUUGUGCAAACAAUACACAAUGCUGCACCAAAGCGUGGAUGGUUGGAAUUUUGCAACCACCCUCGAGAUCCUAUGCUACUAGUAGUCAAGGAAUUUUACGCCAAUUUGGUAAGCCAUUAUCAGCACAACAUUUGGGUUAGAAACACACUGGUUCCAUUAGACUCCCGCGUUAUAAAUGCUUUCUAUAAUUUACUUGCUGAAAUUAAUUGGGAGUAUGCCAAAUUGCGUGAUAAAUUGACCUAAAAAAAAUGGAACACCAUCUUCACAACUCUUACAAUUGAAGGGGCAUCAUGGGCUAACGAGGAAGGGCGUGUGGUUAAUAGGAUAGAUUUGAAACCUAUUGCUAAGGUGUAGGUGAAAUUUCUGAAAUCUAGGCUUAUGCUAAGUACUCAUAUUACUACGGUUUCACAAGAAAGGUUGGUCUUGUUAUAUGUCAUUAUUUUAGGGCUUCCCAUAGAUGUGGGUAGUAUCAUCGAAAAAGAAAUCAAGGAUUGUGCAGUUAAGAAUCACAAAACUGUUGCCCUGCUAUUUGCUUCUCUCAUCACUAGCAUCUAUGUAGUAUCCGGUGUUCGUCUUGACGCGAGAGAUGACCAUGUCAAGAAUGAUGGUGCCUUCACGACACGUACCAUUGAGAGAGUUGCUGGUGAGAGUGCUAGAACAACAACUGAACCAACUGCUGUAACAGGAGCAAGACGAGCUAUUGGUUUAGAAUAAACAAUCCAAGCGCUUAGCACUAGUAUAACUCAAUGUUCUGAAGCUCAGCAGAGGGAAAACGAUCGGUUUUGGAGCUAUCUACAGCACAUGGACAACCAACUACACCAAUUUACUCUAUACAUGAAACACACUCACCGGAACUUCCCUGAUUCAUUGCUCCAACAGUACAAUUUUGACACCAACACCACAUGUGCUCCAGCAGAAGCCAGUGAAGAAGCCACUGCCACAGAUGAACCAGAAGAAGAAGCUGCAGCCGAACCACAAGCAGGGGUAGAAUCAGAAGAUGCUGAACCAUCUGAUCAACCUGAGGAAGAAGGUGACAAGUUUGCGACUGAUAGCUCACCCACAGAGGCAAAGGACAACUUUGAGAAAGAACAUGAGGAACCUUCCAUCCCAACUCAUUCCAAAACCAGGAAAAGGCACAUUACUCAAGAAGAGGAAGAGGAAGACCCUGAAGAUGAACCUUCCAUUCUAGUCCUUGCAGGCAAGGGCAAGGCAAAAAUAACAACACCUCUAGCCUCUGAAGAUGACAUAGAGCUAGUGGAUGCAGAGCUGGCUACUGUAGCAACCAGAGUUACACCUACACCUGCAGAAGCCAAGCAGCUACUUGAUAUUAUUGCUGUCAUCACAGCUAAGGGCCAAGCAGCUGAUGCAUCAACUCCAAUUCCUCCACAGCAAACUCCUAGCCAAUCUGGUCGUACCAGUUUGCGACAAUCUAGUAAAAGAAAGGCAGUGCGUUUAAAGGCACUGUUACAGCAGCCUCGCCACAACCAUAACAGACCAUAUCAGUGUCCACCACGCAACCUACCCCAGCCGUAACUCCUCUGGCCAGCCCAGUGACGAAAAAGACAAAGACAUUGCCAGCUACUUCCCCACAAGUUUUACUAAAGGAUAAGCUGUGCAGUGCAUCCAAGAAGCACUGAUAUCAUCCCAUCAUGUGCAGCAGUCCCAACCACAUGGAAGUAUUCCUUCCUUGCUAGUUAAUUUCUUUCAUAAAAAAAAAAAAUUCUUUCAGUAUGUUUUUUCAAUUUGUAUGGUAUUCUCUAAUGUCUUCCAUGUCCUUGUCAAAAUUAUGUGACUUCAUUGUGGAUGCUUGUGAGGACACAACACCUCUCAAGUUGUGGGGGUUGUGUUUGUGUUUAUGCUUAUGCUUGUGGUGUGUGUGUUGCGUGAAGCUCUGUUAUCUCAUAUUUGUGUAUGGAUUUGAAAACCUAAUGAAGAUAAAUUAAGUGUUAUUCAGUAUUUAUGAGAAUGCCAAGUAGAGAUAGUUAUAGAUAGAAGUGAAAUGGCUUAAGUUACUGAGUAACCAGAUCUGAGUAUGUACCCCAUAUGCAGAAUUGUGUUCAAAGGUAGCGAAAGUUAUGAGCAAUGUUGUAACAUAUAUAUAUAAAAAAAAAAAGAAGUCCUCUGUCUAAGGCAUUGAGUAGCCAGGUUUGUUCAUGAGCUCCAUGCUCAGCCUUGAGUAAAAGAUACCUCUAGAUAAGAUUAUAUUACAGAUAUUGCUGCAGCAACUCUAAUCUGGGCAUUGUUUGAGUAAUUGGGUGUUAUAAUUACAAUUGAUUGACAUUCACAUGAAAGAUAAAUGUUGUAGUGAGGAGGUUGAAUACUCUCUAGUUUUCAAUCUUAAAAUCAUAACAGUUUGAAUAUGUGAAAUUUAUACUACCCCAUAUAUGAACGAAAUUUUGUCACUCUUGAAUUACAUGCAGUCUCUUGGUGAUGUUAUAGCAUCUUUGGAAUUCAAUCGAAGUAGCACAUACACACUAUGGACAGAAAGAAACUUAAGUCUAGUACUGAUUUACUAUGGUCAUUUUGCAUGAUUGGGAUUGUGAUCUGAAGGUGGAAAAAUCCUUGCAAAUUUGAUAAAAGAGCUAAAGUUGUGUUGCAUGAUUAUUUGCAUGAAGUGUUAAUAUGUUGUCAUUACUUGAGGACAAGUAAUGGUUUAAGUUUGGGAGUGUGAUAACUCUAGAAAAUGAGAGUUAUUACAUCAAUUCUAGACUUAAAUCAAGAUCACUUAGAGAACAAAUAAGGUGCUUUUAUUACAUUUUGGUUAUAUUUUGCAUAAACAUUCAUUUUAAUUGAGUCUUAAUAAGUUUUGUUUGAAUCAAAGUAAUUGGUGCUAAAAACAGGUGCAUAAUUGUAGGUUUUCAGAAAGUCUUAAUUCAUGAGGGGAUGGUGAGACAUUAGAUGAGCAAGAGGAGGAGAGAAGAUGACCGCAAAAGAAGUAAAGCACAAUCGGGAAUAGUGCAGUGUUGUAGCGGAUGUUAGAGCAACCAAUGCUGUAGCAAUCUAGGAACAAUGCGGGAGAAAACUUAGGCACGAGUCAACUGCAGAAUCAUGAUUUGCAUGUUUUCUAAUUUAACUCAUGCACGCCCAUGGACUUUGGUUUACCCUAGUUUGUAGUAUAAAAGGGAGGCGUGCACAAUAUAAAAAGGCGGCAAGGGAAUUAUCAUUAGAAUAAUUAGAGAGGAGAGGAGAAGAAGAUCAAAAUUGAAGAGUGUUGUUUUAGCAACAUUGAGGAAUCUUGCAGAAUUACUUGGAUUUGUCUUUCACCGUGCUCAACUUAUAUUUAUCUUCUUCCUUUGAUUGUUCUGAUGUAUCCCGUGAACAACAUAUUUAUGUUUGGUUUUCUUAUUCAGAAUAUGAACUAGAUCUGCUUAUAGUUGAGUGACAAACAAUCCAAUGGGUUCUUGACUGUUCUUAUGUGUUGUUAUGUCAUUGCUGUAGCAUUUUACUCUAAUAACUAUUAUUAAUAUAACUGUUAUUUCGGUUGACCACCCAUUUAAUAGUUCAAGUUAAGAUAGAGUCAUAAAAUGGCAUGUCUUAGCGGAUAUUAUUAGAGUAUUACUUGGUCUUAAUUUAAGUUUCCUGGAUUAAGUUAUCUUGAAUCCCAUAAGGGCUAUACUUGAAGUUAAGAUUUGUGACACACUAGACAUAGGUGCUUACCUUAUAGGGUGGAGAGACUAAAGGAUCAUAAUGCCAUACCAUAAAUAGAUUAGCAACUAGUCAUUGUUAAUAGAUUUAAGGGUAUGAGACUUCCAAUAUGCGAUAGCUAAAGAUGCAGAUUAAUUCUGCUCGGUGCUACAGCACUUGUCGUAAUAACUAGUGUUAACAUGAUGAAAAACAGUCAACCCAUAAAGAGAGUUUAAUCAUUCAACUACCAUAGUUUCAAUUGAAUCUUAGACACAUUUAAUUUGGUUUAAUUCAUUACGGUACUGUUUUACUUUAUUCUCUCACAAUCAUCAAUUACAAUAGAACCCACUCUACAUUUGUUAACUUCGGAUUGAAUUUAGUUGCACUAUUGUGAUUGCUAUAGCAUUUCAAGUGACAUCAAUCCCUGUGGAGACGAUCUUGAAUAUUCACCACUUUAUUACUUGUUGUGUACACUUGCACAUUGACAUCAAUAGAAUUUGAUUAUAAAAUUAACCAACACUAGUCAACCCAAUGCAUUCAUUUUUUUUUUUUUACAUCACUACAUCUUUUUAGCCCAUAUAACUAGUUUCUACUUCAGACUAUAGAUCCCUAAAAUCAAGAAGGACUUUUAUUAGAACGUAACGUAGGUUAGGGACAUGACUAAUAAUGAGGGAAAAUAAGGAAAACAAUGUAUAUGUUUGAGAAGAAAUAGAGAUAUUUUGGAAAUUACAAGGUGCGUUUUGCUUAUUUAUUAUUAUUGUUAUUUUUUUCUCUUUUUUUCUUUUUUCUUUUUUUUGAAACAAUUUUUUUGUUUUUAUUUUUUUUGUAUGGCACAACUUUACUGAACAAGAUAAUUAUUUACAUUUUUCUCAAACAUAAAUAGGUGAUGAAACUUAUAAGACAUCGGGUAAUAUUCCAAAUCGGAAUGGGUCAAGAUAAGUUGACAAAGAAAAGUUUUUUUUAAAAAACAAAAGGGUCAAAAGGGUUAACUAUGGAUAUUUCACAAAAUAAAUGGCUAGAAAGGCUCAAACGGGUCAAAGAUGACAUUUCCAUCGUCUUUUAGGGCUCUAAAUAAUCUGUUAUAUCUACUAGUUAGAUGGACCUUCAGAUGUAGCAACACAUUUUUUUCUCUUUUUUUUAAGGAUUGACUCAAAGGAAAUCUAGAGAUCAUGUAUAAAAUAAUAAACUGUUAAGUUGUAUGAAGAAUGGGCAAAAAUAGUUACUCUCCAAGAAAAAUGACAAGCUCAAAAACUCACUUGGUAUUCAUUAUGACAUGUGCAUUCCUUCAAGCAACUCAUAUUUAUCUUUGACAUCAACAUGUAGAAUAGCAAAUAUAGCGUAACAUCACUUAAGACCAAAGAUAAUACAAAUACUAAAACUUGAAAGUCAUCAUGUCAUCCAAUGUUAAAAAAUCACACUUUUUUUUAAGUUCAAACGACAUUCUACCCCCCAACCUAUUCUAAACAUGAAAAGAAAAUAUGCAUGUAGAAAUGUGAAAAUGAUGAAGAAAAACUAAUUAGAAAGGUUACACUUAAAAUGAUAAAAAAAGAAAAUAGUUUUUUUUUUUUACUAAGAAGAUGCGUUUUUAGAGUCACUACACUCCAUAUUCAGCCAUCUUCGAGUCAAAAAUUUGAAAGUGUAUAUUUAUAAAGGAGAAAUUAGAAAGAAGAAGUUAAGAAAAAAAAGAUUGUCAAAACUUAAAAAAGAAAAUGUCUAGAAUUUUUUUUUUCAAACGAAGAAGAUCAUUUUCUAGAGUCACUACACUCCAUAUUCAGCCAUCUUCAACACAAAACGUUAGUCACGGUUAGUCUCUACAACAAAAAAUUAGUAAAACCUUAACCAAGAUUCCACAAUUAUCAAUUAUUCCCUCCCCCCAACCAGAACGAAACAUUGUCCUCAGUGUUUUAAAGGAAAUAAGUAGAGUUUAGAAGACAUCAUCUAGGUGGUGCAACACAGAAGAAAAUAUUUACAAGCGGAGAUAAAUCUAAUUUGCACUUCUUACUGCAGCUAUUGUUACCAUCAUUAUUUGGACACUCCAGGACAAAGGUCCUGGGGUCUGACUCUGGUCUACGCGGGAUAACUGCAUAAUUGUGAUCUACAAUUUCCUAAUCUGACUUAUGCACGCCCUAGGCUUCCGUUUACCCUAAUUUUUAACUAUAAAAGAAGAACACGUCAUAAGGAUUAAGGGGAGUCGUCACCCAAAGAGAAAAACACAAAGAAACAAAAGAAAAACAAGAUUCAAGAGAGAGAUUAAGGGCUGCACAAGAGGAGAAUUUUCAUAAAUCAAUUGGGAGCUCAAUCAUUCUUAUUCUUCUCUUGCUUUCUCGUUUUCUAUUUAUUUAUGGGGAUGUGUUUCAUGGCUGAAACUUUGUUCUUUAUUUUUCUUUUACAAACCAUGAACUAAAUUUAUUUGUGGUUGAGUGAUAAACAAUCUUGAUGGUUUAUUAACUGAAUAUAUGUGUUGCUGCAUGUUUGUUGUAGCAGUUUGUUUUGAUAGUAUUUAUUUUUAUUCAUUAUUUCGGUUGAUCACCCAUUUAAUGAUACAAGUUAGGAGAGAGCCGCAAAAGGGUCUAUCUUAGUGGAACAUAUCAGAACAAUACUUGAUCUUAAAUUGAGUUUCCCGGAUUGAGUUUUACUUGAGUCCCAAAAGGGUCAUGCUUGAUUUAAAAUUAGUGAUGAACUAGGCAUAAGAAUUCAUCUUGUAGGGUAAAUAGACCCUAAGUGUGUAAUGCUAUAUCUUAUGUUGGCAUAGCAACUGAUCAUUGUUAGGUUGCAUAUAGAUAUAAGAUAUCCAACAUGCGACGGCUGAGGAUACAUAAGGAUUCUGCCCAGCGUUGUAGCAAAUACUGCAGCAACCGAGCCAACCAUUAGAAAAUAGUCAAGGCCAUUCAAAGAGUUUAUUCACUCAACUACUAUAUAUUCCCAUUAGUUUUAUCCUUGAGCUUGACGUGAUAGUUUUUUUUGUUGCAUUUUAUUUAUUGCGUUUUUAUUUUAAUUAGUAAAUUAGUUUCAUCAAUUGUUUAUUUUAUUUUAGCACAAAAUCUGCACUGUUAAGAUUGCUGUAGCAAAUAUGAUAACAUCAAUCCCUGUGGAGAUGAUCUUGAAUACUCAUUACUUUAUUACUUGUUGUGUACACUUGCACAUUGACACCAAUAGCAUUAGUAUUUAUUACCCAACAUAAUGCACCUGUUACAUUUCAACGAUGCAUGUUGAGCAUUUUUUCUGAUAUGGUUGAACGAUUCCUUGAAGUCUUUAUGGAUGACUUUUCUUUUUUUGGUGAUUCAUUUGAUCAAUAUUUACAUCAUCUAGCACUAGUUCUACAGAGAUGUAUCGAGAAAAACUUAGUCUUAAUUUGGGAGAAGUGUCAUUUUAUGGUAAAACAAGGUAUAUUCUCGGUCACAUCAUUUCGAGCAAAGGUAUUGAGGUUGACAAGCUAAGGUGGAUCUCAUUUUCUAAUCUUUCUUCCCCCCAAAACAGUACGAGAAGUAAGAUCUUUCCUUGGCCAUGCAAGUUUUUAUAGACGUUUCAUUAAAGAUUUUAGCAAAGUUUUUAGACCCUUAUGCAAUCUACUUGCUAAGGAUGUACCUUUUAUCUUUAACGAUUCAAGUCUUAUGGCUUUUGAAAAAUUAAAGCAAUUGUUGACAUCAUCACCCAUCAUUCAGCCCCCAAACUGGAGCUUACCAUUCGAACUCAUGUGUGAUGCAUCUGAUUAUGCAGUAGGAGCAGUAUUAGGACAAAGAGUUUAUCGAAUUCCCCAUGUUAUUUACUAUGCUAGUAUGACAUUGAAUGAUGCACAGUUGAACUAUUCAACUACUGAAAAAGAAAUGUUAGCAGUAGUGUUUACCUUAGAGAAAUUUCGAUCUUAUCUCAUUGGUUGUAAAAUAAUUGUAUUCACAGAUCAUGCUGCUCUUAAAUAUCUUCUCACAAAGAAAGAUGCAAAAGCUAGACUAAUUCGUUGGGUGUUACUUUUACAGGAAUUCGACUUGGAAUUUAAAGAUAAGAAAGGCACAAAAAAUGUUGUGGCAGACCAUCUCUCUCGUCUCUAUUUUGACAUAAUUAUAGAGCCAUUAACAUUGAAUGAGUCAUUCCCAGAUGAACAAUUGAUGAGUAUGGAAGUAUUACCAUGGUAUGCUGACAUUGUUAACUAUCUUGUUACAGGUCAACUUCCAGAGCAUUGGACCAAGCAAGACAAAGCCAAACUUUUUUCGGAAAUAAAGAAUUUCUUUUGGGAUGACCCGUAUUUGUUCAAGUAUUGUGCAGAUCAAAUUAUUAGACGAUGUGUCCCAGAAAGUGAAAUUCAAAAUAUCCUUUCAUUCUACCAUGAACAAACUCGUGGAGGCCAUUUCAGUGCUAAGUAAACAGCUACUAAAGUUUUACAAUGUGGUUUUUAUUGGCCAACUAUAUUUCGAGAUGCUUACACUUUUUGUUCUUCAUGUGAUAGGUGUUAACGAAUAGGGAGCAUUACAAUAAGGAACAUGAUGCCACUAAAUCCAAUUUUAGUGGUUGAGAUUUUUGAUGUAUGGGGUAUCGACUUCAUGGGACCAUUUCCCCCUUCUUUUGGCCUUCAAUAUAUAUUGGUUGCGGUUGACUAUGUAUCGAAAUGGGUAGAAGCAAUUUCAUGUAGAACCAAUGAUCACAAGGUGGUGACAGGAUUUUUUAAAAGUAACAUUGUUUCACGCUUUCGAUUCCCUCGAACGAUAAUCAGUGAUGGUGGUGCCCACUUUUGUAACAAAGCAUUCAAAGCUCUUUUGACAAAGUAUUCAAUCACUCACAAAGUGGCGACCCCAUAUCAUCCGCAAACCAGUGGCUAUUUUGAGAUCUCCAAUUGAGAAAUAAAGCACAUAUUAGAAAAGACAGUGAGGCCAGACAGAAAAGAUUGGUCAUUAAGACUUGAUGAUGCAUUAUGGGUAUAUAGAACGGCUUUCAAGACCCCGAUUGGGAUGUCACCCUACAGGCUAGUGUAUGGAAAAGUUUGCCACCUACCUGUGGAACUCGAGCAUCGUACAUAUUGGGCCAUCAAGAAAUUCAACUUUGACAUGCAGCAAGCUAGCUUAAAAAGAAGAUUACAGCUGGCAGAACUUGAAGAAAUUCGCAAUUAUGCAUACGAAAAUGCCAAGAUUUACAAGCAACGAAUGAAAGUCUUCCAUGACAAGCAAAUUAUGAGAAAAUCUUUCACUCCAGGUCAGAAAGUGCUUUUAUUCAAUUCUCGCUUGCACCUAUUCCCAGAUAAGUUACGCUCUCGAUGGUUUGGCUCCUUUAUUGUUCAUACUGUUUUUCCACAUGGGGCAAUUGAAAUUAAGGACCCAAAGAACGGUGUUACGUUUAAAGUUAAUGGUCAAAGAUUAAAGCCAUAUUUAGAGUACCAACCACAUAGAGAAAACACCGAAAUAAAUUUGAGUGACCCACUAGAUUUGAAUUAAUUUUUUUCUUCUUUCUUUUCGGUAAUUUGAUUUUUUUUCUUCUUUUUUUUAUUAUUCUUUUGCUAAUUGAAAUUAUUUUUGCAUAAGUAUGUUUGUUUAACUAUUAAGUUUCUUUUAUCAGUGUUAAUCAUGAGUGCCAUAUCUAAACAAUUCCUCUUGAACAUUCUUAAACUACUUUAACGUGUAAAAUCUCAUUUCAAAAGCAGAUUCGAUUUUGUAAAAUACAUCGUAUUUGGGCUCUGCAACCACCAGAGUUGGUAGUCUAUGUUGAGGAUUUAGAAAGCCAACUCAGAGACAUUGAGAGAGGUGUCUAUAACAUCCAGUUGAGCUUGAGGUAAAUUCAAUAAGAGGACAAUUUUAAUUUUCUUUGUGUGUUUUAAUUUGUUUUUUUGUUGGUGUGCUUUAGUUUGUUAUCCCGGUAAAGUGGCGAAUAAUGGUACUCCGUGACAAUCAAGUCGGUUACUUCAGUUUUCCCAUAAUAACUGAUAUUCUGAGGCGAAGGUAUGGACAUAAACGAGAUUCUAGCGAAGCUUCACAAGCGAUUCCCUUCACUUCCUUAGAAUGCCCUCCUUACAAUCUAUAAAGCUCGGUUCGAACGCAUGCGAUUGCUCAUAAGGAAUAACAUACAUGCUGAUAUCCGUUGGUUAAUCGAGGCUAAAGUACGAUUGGCAGGUGAGUUACCUCCAAAAUUUAUUGCAUACAUGCCUAGUUGUGGUAAAGGAAAUUAUGCAAGAAAACGAAGAGCUCGAAGAAUUUCUGUUGCUUGUCAUAAGUGUGCUAGAAUGAGUUGCGAUAAAAAAUCAUGUUCUUUAGGAAUGAUAUCUGAUAACAGGGAAGAUAAGAUUUAAUUCAUUAGGGAUGGCUUGAAUAAUGAGUCAUUAAAUGAUAUCCUUUUGUCUCUUGAAAUGCAUCCCAGUGGAUAUAUGCAAGGAGCGAUUCUCCUGUUAUGACCAUUAUUCUAGAAAGAGCAUGCACGAUAUAGUCUCAGGAAUCUGACUAUAAACGACCUUGUUUGCCAGUUUAUAAGAAAACUGGAUGGGAAUCCUAUCCUCGACCCAUAGAGGGUGUUCAAAAUGUUUCUGGACGUAAAACCAGAAGAAGAUGUGAGCCAUAGUCGCAACAACCUGUAAAUAUCCUUUUACUUCACUAUUAUUUUAUUUCACUGUUGUUUUAUCAUUUGCAUUAUUGUCUUUAAUAAAUUUAUUUUAUCAUUGUUUCCUUUUUAACUCACGAGCCAUGUGCUUUACGCGUUAUUUGACACUGGCAUGCCACUUUAUAUACAGUUGUGAUCCACUGUCACCAAAAUUCUUAAAUAUGACUUUUUGUCAAGAACUUACAAAUUAUUUUUUAGAAAUAUCCCAAUGGCAGUUACUCCCAAUAGACAAUUCAAGAACAUUUGUGUGCUUUCUAGAUUUAACUAUGGCAAACAUAAAGAGUUCGUUGAGGCAGCCAUAGAUCUUGGUCGAAGCAUAGCAGAGAGAAAACUACACUUGGUGUAUGAAGGAGGUAACCGAGGGUUAUCAAAAUUGGUCUCAGAAGCUGCUUUUGUCAAAGGAAGCCAAGUGUUAGGCAUCAUCCCAAGAGCCCUAAAACCUUUGGGCAGUUUGUCUGACCCACCGACUGGAGAAGAGUUACUCGUCUCAGGUAUGUAAGAAAGAAUAAUUGAAAUGCUUAAUCAUGCUGAUACUUUUAUUUUCCUUCUAGGAGAUCUUGCAAUACUAGAGGCACUUAUCACACUAGCAUCUUAGGCCCAUUUGCACAUUCACCAGAAACCCAUCGGUUUGUUAAACGUCAAUAACGUUUCUGAUGGCUUUAUCACAUUUCUUAACCAUGCAAUAAAAAACUAUUUCAUUUCUUCCAAUGCGAAAAAGCUUUUUAUUUGUGCUCACACUGCUAAUGAGCUACUUGAUAUGUUACAAGCUUAUAGACCGGAGCUAGACCCAUGGACCUUUGUGUUGGAGCAUCUAAAUAAUGACGGUAACAGUAGCCGCAGUAAGAAGUACAAAUUAAAUUUAACUCUCCAUCUGUAAAUAUUUUCUUCUGUGUUGCACUACCCAGGUGAUGUCUUCUAAACUUUACCUCUUUCCUUUAAAACAUUGAGGAUAAUGUUUCGUUCUGGUUAGGGUUAGGGAAUAGUCGACAAUUGUGGAAUCUUAGUUAAGUUUUUACUAAUUUUAUGUUGUAGAAACUAACUAUUGCUAACUUUUUGUGUUGAAGAUGGCUGAAUAUAGAGUGUAGUUACUCUAGAAACGCAUCUUCUUCGUUAAAAAAAUAAAAAAAAAUUUCUAGAAAUUUUAUUUUUCUUUAUUAAUUUUUUUACAAUCAUUUUUCUUCUUCUUUAUAAUAACUCCUUUAUAAAUAUACACUUUCCAAUUUUUUUGAGUUGAAGAUGGCUGAAUAUGGAGUAUAGUGCCUCUAGAAACGCAUCUUCUUAGUUAAAAAAAACAUUUCUUUUUCUAUCAUUUUAAGUGUAACUUUUCUAAUUAAUUUUUCUGCAUCGUUUUCACAUUUCUGCAUGCAUAUUUUCCUUUCAUGUUUAGAAUAGGUUGGGGGUAGAAUAUUGUUUAAAAAAUAAUUGUGUGAUUUGUUUUAACAUUGGAUGACAUGAUUAAUUUUAAAUUUUAGUAUUUGUAUUAUCUUUGGUCUUAAGUGAUGAUACUCUAUGUUUGCUACUUUACGUGUUGAUGUCGAAGAUAAAUAUAAGUUGCUUGAAGGAAUAAACAUGUCAUAAUAAGUACCAAGUGAGUUUUUGAGCCUAUCAUUUUUCUUGGAGAGUAACCCUUUUGCCCAUUCUUUAUACAGCUUAACAGUUUAUUAUUUUAUACAUGAUCUCUAGAUUUAUUUUGAGUUAACCCUUAAAAAAAAAGUUGUUGUAAAAUUAAAAAGAAAAGAAAAGAAAAAAUGUGUGUUGCUACAUCUGGAGGCUCAUCUAACUAAAAAAUGAUGGAAAGGCCAUAUUUGAUUCGUUUGAGCCUUUCUAGCCAUCUCUUUUGUGAAAUAUCCAUAAUUAACCCUUUUGAGCUUUAAAACAAAAAAAAAAACCUUUUCUUUGUCAACUUAUCAUCUUGACCCACUCCGAUUUGGAGUAUUACCCGAUGUCUUAUAAAUUUCAUCACCUAUUUAUGUUUGAGAAAAAUGUAAAUAAUUAUUUUGUUCAGUGACGUUGUGCCAAACAAAAGCAAAAAAAAAAUUAUUGUUUCAAAAAAAAGAAAAAAAUAACAAUAAUAGGUGAAAUCCACCUUGUAACUUCCAAAAAAAAAAAAUCUCUGCAUUUUUCUCAAACAUACACUUUGUUUUCCUUAUUUCCCCUCAUUUAUUAGCCAUGUCCCUAGCCUACAUUACGUCCUAAUAAAAGUCCUUCUUGAUUUUAGGGAACUAUAGUCUGAAGUAGAAGUUAGUUAUAUGGGCUAAAAAGAUGUAGUGGUGCAUAAAACAAAUAAAAUAAAAAUAAAUAAGUUGGUUUGACUAGCAUUUUUGUUUGACUUGAGAUCGUAUUAUUUUUAAGCUGGGGACAUAUUUCUUUCAUCUUGGUGAGAGCAUGUAAUAUCACUUCUUUAUUAUUUUCUCUCAAUUACCAUUCAUUGGAGUGACUAUUUUUAUUGGGUUUAAUUUCUUUAUGAGAGUGUCACUACUUCCAGUGAGAUUUUGGGAUUUGACAUGUCAUUCUUGAAAGGAGUUAUGACAAAGUCUACUGGGCUGAUUCAUGUGGAUGGUUGAUGUAGGUGUGAUGUUUCUUUAGACUGGAGACAAUGAUUAUACUUUUAUUUGAUUGCUAUCAUUAGUCUGAUUGAAUAAACAUGAUUGUUAAAAAAAAAAAUCAUUUUGGAUUUGAAUUUUUUUUUCGCUUUAUUUGCUAGGGACUAACAAUAAGCUAGUUAGGGGGUGUGUUGAGUGUUAGAAAAUGUAUAUUUAUAAAGGAGAAAAUCGUCAUUUUACAUUUCAAGUUUUACUAACACCCUUACUUUUAUGUAUUUAAACUUCUUGUCAUUUAAUUAUGUGUGUUGUAUUAUAAUUAAGUAUUUUAUGUAUGUUAGGGGCAUCAUAGUUAUUUCAUAAUGAAUGAGAGAUCAGACGGCAAAACGGACAUCACUUUUGAACUCAAGACGCUCGAAAACCUUAAGAGGAGCAUAAAAGGAAAAAUGACACUAUUCACAUGUACGGUACUGUCUAUGUUACUGUUCAUGACACUGUUAACAUAGACGAAUCGAUGACAUGGCAUUGACCGAUGAUGUGGCAUUGACUGAUGAGGUGUCACGAUCCUGUUAGAUUAAAAUUCUUAUGUACUGUUGAUCGAUGACGUGGCAGCAUAUCAGUGGACCAAAAAUCUCGCGUACGGUACAUGCAUUACACAGGAUUAUUUUCGACCAAACUGCGUCACUAUUCAACCCGGGUCAAACCGUGUUACUGUUCAAACCAUGUGGUCAAACUGCAUACUGUUGACUGAUGACGUGGUGCAAUCCUGAGCGUCCGAAAUAUUUUUGAUCUGAUGGCCAUGAUUUACUCAAUGUAGCUAUAAAAAGGGGGCUCUCUCCCCCUAAUUGGAUAGUUCUGAAUCCAUUUUUGGACUCCAUUUUCUGUAAUUCCCUCUCCAUCUUGUAUUUUCUACGUAUUUUAAUAAAUUCUUAUUUUGCCCUUAGUUCAAUUAUGAGUAGCUAAUUUUCUUUCAAACUUGGGUUGAAGGUGAAGUCUCAACAUGUGUCAUGGGCUUUAUUUGGUAAAUUUAUUUUCUUUUCCCCUCUAUUUGUUGUGGAUGUUUUGACUUCUAGUCGACAAAUAAUAAUAAUCUUGUCUAGAUACCGCCUUGGUUUCACCGGCUCUCUAGUACAAGGUUAUUAUUAUUUGGCACGAUAAGCCCUUAGCACCAUAUUGAUUAGAGUGUGGUUCAUGAGGUGUGGAUUCCCCCCUCAUGAUUUAAUUGGUAUUAAUAAGGAAUAUUUAGCCCAUGAUGCAUGUUGAUACGGAUCCAGAUACCUAAGUACGUCAUUUUAAUAGAUUUCUAUUCAAUUUAUUCUCGCCAUUUAAAUUCCAAUUUUAGGAUAAUCCAAAUCAUUUUCACCACAAAUCUAACCACCCUCAUACAAAAUUAAUUCUAUAUAUAAUUAAAAUCCAUCUCCUUGUGGGAUCGACACUCGUCACCGUUGAUCUAUUCUACAAUAGAUUCAUGCACUUGCGAGUUUAAUAAAUUUUGCACAAUAGCAAGUAGAUUGCAUAAGGGUCUAGAAACUUUGCUAAAAUUUUUAAUGAAACGUCUAUAAAAACCAGCAUGCUUAAUGAAAGAUCUUACUUCUCUGACUGUUUUAGGUAGAGGAAGAUUGGAAAUGAGAUCCACCUUGGCUUUAUCAACCUCAAUACAUUUGCUCGAAAUGAUGUGACCAAGAACAAUACCUUAUGUUACCAAAAAAUGGCACUUCUCCCAAUUUAAGACCAAGUAUUUCUCUAUACAUCUCUACAGAACUAGUGUUAGAUGAUGUAAACAUUGAUCAAAUGAGUCACCAAAAAUAGAAAAGUCAUCUAUAAAGACUUUAAGGAAUCGUUCAACUAUAUCAGAAAAAAUGUUUAACAUGCAUCGUUGAAAUGUAGCAAGUGCAUUACAUAAUCCAAAUGGCAUCCUCCUAUAUGCAAAAGUGUCAAAAGGGCAAGUGAAAGCGGUCUUCUCUUAAUCUUUUAGUGCCAUGGGAAUUUGAUUAUAUCCCAAGUAGCCAUCUAGAAAACAAUAAAAUUCAUGACCUAGUAAUCUAUCAAGCAUUUGAUCGAUAAAUGGUAAAGGAAAAUGGUCUUUACGUGUGACAGAAUUCAACUUUCUAUAAUCAAUGCAUACACGUCAUCAUGUAGUCACUCUAGUGGGUAUAAACUCAUUAUCAGUAUUGGUAACUAUUGAGUGUUAGAAAAUGUAUAUUUAUAAAGGAGAAAAUCAUUAUUUUAUACUUCAAGUUUUACUAACACCCUUACUUUUAUGUAUUUAACCUUCUUUUGAUUUAAUUCCCUGUGUUUUAUUUUAAUUAAGUAUUUUAUAUAUUUUAGGGGCAUCAUAGUCAUUUCACAAUGAACGAGAGAUCAGACGGCAAAACGGACAUCAAUUUUGAACUCAGGACGGUCGAAAAGGAGCAUAAAAAGAAAAAUAGCACUGUUCACAUGUACGGUACUAUUCACGUAUACGGUACUGUCUACGUUACUGUUCACGACACUGUACACAUAAACGGAUCGAUGACAUGGCAUUGACCGAUGAUGUGGCAUUGACUGAUGAGGUGUCACGAUCUUGUUAGACUAAAAUUCUUAUGUACUGUUGAUGGUGACGUGGUAGCAUAUCAGUGGACCAAAAAUCUUGCGUACGGUACAUGCAUCACACAGGAUUAAUUUCAACCAAACUGCGUAACUGUUCAACCCGGGUUAAACCGUGUUACUGUUCAUCCGCGUGGUCAAACCUCGUAUUGUUGACUGAUGACGUAGCGCAAUCCUGAGCGUCCAAACUGUUUUUAAUCCGAUGGCCAUGAUUUACUCCAUGUAUCUAUAAAAAGGGGGCCUCCCCCCCCUAAUUUGAUAUCUCUGAAUCCAUUUUUGGGAUCUAUUUUAUGUAAUUCCUUCUCCAUCUUGUAUUUUCUACGUAUUUUAAUAAAUUUCUAUUUUGCCCCUAGUUCAAUUAUGAGUAGCUAAUUUUCUUUCAAGCUUGGGUUAAAAGUAAAGUCUCAACAUGUGUCAUGGGCUUUAUUUGGUAAAUUUACUUUCUCUUCCCCUCUAAUUUUUGUGGAUGUUUUGACUUCUCAUCGACAAAUAAUACUAAUCUUGUCUAGUAUCGCCUUGGUUUCACCGGCCCCCUAGUACAAGGUUAUUAUUAUUUGGCACGAUAAGCCCUUAGCACCAUAUUGAUUAGAGUGUGGUUCAUGAGGUGUGGAUUCCCCCCUCAUGAUUUAAUUGGCAUUAACAAAGAUUAUUUAGCCCAUGAUGCAUGUUGAUACGGAUCCAGAUACCCAAGUACGUCAUCUCAAUAGAUUUCUCUUCAAUUUAUUCUCGCCAUUUCAAUUCCAAUUUUAGAAUUUAUUCUCGCCAUUUCAAUUCCAAUUUUAGGAUAAUCUAAAUCAUUUUCACCACAAAUCCAACCACCGAUUUACAAAAUUAAUUCUACACACAAUUAAAAUCCACCUCCUCGUGGGAUCGACACUCGUCACCAUUAGUCUAUUCUACAAUAGAUUCGUGCACUUGCGAGUUUAAUAAAAUUUGCACAACAGUAACUACUGUGACUCCUGACUUUUUAGGGACAACUUGCACAAGACUGACCCAUGAUCUAUCAAAAAUAGGGUAAAUGAUACAUGCAUCUAAUAGCUUAAAGACUUCAGUUCUAACAACUUCUUUCAUGUUAGGGUUCAACCGACGUUGCAUUUCCUUAGUAGGUUUAGCAUUUUCAUCAAGGUGAAUGUAAUGCAUGCAGUCUAUUGGGUUUAUACCUUUUAUGUCGGCUAUGGUCCAUCAUAAUGCUCAUUUGUGCUCUUUUAAAACAUCCAACAACUUACCUUUUUGUUCGUCAUUUACGGAUGAUGAGAUGAUUACUGGCAAAAUGUUUUCUUCUCCCAAAAAUGCAUAUUCCAAAGUGUUGGGUAAUGGUUUGAGCUCGAGUUUCGGUGGUGAUUCUGAUGAUGGGUUGAGUUUCUUCUCUGAUGGUGUUAGUUGUUCAAUUCUUGACUUCUAUUUAUUAGUAUCCAUGGAUGGUGCUGACUCAAGUAGAGCGUUGACCACAUUGACUGAUCUGUCAAUAUCAAAAUCAAAACCAAAAUGAGUUAAACAUGUUCGUAAAGGGUCAUCACUAAGGUUUGAAAGGAAAGUAUUAUCAACUAAUGCUUCUAUUAAAUCCACAUGAACAAUUCUAUCAUCUGCAUUGUGAGGUUGCUUGGCAAUGUUGAAGAUGUUUAGCUCCAUAGCCAUGUUACCAAAGGACAACUGCAUAUUUCCAGUCAUACAUUGAAUGUGAGCAUCGGCAGUUGCCAAGCAAGGUCGGCCUAGGAUAAUGGGGAUGUGCUUCCUUGAAUCCUGGAUUAGUUGAGUGUUAAUUACAAUUAAAUCAAUAGGAAAAUAAAAUUUGUCUACCUGGAUAAGCACGUCCUCAACAAUACCACGAGGUAUUUUUGUGGACAGAUUUGCAAGCUGUAACACCAUUGAAAUUGGGUGUAAUUCUCCCAGUCCAAGUUUCAUAAAUACUGAGUAGGGUAACAAAUUUAUACUAGCUCCUGAAUCCAACAAAGCAUUCUCAAUUGUGUGGUUCCCUAUAUUACAUGAGAGCAGUUGAUGUAAAAACUACAUUUCUUCAUGGGGAACUUAAAGAAGAAAUUUAUAUGCUCCAGCCAGAAGGUUUUGCUGAAAUAGGAAAGGAGAACUUGGUUUGCAGGUUGAAUAAAUCUCUAUACGGUCUCAAAAAGGCGCUGAAGUGUUGGUAUAAGAGAUUUGAUUCCUUCAUCAUGAGCCUUGGAUACAUCAGGCUCAGUUCAGACCAUUGGAUAGACCAUUGUGCAUAUUACAAGAGGUUUAAAGAUAAUGAUUUUAUCAUUUUACUGUUGUAUGUGGAUGACAUGUUGGUAGCAGGCCCCAACAAAUAUCGAGUCCAAGAACUAAAGGCAUAAUUGGCUAGGGAGCUUGAAAUGAAAGACUUAGGAUCAGCAAAUAAGAUUAUAGGAAUGCAAAUUCACCGAGACAGAAAUAAUAGGAGGACUUGGCUUUCUCAGAAGAACUACUUGAAGAAAAUCUUGUGGCGCUUCAAUAUACAAGAUUGUAAGUCAAGUUCUACCCCACUUCCUAUUAAUUUCAGGUUAUCGUUAAGUAUGUGUCCUGGCAAUGAAGCAAAGAGGAAAGAGAUGUCUCGAGUACCGUAUACAUCAGCAAGGGAAGUUUAAUGUUUGCUAUGAUUUGUACAAGACCAGACAUUGCACAAGCAGUGGGAGCGGUCAGUCCAUACAUGCCGAAUCAUGGUGGAGAACAUUGAAAAAUUGUAAAGAGGAUUCUGAGAUACAUCAGAGGAACUCCAAUGUUGCAUUAUGUUAUAGAGGAUCAAAAUUUACUGUCAGGGGCUACGUGGAUUCAGAUUUUACAGGAGACCUUGAUAAAAGGAAAUCCAAUACUAGCUAUGUGUUUACACUUGCAAGAUGAGCUGUAAGCUGGGUUUCGAAACUACAGACCGUUGUGGCUCUAUCUACAACAAAAGCAGAAUACAUGGUAGCUGCACAAGCUUGCAAGGAAUCUAUAUGGAUACAAAGGUUAUUGGAGGAGUUCGGGCACAAAUAAGAGAAAAUAUCUGUAUUUUGUGACAGUCAAAGUGCCUUUCACAUUGCAAUGAAUCCAGCCUUUCAUUCCAAGACAAAGCACAUAAGACUUCAAUAUCACUUCGAUCGAGAAAUAGUAGAAGACGAAAAUAUGGAUUUGCAGAAAAUCCAUACAAAGGAGAACCUAACAGAUGUUAUGACCAAACAAAUCAAUACUGACAAGUUUGUAUGUAGUAGAUCCUCUUGUGGCCUAGCAGAAACGUAGACAGCAUAACAAUGGCGAAACAGAAAGGAUGGUGUGGAGAUUGAUUGAUCAUUAAUCAAAUCUCCAAGUGGGAGAAUGUCAAAGUCAUGGUUGGCACCACCCUUAUAGAUGGGCAAUGCCAAACCAUCAACAUUUUCAACACGGCCCGCCAUUUUUUGUGUGCCGAACUGCUUGAAGAAGAAAAAAGAGAAAAAAGAACAAAAGAAGAAAGAAAAAGCCAAAAGAUUUGAAAGGAAAAAUAAUAAAAUAUUAAUAAUAUUAUUUUAUUGGAAAAAAAGGAGGGGAAAUGAAGCCUAUAAAUAGAAGGCUUCAAUUCCCCUCUCGGCAUCCCAUUCUUCAGUUUUUCAAUCUUUUGUGAGAGAGGAAAAAUUAAGAGUUUUAAUACUCUUGUGUAAUUAGUGAGCGAGAGAUUGGGUGUAUAGGAGUUCUGGGAAGUGAGCUAAAAUAUUACAAUACUUGUAAUCCUCAUAUCACUAGUGAAAUAUUUUUCUUCUGUAUUCACCCGUGGACGUAGGCUAAAAGCUGAACCACGUAAUUUUAUGGUGUUCUCUUUUGUGCUUGUUCUUUAUUUUUUUUCUAAUUUCAUUUUACCUGUGACCCUGCUUCACCCAUCAAUUUCCUAACAAAUCCAGUAUCAUAUAAUUAUAAAAACAAAUAUAGAAACUAAAAAACAAAUAGAGACUAUAUUUUGUGCUUACAUAUGGUGGUAUUUGCACUUGGAACAUUUACACCGAGCCAGCAAGCUUGCCCUUCAAAAACUAAAUCCUUGCUCAGAAUUAUACACAAAGCACGCUUUGCAAAGCAGUUCUUGUCUUGCAACUAGGCUUACCAAUGUAGUUCUUGUUAAAUCAAUACUUAUUGCAGCCCAAGUAUCACCAUUUUCAUUAGUUGGCUGCAAAGAACAGAAACAAAAAAUUCAAAUCAAAGGUAAAGCUAAAAAAAUUGGCUUUUAAAGUAAAGAAAAAAGGCAAAGCCUUAAAAAAUUCCCAAGUAUCACCAUUUUCACUCAUUGGUUCAAUCUCGAUUUUAUGUUUACAAUCACAUUUCUCAUAAACAUGAUCACUUACAGAAAAUUCCCACAAUCGCACAUGCAAUAUUUCUUAUAAAUAUGAUAACUUGGUUUACUAUAAUAUUGGAUACCCAACAAAGACUAGUUGAAAAUUCUCUAAAGGUUCAAAUCUUGGCCCUUUAAAGUCAUUUAAACUCAAAUAUAAAACAUGUGUCUAAUCAAAAUGCUUACGCAUGAAUAUAUUAAAGAACCAUCAUUUCAAAGGGAAAAUUUUGAACAAAGAAUUAAAAAUUUUAACAAAUAGAAUUUGACAAUCCAACAUUCAGAAAUUGAUAUUCUAAAGCAUUCUUUUAGAAAGAAUCUAAAUAAUUUGAUUAUCAAAAUAUAAAAUGAAAUCUUUACAAAUAUCUAGUUAACAUCAAACCCUGCAAAAUAUGUCUUAGAAUUAAACUAUAAGUGAAUGAUGAGAUAUUUCAUUUAAAAGCUUAAGGACUAAUCUUUUUAAAUAACUAUUAAGCUUCUCAGUAAGGGAAACCUUCCAUUCUAUUUUUCUUUCUUUUCUUUCUAGGAAUUCAAUAGCUCUCUCAAUUAGUUUAGGCUGCCUUGUAAAAUCACAAACAAUAUUUUCUCUCUCUAGUAAAAUAAUUUACAUUAACUUGUAUUAAAACAGACACAUUUUUAUAUAUUCAAAUCUACAAGACAAUAUUUUCAAUAGCAAACUUGAACUACUGCAGCCAAUAUUGUUGUAUUUAAUAUAUUCAAAGGCAAGCCUGCUCUAAACACUAUGUAAAGAUCUAAUUGGUCCGUGCAAGGGUACUGAAGUGAAGGUUACUUGGUCAUGUUCUAAUACAAGUUAAAGGUAAUUCUAAUUACCGAACACAAGCAACCUUAAUACAAAUAAUAGCAUGGCUGGAUUGCAUUAUCCUUCUCUAUUGACAUGGCGACUUAAACUUUAGACUCAUUUGUUCGAAUUUUGUAAAUACUUUGUAAUCACUGCCAAUAAAAAUAAAAGAGCCUAAAUAAAUAUUGCAAUCUACUGAAAAAUAGAAACUAUUUUGGUCUUUGCCCCCAUAUGUUCUCCACUACACCAUGUAAGAUAUAGAAAAAAAAAAGAAGAGACAAAACUCCAAUAAAGUAAAAAAUACUGAAUAACAUCAUUUCAUUUGAUUCCUAAUAUGUACAUCCAACCAGUUCAACUUUAUAAUGCUAAAAUUAAACCAUAAAUUAAAACCAAUUGAAUAAAAAUGGAUAACUUCAGGAACAUGCCUUCACAAAGGAAAUAAGAAAAACACACCACAAAAGAUUAACUUUCUAUAUGUUUCCAAGACGCCGUAUAGCUUCAGGGCUCCUAGAAACCUAUUAUCUUUCUCCUUUGUCCAUCAUUCAUGUUGCUUCCUUUUCUACCAUUAACCAAAAUUCACAAUUCAUAUAUUUUAUCCUUAACAGCUAUUUCAUAUCACCAAAAUUUUUUUAAAAAAAUAAAUAAAGAAGAAGAGGAGACAUAAAAUAUAAAAGUAAUCAAAGGUUUCUACUUAAUGUAGGGGUCCAUAACCCAAAAACCGAGCCUUAGCCCUAACCCUCAAAAUCUAUCACAAUACCCAGACCCUAGCCUUGACCCUCAGAAUCAAACAUAAUUCCACCAAAAUCAAAGAGUUUACCUGCAAUGACCAUGGAGAAGAGCGAAGGAGCGAUAACAAGCAGGUCUAGGAGAGCGAUUAUAAAAUUUAAUAGAGUGGAAUAAGCCAGUGAAUGGGUCUAUGAAAGUAAAGUGAGCAAAACGGCAAUGGAGAGUGACCCAUUUCAAGCAAAAUAAAGAGAGCUUAAGCAAAAAGAAGAGCCGCGAGAGACCAAAGACAUGACGUGAGCGCCUCUACAAGUGUUUGAAAAUAAGGGAAAAUCAUGUUUUAGCAUGACUGUUUUAAUAUUAACCGUCAUUAAUUAACUAAAAAAUCCAAUAUCUCCAAUAAUGAUGGUUUUUUUCAAAACGGUCAUUGUAGGAUAUAAAUUUAUGACUGUUGUUGAAAUAACGGUCAUUAAAUAUUUUUCGUUACUGUUGUUAAAAAGAACGGUCAUCAUACAUGAGUCGUAUUUAUAUUUUUGUAGUAGUAACUUUUAAUGACCGUUUUUAAAUAUAACCGUCAUUAAAAGUAAUAGCUUCACAUUUAAUGACGGUUACAUAAUAGAACCGUCAUUAUAAACCUUGAAUUUUUAAUGACCGUUUUUAUAAUAGAACCGUCAUUAUAAACCUUGAACUUUUAAUGACCGUUUUUAUAAUAGAACCAUCAUUAUAAACCUUGAACUUAUAAACCUUGAACUUUUAAUGACCGUUUUUAUAAUAGAACCGUCAUUAUAAACCUUGAACUUUUAAUGACCAUUUUUAUAAAUAACCGUCAUUAAAAAUAAAAUUAUGUUUUAGCUCACAUUUAAUGACGGUUAUAUAAUUGAACCAUCAUUAUAAAUUUCAAAUUUUUAAUGACCAUUUUUUUAAAUAACCUUCAUUAAAAGUAAAAUUAUAUUUUAAAGUAACAUUUAAUGACGGUUAUAGAAUAGAAACGUCAUUGUAAAUGCUAGAUAUUAUGACCGUUUAUAUAAUAACAGUCAUCAAAUAUUUUUAAUGACAGUUGUUAAUAAAAACCGUCAUAACUUAUGGGUUAUUAUUUUAAUUUUUUGUAGUAGUGGAAAUUUAGAUGGUGAAGUGCACACGGAAAAUGGAAGGAGAUCUAAUAAAUGUAGUGAUUAUCAUGCACAAACAUAAGCUCCACUGAGUGGUUGUCAAAUGAACUUUUUUUAGUCAGCCAAGUUAAAUUGACGGAAAGUAGAAGGAUAAAAAAUCAAUUUUUACAAAUUGCGUUUCCAUCAAUUUACCUUGACUAUGCAAUGAUAUAAAGGCUUAAAAAUUUUCAAAGCACAGCUCCUUGGUGCCACUUGCCGAUGUAAUAACUAAUAACAGUACAUAGUUUGAUAUUCAUCGAGAAGCACAUCAUUUGGAGAAUAAAUACUUUCACACUAAAGUGUUGCACUCGAUUAUUAGGAAUUGACAUUUUAACAAAUUUAAUGUGUCCACAAACAAUAUUAAAUUAGAUGAGUCCUACUGAAGAACUCGCCAGAAUUGUGUUUUAAUUAUUGUAUUUUAAAUAUUGUUAUAGUAAGGUUAUAUGAUGAGAUAAUAAAUAUUAAUCGAAAGGGGAUCGUUAGACUUAAUCGAUUAACUGGAAAUGAAAGUUGUGAAAUAUAAUUAAAAAUUAAUGGCUAACUUGUCAAUUCUUUUAGUGCAUUGGACCAAAGAAUCAUAAUAGAAGCAGCAGCGUCUGGUGCCAGGAAGUUUUUAACAGAAAUUUUCCAUUUUUCUAGUUCACUUCUUCCUCUUGUUUUGGUGGCUGAAGAGAUUCUUCAUCUUCGUCUUCCUUGUCCUUUUCGAUGUCUACUUCUUCCACUUCAUCCGCACCAAGGAGAUGUGUCCACAAACAGUAAUAAAUUUGGUGAGUCUUAUUGAGAACACCAAAUUUGUUUGUUAAAUAUUUAUGAUCACACAAAAAUAAUAUUAUCACUUUUCUUUUAUUUAUAUGUAGGACUUAACUAUGGUACAACUGUAGUACUAUAUCACAGUUGCGUCUAAUUAUUGGAUCCAACUACUUAGUUAUUAGAUCUCUUACCAUAACUGAAUCAAAUAAUUAGGUGUAGCUGUGGUAUGAUAUUCGGCUACCCUCGUUACAGAGGGAAGCCAGAAACGACAUGCUUGUGUGCCGUUUUGAAGUUUUAGAUUUGAGAAUUAAAAACAAAUUUUACCAUUAAAAAUUAAUAAAAGCUAAUCAAAACAAAUUAAAAAUCUAAAUUCUUAUCCCUCCCCUCACUCACCCCUAGGGAUGGCAAUUGUACCCACAAACCUGCCUAAACCCACCCGCCAAAACCCGCCCGUUGCGGGUAAUUUUACCCAUUGCGGGUGGGUUUAGUAUUAUAAAUUAGAACCCGCACAUGGAUGCGGGUGGGUUUGGUAUUAACCUUAUAUCCGGUGGAUACCCGCAUGGAUAUCUACCAAACCCGCAAUAUUUUUUCCAAAUAUUUUUAAUUUAAUUUUUAAUCUAAAAAUGUAUAAAGAAAAUAAUGUCAUUAAUCAAAUUACCAAAUAGCGAAAGGCUCAAAGUUGUGUAUGUGUGUAUGUGGCCCAUCUCCUAUUCUAAAAUUAUAACCUAAAGAAAACUAAAGGCAUUUCCCUUCGAAUUAGUAUUUAAAAAUAUUAAUCUUAAUUAUUAUUAUAGGCAUUGUGUUGGAUGGGUGCUUAUGGUGGUGAAUGAAAUGAAUAUCUUCUCUUGGAGCUUGUUUUAAAUGAUAAUAUAAAAUGUAAUUAUUAUUUUUAGAUACUAGUUUGUGUUUUUUAAAUAGAUUUGCGUAAUUUAUACUUAAAUUUGAGAAUUUGUGUUGAAUUGAUGUGAAAAUUUUAAUUUUUCAUUUACAUUGUUUUAAAUAUAAAAUUGAGUAUGUUAUAUGAAAUUUGAGGUUAUUAUUAUAAAUUUAUAUAUUAAACAUUUGUGAUUUUAAAUACGAAAACCCGCAAAAAAUCCGCCGGAUACCAUUGCUGGUUUGGUAAUUGUUAAAACCUGCUGCGGGUGGGUUUUUUAAAAAAAAUUAAAACCCGCUGCGGGUUGCGGGUGGGUUUGGUAAUUUAAAUUUUGUGCGGGUUUGGGUUUGGUAAUGGCAAACCCACUGCGGGCGGUGCCCAUUACCAUCCCUACUCACCCCCUCUCUCUCACCCGCUCUGUCCCUCUCGGCUCUCACUCUCACCCACGAAGCUCGUUCCCCUCUCACUCACCCACAAGCUCACUGUCAAUGUUUUACUCAUAUCUCAGCUAACGCAUCAUCAAAACCGCAACCAUGACGCUGGGCUUAGGAGGAUCCAGUGUCGUGGGUCAGUUUCUUCUUUGAUCUUGCCCUUUUUUGUUCAAUCUAUUUAUGCCCUUGAUUGAUUUAUUCUCUUUGUUUUGUUGUGUUUCUUGUUCUGGCAAAAUCUAUCGCAGCUGUUGCUUUUAUUAUUUUAUAAUUUUUUUUGGGUGGUUUUGUGUACUCUUAUGAACAUUCUUUUUGGCAUAAAUGCAUCUGGGUUACUACGUUUGAUUGUUAAUUAGACUUGAUCCGUAAUUCUAUGCGUUUUUUGAAUUUUUUUUCGGGAAAUUAAGUUAAUUUAGUUUAAUAUUAUUAGAUUAUUGUCACCUAAAAUUAGUAUAUUUAAUCAGUUAAAGAAAUUCUUUUGACACGGCCUUUACAAAACCUUGUAUGUGAUACUUUGAUUAGAAAAGUAUUUGUUUUUAUUUUUUAUUUAUAUUUUAAAAUUACUAGAAAUAAGUUAUUUGAAGUGUGAUAUUUUGUGAAAUGUUAAAGCUUAUGGUUUGGUUGUAAUUAUGUUUUUGCUUAUAUAAUGUUUACGUCUGUUGGCACUCAUUUUUUUUUUGGUAUUUAAAGUUUGCAUAUAUGGUGUGUAUUAAGAUUUUCAAGUUGUUCUUCAAACAUAUUCUGGGUAGUUUGAUAUAUCACACGUUUCAGUGAAUUCUUUAGUUGAGGCAAUUGUUUUUGGUCUUAGCUGCAUUGUUAAGUUCUUUACCACAUAGAAUUCCCUAGUUUUCUUCUGCUAAUCCAGUAAUUGCAGCUUCAUUCUAAGGUUCUUUAUUUUCUAUAAAGCAUAUAUUGCUUCAUUAACCCUCCUCUAAAAUCAAACCAAACGUGACUUGUAUUUGAUUUUUAUCCUUGAAAAAUAGAAUCCAUCCUUUUCUUUUUCUCUUUAUGCUGCUAAUAUGUAUUUGAUUCAUUCCAAUCUUACAGAUCAUUGUUGGAUGCCGAAUCAGCAUACAAUACUUACAAUUAUGAGAGGAAAAUGAACAACCAAUUGCCUGGUUCAGUUAGGCUUGAAGCUAGUAAGAUUGACAUAAAAACAUUUGUUUAAGAUAAAAUUGUAUCUUUUUUCUUUUUUUUUUUUGCUUAAUUUGGCAUUUCUAUAUGAUCUACUCUUAUUGUUGUAAUGAUUAUUGACACACUCAACCUUUGAAUAUAUGGAUAAAAAACCUUCAAAAUAUUUCCAUGUUCAAUCAUUGAGCAUUAGAGUAAUAUCAUCCAACCAACUAUUACACAAAACACAACUAAAAUUAUACAACAAAAGAAUAAGUCAAUGAUCAAUCUGUUAAGUCUGCUCCAAACUUCUCUGUCAUUAUCAUUUUGUUGAAGUAGCAAUUGCUGAAAACUCCCUUAUUGAGAACCUUUAUACGAUAUCCAAGAUGAAGAAUAAGGACAUAGAUGGGAUUGCUAGUUUGUACAAAAUAAGAACCAUAUUACAUUCCAGAAAAUAUAAAAUUAAUUAAGCAUAAAUAUAGAAACUGGAUUAUAACUUACAAUGUAAGAAUCAAAAGGAAACGAUGGAUAAAUAUCAUAUCCUUGUAAUUGGUAUAUGAUCACAUGUUCCUAAAUAAUGACCAUUAUUUAGUGACCAUUAAAAAUUAAAAAAAAAAUUAAAUAAUAUUACAUUAAAGAACAUAAAACUUACUGGAUCCUUAUUGCUCUCCUGCGGUGGGACUACAAUAUCCACCUCAGAAGAUAAUGGUGUUUGUACAUUUGAAUCCUGCAAAUCCAUAAAAAGAUACAUUAAAAUUAAAAUUAAAUUAAUUGUAGAAUAAUUAAGUAAGUAGUUUAAUCUUACCUUAAUUGUUGUCAUCUAAUUCUUCUUUUUUUGGCUCAUAAGAAGAUAAUGGUGUUUAUCAAACAACGUCAUACUUUUUUUGUUUCACAUCCACAUCAUUAUCAGUUUUUUUAUUAUUUCCAUCUAAAUUGUUGUUCAUCUAAUUCUUCAAAAUCUUCGACUUUGUAGUUUUUUUUUCAAAUCCUUCAUUUUUAUAUCAUGAAAAAUAAAUUAUAUUAAUCAUAUAUAAUUCAAACAAAAUCUACAUUUCAAAUAACUUAUUUCUAAUAAUUUUAAAAUAUAAAUACAAUAAAUCAAAACUUUCCUCAACAUGCUAAAUUUAAUUAGCUAGGUAGGUGAAAAAGGUCCAAAAUCGUCAAGCACACCUUCAAGUAAGGCUGGUCGGCGACAUGAUCGGUGAUGGGCUGGUCGGCGAUGGGCAUGGCGUGACAGCGAUGAUGGCUAGUCAACGAUGGGCGCGGCGUGACAACAAGUUUCGUGGGUGAGUGACAGCCUGAGAGAAACAGCUUGCUAGUGGGUGAGUGAGAGAGACAGAUCGGGUGAGAGAGAGAGAGAGAGAGAGAGAGACGGAGAAAAUAAGCGAGUGAGAGUGACGGUUAAGAAUUUUGGAAUUUUCAAAUUCUUUAGAUUCAAAUUCUUCUUCUUCCUAAUAAAUCAUUUCUACGCAAGAGACACGAUGAGGGACCCACAAACGCGACAGAAUUGGAUAUCCCGAUAUUUUAAAAUGAGGAAUAUAAUAAAUCGCCUUCCAAGAGGCUUCAUCAAGAAUCAAGAUAUAUAGCAAGGGGUCUCCCUCUCUCUGUCUGUUUCCUCUCUGUUCUAUUCAAUGAAAAUGGAGACUGCACUUUGGACUGUGCCUUUCUCCAUUGCUUUCUCUACAGCUAUUCUAGCCGUAGCAUGUGCCUGGUGGAUGCUACUGAAUUGGGUAUGGCUAAAACCAAAGAAGCUAGAAAAGUUCCUCAGAAAGCAAGGAUUCUCCGGAAACUCCUACAAAGUAUUUUACGGAGACAUGAAAGAGCUUGCCCAGACCACUAAAGAAGCUAAAAGCAGACCCAUCAGCCUCUCCGACGAUAUCGCCCGGCGAAUUCUGCCUUUCCACUAUCAUAUCAUCACCAAUUUUGGUAAGCCUUCCUACUAAUUUAUCUCACUCAACUUCACUUGGUAAUAAUUUUAUUUUGCUUAUAUAUCAAUAAAAUUAAAUAAGAUUCAAGUUUUUUUAAUUUUAAAGGAAAAAGAGAACGGAACAUAAGUUGUCAAUAUUUAUAUUUCUCAUUGUUAUCACUUUAGUAUUUUAUUUUUUUUAUUUUUUUAUUACACCUUUAAUGUUAAAAGCGUAAUUAAAAAAAGUUUUUUUUUACCGUUUUACAGUUAUUAUCUUAAUUUCACUCUAUCGGUAUAAUAUGAUUUUUUUUUUUUAUGUCAAAAGUCAUGUUAGUAUUCAACAAUAAAUUUCUAACAUUAAAAUCAUAGUUAUGUCAUGAAAGUAAGAGUGAUUAAAAAGUGAAGAAUGGUAGGGACCAAUGAGUCAUUCUUCCACAAGGGAGAAGGGACCAAAAAGAAAAGAAGGUAAUGGUUUUUGGAAACUUUCAACCAAGUCUGUUUCUGAAGAUUUUUUUUUUUUUUUGUCUUUUAUAAUGACAAUAAAAUAGUUAUUUUUUUGAAAGUAUGUAGAUGUAAAUUAUAUUAAAUAUAAUUUAAAAUUUUUUAAGAAUAAUUAAAAAUUUUUUUUUAUAUUGUUCUUAGUUGACCGAAAAUUAUUUAUAACCAACUAUAAAAAUUAAUGUAUAUUAAUAAUGAAUUUUAGGACUCCUCUUUCUCUUCUUUUGACUAUUAUUAUUAUUUUUUUAAUUUAUAGUUAGAAUAAAUAUAUUUUUCUGUCUCUCCAUUCAUAUUCAUGACAAUAAAAUUUGAGACUGUAUUUAAAUAGCAUUAAUGUAGGUGAAUGUAGAAUUUUAAUUACAAAAAAAUUAAUAAAUUUAAACAUGUUAAAAAAAUAAGACAAAAUAAGAUAACGAUACUGAUACACUGACGCAGACAUCUGAAUGACGUCUGUGCUUAUGCGAGGCAGCCACGAAAAAUAAUAAAAUACGAGAAGCUGUCCCAUUUUUUAGUUUUUUGUUCUCUGUGUUUGUGGAUGAGUUUUGACCGCAAAAUUUCAAGAUAUUACUUGCCUAACAAGGCGUUGAUGCCACCUGGUGGAUCAGUUCUGUAGCAUUUUAUUUUCUCCUUUAAUUUGAAUUUGAGAAAGGGCUAAAAAAUUGAAUUAAGUUUCAACGCACUUCUAUUUUUAAAAAUAAAUAAAUAAAAUAUGGUGUUCACCUGUUUUUAAAAAUCAUUUUCUUCGCAUUACGUGUCUUUUAACUCGUUUUAAAAAUAUUCAUCUUGGAAGAAUGGUAAUGCGUACUUAAGGAAAAAAAUAUUGAAAAAACUAAAGGGUCCUUUUCAUAAAAUAAAAUAAAAUAAAUUUUGUGUUUUUUUUCUAAGAAUAAUGAAAACCAAAAACAUGAUAAGUUGAAAGACUCUAAUCCGUAACCCUAAUUGCUAAAAUUACAGGUAAGAAUUCCUUCAUAUGGAUGGGUCCAAGACCAAACUUAAACAUCACAGACCCUAAGAUGAUAAGGGAAAUCUUUUUGAAGCAUGAUAUCUUUAAAAAGCUGAGAAGCCCACUUGCGAAGUUGCUGAUCACUGGGAUGGUAGGCUAUGAUGGUGAACAGUGGUUUAAAGUUAGAAAAAUCGCCACUCCAGCUUUCCAUCAUGAUAAGUUGAAGGUUCGUUUUCACCUUUAUACUUCGUUUAAUCACACACAAACACACACCAUUUUCAAUAUGCAUAUUCAUAUUGUUACAUGACCAAUGACAAUGUUUGACAAUUUCUUUUCUUCUUUUUUUCUUUUUAAAGAAUAUGUUACCUACAAUUCAUAAGAGCUGUAACGACAUGCUAAGGAAAUGGGAGAUGUCGUUUUCAAAGGAUGAGUCCUGUGAGUUAGAUGUGUGGCCUCAUAUUCAAACUUUGACAGCGGAUGUGAUUUCUCGAACAGCAUUCGGCAGUAACUUUGAAGAAGGAAGAAAAAUAUUUGAAGUCCUAAGCGAACAAAUUAAUCUUGNNNNNNNNNNNNNNNNNNNNNNNNNNNNNNNNNNNNNNNNNNNNNNNNNNNNNNNNNNNNNNNNNNNNNNNNNNNNNGUACUCUUAGUGACCUGAGCUGUGCUAGUUUUUUAAAGAUCUUAUAUCAUGUGUUUGUUUAUAGCACUGCAUAAGAUUAAAAGUGGUCUUCUAAAAAAAGAAUCCUUAUCAUUAUAGUGUAGAAAAGGGUUAUCAAAUGUUUUAGCGUAUCAAUAAUUUCCACGUGCCUUGCACUUAAUUAUGAGAAUGGUUUAUUGGUAGGUUUGUGCCUAAUAAACUGAACAGAAAAUUGAACAGCAACCACAAUGAAAUGGGAGAACUGGUAAAAGGUAUCGUUAACAAAAGAAAGGAAGCUCUGAAAGUUGGAAAAGCCAGCAAUAAUGGUGACUUAUUGGGUAUAUUGAUGGAAUCAAAUCACAAAGAGAUUCAGGAGAAGGAAACUGGAAUGAGUAUUGAAGAGGUGAUUGAAGAGUGCAAGCUGUUCUAUCUAGCUGGGCAGGAAACUACUGCAUCAUUGCUUGUGUGGACAAUGGUUUUGUUAUGCAUACAUCCUGAAUGGCAAGAACGAGCAAGGGAAGAGGUUUGUCAAGUUUUUGGAAAUAGAGAACCAAAAUUUGAAGAGCUGAACCAGUUGAAAGUAGUAAGUAAUCUUACUCUUACUUAAAUAUCUAAUUUGUCGAAAAUUUUGGGAAGACUCAAUUUCUUGUUAAUUUUCAGGUGUCAAAGUCUGGAUUUACAAAAUAUAAAUUUGAACUACCAUUAGGACUCUAGGCUGGGGUAGAAUUAUUUUUAUUCUAAUGAUAGAUCAAAUUUGGAAUUUGGGAUAUCCAAACAUCCGCACUUGAAAACUACUUCUCCUUAAAUUGAUACCACUUGAAUUUCUUAACCUGACCAGUGUUUGUCAAUAUUUUACUAUCAAAGAUAGAGGAAGCCACAUAAAUUAGGGAAAAUCUUGGGAGGUGCCAACAGAACUGUGUCAUCGUCCCACAACAUCAGAAUUAUAUUCUGUGAUUUUCACAAUUAAUUAUCCUUAAUAAAUUUGUUAUCAGUCACCAAGAACAAAGAAUUUCCUUGUUUGAAAAAAUAAUUCCAGUGUAUGGUGCAAGUAAGAAAAUUGAGUUCUAUACAAGGUACUUAGAUUGUGCAGUAGUUAUGGCAAUGAGGGUUGGUUACUGGAAAUGAUAAAACCUACAAAAAUGUCGAGGGUUCAAAAUCCUUCUUAUACAGGGAAUGGGAAGGGAUUUGUUAUAUAUGUACGUAAUAUUUUAAAAAAUCAAAGUUUAAAAUUAACUAGUAGUGAUAGCUUAUUUUGCAAACCAAAAGACCGGAAAUCCAGUGAAAUUUAGAACCUUAACUAAUUUUUUUUUUUCCCCUCCCAAAUGAUUCCGUUUUCUGUUGCAGGUAAGCCAAAUUCUGUACGAGGUACUGAGGUUAUAUUCAUCAGCACCUCUGCUUACUCGAGCUAAUGUUAAGGAGAUUAAGCUAGGAGAAAUUGUUAUACCACCUGGAGUUUUACUUUCAUUGCCAAUAAUGCUUGUUCAUCAUGAUCAUGAAUACUGGGGCGAUGAUGCAAAAAAGUUCAACCCAGAUAGGUUUUCAGAAGGAGUCUCAAAGGCAUCGAAGAAUCAAAUUUCAUUCUUCUCAUUUGGUUGGGGUCCUCGAAUCUGCCUUGGACAAAGCUUUGCUCUGUUGGAAUCGAAAUUAGCUUUAGCAAUGAUUUUGCAGAAGUUCACUUUCCAGCUUUCACCAACUUAUAUGCAUGCUCCUACUCGUGGGGUAACUGUAUAUCCACAGCAUGGUGCUAAUAUCAUUUUACACAAAAUUUAGUAUGCAUUACUAUCGCAAGUAUUCAGAAUUCAUGCCAUAUAGUAUAUGUAGAGCAAGAACUUUAUUAUUUUGAUUUACCGUUUCAAAUUUUCUCAGUACUCUUCUUUCCAAUAAAUUUAGAGAUGCAAUUUUUUUUUUCUAUUUAGUAUACAAAGUUGAUUAGGCCUCUUGUGGUCAAAGCAAAAAAAUAAAAACAAAUUAACUUUUCGUGCUGAGGAAAAUAGAAAUAAAUAUGACAAAUCAAUGGUUUUGAAGUGUUUAGAACACUUUUUUUAAAGGUUUUUUUUGGGUGUUUGUAGAUCAGAUUUUAUAGAUUAGACAUCAAUUUAUAUCUGAUUAAUAAUUUUACGGAUUUUAAAUUGUCAAUCUAAUCAAAUCCACAAAUUGGUGAAAUUCAAUUUAAGUCAAAUUCAUGUGUCUCCAAACCAAAUGCGGAUUUAAUCCAAUACUUAUCUAAUCCACUAUUUUGCAAAUUAGUUUAAAAUUUUAUAAUUUUGUCAAAUUCACAAACUAAUUAAAUAAAAAAAAUUAAUAUAAAAAUAAUUUUACUACCGAUCAAAUUCAAAAUUGAAUAAGAUUUAAAUAAAUUAAUUGUUUAAAUAAAGUUAGAAUAAUGCAUUUAGAGUUUCAAAAUAUACUACAUCGAAAAUAAAAUCUCAUUUGUUUAGAUUAAUACAUAAAAAUUAACUGAAAUUAUGAAAAUUAACUAUUUAGGAAUUGUUUUGUCUUGCUUGACCCAAGGAAGAGGAAUUUUUUUGUCUUACCUUUGGUUGAAUACCGAUUAUUAUUAUUUGGCGAGACCAAUUAAUUGUUUAUACAUACUUAAAAAAUAAUUUUGUCCAACCUUUUAAUUACAUUUUAUUAUAGGUAAUUAUGUAUAAACUAAAUUCAGUAUGUCGCAUACAAUUAAAAAAAAAAAAAAAGAGUGCCCCGCACAUAUGACAAAGUAGUAAUGGAAAUUAAUUAUAAGCUACCCGAAUUUUGAGAUGGCUAAAUAUUUUUAAAUAAAAUUAAAUUAAAAGGCUUGUAAUUGGCCAAUUUGUCAAAAUAAUAAUAGAUUACAAACAAGUUAGAAAAAUUUGUCUAUACAAAGGAUUGUGGAUGAGAGAAUUAUUUGAAAAGUCAGACAAUCCCUUUUUAUGCAAAUUGAUGUGAUCAAGUUACAUAUAUAAAUUCUACAAAGUAUUUGUGGUUUUACCAUUACUCAUUUAGAAAUUGUGUUAAGUUCUAGCCGAUCAUUUUAUAAAUUGUUGAAAAACAGAAAUAUGGAAAAGUCUAGUCACGGGAGUUAAAAUUUUAUCUAGAUAAAAUAGUAAUAACAAAAUAUGUUGGUUAAAAUUAGUGAAAAUAAAACAUUCAACUAGGGGUGGGCAAUAGUCGAUUCGGUUCGGGGCCUGAACCGAACCGAACCAAAAUAUUUCGGUUUGGUUCAGUCCGGUUCCUAAAUUCGGUUCGGUAACAACAUUUCUAUUUAAUCACAAUAUUCAGCUUAGCAAAUAUUCAACAUUUCUGUUUAAUUAUAAGUUUAUUUUAACUUGUAUAACUGCAGUAACAACAUUUUCCGUUUUGAUGAUUUUAAAAUAACAAGAAACUAAAAUUAGUUAAGAGCAUGCAUAUAAUAUUAACUUGCAGGAUGUUGCUAUGUUACAACAACUGUAACAUACACACCCAAAGCAAAUAGCACACGUAUCCUGACUUACAGAGAAAAAGCAAUGAAAAUGCAAGGUUCGGGGUUAGCUGAAGCAGCAUAUGUACCUUACAGAUGCUUUAACUUAGCCAACUCCUAACUUGCAACGAGUACUCCGAUGUUAUGAGACCCAAACAGAAUAAAAUAAAACGAAAAUGAUUUGAAAUUGAUUGAGAUUUGAGGUAGAAUGAGAUGUUGGGUAUUGAUCCAACACCAUUACCAUGGACCCAAAAACUCAAGUUAUUAAGGAAAAAAAAAAACAGACGGGCCAUGGCAUAAAUUUAAAAGAAAAAAAGACACCCAUAGGCUGCAGCUGCAGCAACCAAGAUGACCGUGUGCGAGGAUUAACAACGGCGUCACUGUGCUUGAGGGGAGGGGCUGUGCUGCUACUGUGGGGCUGUGCUAGGCGCUGACCGUGGUGUGAGGCGAGGGAGAGACGCGAGGAAGAGACCGAGAGGGGCUGAGCCGAACCGCACCAUGCACGCGUAGAGGGGGAAGAUACUGCCGAGGAGUGGUGCCGCCGCUGAGGAGCUGUGCCGUGAGGAGAGAGAGAGACGCGAGGGAGAGAGGCAAGGGCAACAGUAUAGAUGCAAUCAUGAAUUUGUGAUUUCCAAUUUAGGGUUUUGAUUUUUUGUGAUUGAAAUUUGAUUUUAAAUUUACAUAUUUCACUUUAAAUAUUUUUUAAUUAAAUUGAACCAAACCAAUCGAUUUUUCGGUUCAGUUCGGUUUUUAACCGAACCGAACCGAACAAAAACCAAUCGGUACAGUACUUUUUAAACCAUUCGGUUUUUGCUCAUAUAACCGAACCGAACCGAACUAAAAUUUUUCGGUUCGGGUCAGCAAAAACCGAACCGUUUGCCCACCCCUACAUUCAACUACUAUUUUUUUUUAUUUUGUCAAUGCCUUAGGAAAUGAAUUACUUGGUCAUAAAAAAUUCAAAGUUGUCUAAGACAAAACUUUGAGUUACUAUUUUUAGUUUUGUCACCAUAAUGACUCAUCUACGACUAAAAAACGAGAUCUUAAAAUUAUAAUAAAUCGAAAUAGCUUUAGAGACUAAUAUUAUGUGUUAUUGAUGGUUUCCUAAAUUUACACCUGUGUUUUAGUUACAAAAUAUUUUUGUCACCUAUAAUUAUAUUUCUCGAUCAUUUAUUUUGUCAUGAAUGACUUUUUCUUAAUUGGAUACGUGUAGUAUCUCUUGAAAUAAUUAUCAAUGAAAGUUACCAAGUACUUUUCACCUCUCAGGAAUAUAUAUGGCAAUUCCUAAAUAUCAGAAUGAAUUAAAUUAAAAAUGCUUCUACUUCUAUCGCUAGAUCUGUUAAACUUGAAUCUAUGUUACUUGUAAUACAAUGGUCACAAAACGAUGAGUUUUCCUAUUUAAACCUCGAAAACAACUUUUGCUCAGAGAUAAUCUUUAAACCUUAUUUUGACAUGUGGCUAAGUUUGAGAUGCCACAUUAUUGUCGAUUCUUCUUCAUUUGGCGUGACACAUCAUCGUCUUGUAGUGUUUCUCCUUUAAGCAUAAAUAAAAUUAACACCGAUCUUUUCCACCUUCAUCAAUACAAAUACGCCUUUAACAUCCCAUUUUUUAUAUGAGCUUUGCGUCCAAGAAACUCUAUUCGUCCUAAAGACAAUAAAUUCUUUUUCAUGCCUUUGACAUGUCGUAUCUCCUUAAUUGUGCGAACUGUACCAUCAAACAUUUUUCUUUUGACAACACUAAUACCAAAGAUUUCCAAGUCACCCAUGUACACAUAUUCUCUUAAAAAGGUCCAUAUUUUUGGAACCACUCUCUUUAAGAGGCCAUGUGCCAUGUUGCUCCUAAGUCUAUAAGCCAAAUGUCAGCCAAAUGCUUCCCGUUUUCUGCAAGAAUUGUUGUCUCGUUGUAGAGAAUUUUUCCAUCAUCAAAAGUACUUACCGUACAAUCAUGAGCAUUUGAUGACUCAACUUCAUUGUCUCUCCUUUGCUUAUUUUUCCAACACUCUUUCUUGACGUGCCCUUUCUUGCCGUAAUUGUAGCAUUUAACAUUCUUGUUACUUCUUGAUUUUGAUCUACUAUGAUUGCGACAUCCACUGGGGCCACGUUCUGUUGAUCUAUUUCUAGUCAUCGAUAAUGCUUUUGGUUGCCGCGAACUUGCCUGCCUACCUUCCUUGUUUUUUUUGUUUGCUUUCUUCAUUUAAUAUAGAGGUUGCAACAUUGCCGAAGACUAGACUGUCUAUUUGGUUAUUGUUUAUUAGAUUAAUGAUGAGUUGAUUGUAUGAAUUUGAAGAGUGUAAAGAUUCAUUUUUAAGAAAAUCUUGUUUUGUAAAGACUUGUCCUCGUACAAUUUUGUAAGAGUAUCCCAUAUUUUCUUUGCUAUCUUUUUCUCUCCUCACUACACUUCAUUAGCCAGUGCUAAAUGUAGAUCCGUAGUUGCAUUAUUGUCUACCUCGCUCCACUUGGCAUCAUCAGUUAUCUCCAUAAACUUUUCUCUUAUUGUUACCAUGCAAUUUUUUUUUUCCUCAAAAUAGCCUUCAUCUUUAUUUUCUACAAUGACGAAUUAUUUCUGUUGAACUUCUCAAUUUCGUAUUUGCCAUCAUUUUUUUUUCACCACAAACUACCGUUGCUAAGAUUGGCUCCCAUCGUUUCACGUGAAUACUAACCAUAUGUGUGAACAAUACUAUAUACGUGAAUAGUACUGUGACAACCAACUUGGCUCUAAUACCACUAUUAAGAAAUUAAUGGUGAAGCAGGGCCACAACUAAAAUGAAAUUGGAGAAAAAUAAAGAAUAAGCAUACAAAGAGGACGCUAGAAAUUACAUGAUUAAGCUUUUAACUUAUAUCUAUAGGCGAAGACAGAAGGAUAAAACUUGACUAGUGCAAAGAAGAUUAUAAGUAUUGUAAGAUUUUACCCUUACUUUCUAGAACCCAAUACACCCAAUCGCUUAAUCACUAAACUCUCAAGAGUUUAUGAUUUGAGCUCUCAAAACUCUCAGCUUCUUGCUCUUGAUAGAAAAAACGAUUUGAAGAAAAAAAAUGGAUUUUUUUUUGACGAAAUGGGCAUUAAUUUACAAUUUAUAGGGAACUCCCCUUUUAUAGCCAAAAUCGUCUAUUAUUUUAAUUUCUUCUUUUUUUUCCUUCUCGUGGCUUCUUUAAUGUCGAAGCCAUAAACUGCCAUUUUCCUUCAAACUUUUUGGCACUGAUCACUAUUUGUCAAAUUCAACAUUUGCGGCUUCUUCAUUUGCGGCACCGGCUUCUACAUUUGAUUGCCAAGCCAACAAGCCGCAGACAGAAGAAGAAGCACUCGGUUACUGUCGAUGGUUGUUAAGCAGUCAAACAGCUAAGAUGAAAAAAACAUUUAGGCAAUCUACGGUCUCAUUUUUUCCUUUCGUAAAAAAAUCCCUACACGAUCCCCUCUUCAAUUUCCAAUUUUAUUAUUCCCUCUUCAUUUUUAAUAUUUUUCCCUUUGCAAAUCCUCUUUAAAAUCGUUUGAUCAAGUAGCCUAUCACUCUUAAAAAUAACCAGUUCAGGUGGUUGACUCCUUGUUACUACUUUUUGAUAAGUAUCAUGACAUGGAUUCAAAUUAAAACACAUUUGAUGCUCUCGGAUUCUCUACACUGUAAGUUACGUAAACAUAACUGAGGAAUUGCCUAAUAUAAAUUAUUUAAAAUAUAUUUUAUUAAAAAUAUCCUGUCUUUCCACACGUUUUAGCAGUUUUUGGGAUUGAUGCCAACUUAGAGUUAUCCAAGUCUUUUCUUUUUAAAUAAAUAAAUAAAUCAUUCUACAUUUUGGUUCAUACAGAGCACGAAUAUAGCCACAAUCAAAUUUGACAGUUAUGUUUCUCAUUUUGUAGAAAACUCUAUUGUAUAAAAUUCACUACUACAAAAUUAAUCUUUAAUGACGGUUUUAAAAGACAUAAGAUCGUCAUCUUAGGCAAUGACAUUAAAAAAGGUACACCUUUUAUGAAGUUUCAAAAACCGUCAUUAAAUGUAUACAUAUAAUGACGGUUAUUUUAUUAAACAGUCAUUAUUUGAGAUAUAUUCAAGAGUUUUAAUGACGGUUUUUUCUUAAAAAUCAUCAUUAAAAAAUACCAGUCAAUGAAGGUUCUUUAAAUAACAAUCAUCAAUAGCACUUUAGCAUAUAUUUUUAAUGACAAUUUUCUUCAAAACCGUCAUUAAAUGUCAAUUUUUAAUGACGGUUUUAUAUAAAAUAGUCAUCUUAUAUAGGUCUUUGAUGACUGUUCUUAUAUAAGAACCAUCAUCUUUUGCAUGAGUAAAAAGAAAAAAAAUAGUAAUUUAAAAUUACCAUGCUUUAACUGUUUUUUUUAGAUUAAAAUUUACAUAGUUGUUUUCACAUUCUAAACUGUACAAUUGAAGCCGCAUUUGCAAAAUUUCAAUUUACAUUACACAUUGAUAUAAUUGUCAUUUACAUACAAAGAACUCAAAUACAUACAAGCUUAAUUAUAAUAGUUUAAUGCUUAAAUAACCUUUAUCAAAGUAACUCCUAAUAAUGAAAAAAUAUGCUACGCGAAUUCUCAAAUUAAAAUCCUGUCAAAGUCAUGGUUGGCACCACCCUUCUAGAUGGGCGGUGCCAAACCAUCAACAUUUUCAACACAGCUCGCCAUUUUUGGUGGUGCUGAAAUGCUUGAAGAAGAAAAAGGAGAAAAAAGAACAAAAGAAGAAAGAAGAAGCCGAAAGAUUUGAAAGGAAAAAUAAUAAAAUAUUAAUAGUAUUAUUUUAUUAAAAAAAGGAAGGGAAAUGAAGCCUAUAAAUAGAAGGCUUCAAUUCCCCUCUCGGCAUCCCAUUCUUCAGUUUUUAAUCUUUUGUCAGAGAGGAAAAAUUAAGAGUCUUAAUACUCUUCUGUAAUUAGUGAGUGAGAGAUUUGGUGUAUUGGGGUUUUGGGAAGUGAGCUAAAAUAUUACAAUACGUGUAAUCUUCAUAUCAUUAGUGAAAUAUUUUCCUUCUAUAUUCGCCCGUGGACGUAAGCUAAAAGCCGAACCACGUAAUUUUCUGGUGUCCUCUUUUGUGUUUGUUCUUUAUUUUCUUCCAAUUUAAUUUUAGCUGUGGUAUUCCUUCACCCAUCAAUUUCCUAGUAGUGGUAUCAGAGCUAGGUUGUAUUUUUUGGAGUUGGGCUAUUGUUCACGUAAAAGUACUAUUCACAUAUACGGUAUUAUUCAUGUAUACAAUAUUGUUCACGUAUAUGAUACUAUUCGUGUAUACGAUUCUGUUCAUAUGUACAAUUACUGUUCACGUGAAACGGUGGGAGCCAAUCCUAGCAAAGUUAGUUUUUGGUGAAAAACAAUGGCAGCAAAAUACGAAAUUGAGAAGUUCAACGGAAAUUAUUUUUCGUUGUGGAAAAUAAAGAUAAAAGUUGUAUUGAGGAAAAAUAAUUGCUUGACAGCAAUUGGAGAAAACCCCACGGAGAUAACUGAUGACAAGUGGAACAAGAUAAACGGCAUCGCCAUUUCUGAUCUACACUCGGCACUUGCGGAUGCAGUAUUAUCUAGUGUGGCAGAGAAAAAGACAGCAAAGGAAAUAUGAGAUACUCUCACAAAAUUGUACGAGGCCAAGUCGCUGCACAACAAGAUCUUCUUAAAAAUGAGACUCUAUACUCUUCGAAUGGCGGAAUUUACAUCAGUGACUGACCACAUCAACACCUUAAAGACUAUAUUUUCACAACUCACAACGUUGGGUUAUAAUAUAGAGGAAAAUGUACUUACAGAGCUUCUAUUUCAAAGUCUACCAGAUUCUUAUGAUUAAGUCAUUAUCAGCCUUACAAACAACAAUUCAGCGAACAAUCUAGUUUUCGACGAUAUUGCCGCUUCCGUAUUAAAUGAAGAAAGCAGGCAGAAAAAUAAAGAAGACAGACAAGCAAGUUCACAGUAUGCAAAAACACUAUCGGUAACAAGAGAGAGAUCAACAGAACUUGGCCCCAGUGGGAGUCACAAUCAUGGUGGGUUAAAAUCAAGAAGUAAGAAGAAUGUUAAAUGGUACAAUUGUGGCAAAAAAGGGCACGUCAAGAAAGAGUGUUGGAAUAACCAGAAAAGAAAAGAAUGUAAAGAACAUGAGUCAUCAAAUGCUCAAGGGUGUGUAGCAAGUACCUCGGAUGAUAGUGAAAUUCUCUACAGUAAGGCAACAACUGUUCAGAAGGCAGAAAAUAGCUAUCUGACGUUUGGCUUAUAGACUCAGGAGCUACCUGACAUAUGACCUCUCAGAGAGAAUGGUUCCACACAUAUGAACCUAUCUUAGGAGGAUCUGUAUAUAUAGGAGAUGAUCAUGCUGUGGAGAUCGUUGACAUUGGUACUAUCAAAAUAAAAAUAUUUGAUGGUAUUCGCACAAUUAGAGAGGUACGACAUGUCAAAUGCUUGAGGAAUAAUCUAUUGUCUUUAGGAAAAAUGGAUAGUCAUGGGUACAAAACUCAUGGGGAGAAUGAAAUUACGAAGAUUGUUAAAGGCACACUUGUAUUGAUGAAGGUUGAAAAGAUCUGUGCUAAUUUAUUUAUGCUAAAAGGGGAAACAUUGUAGGAAACUGAUGCGUGUGUUGCAUCAAAUGAAGAAGAGUCAAUGAUGAUAUGGCAUCUCAAACUUGGCAACAUGUUGGAACAAGGUUUGGAGAUUCUCUCUGAGCGAAAAUUGCUUCCAGGGCUCAAAUCAGUAAGCUUACAAUUUUACGAGCAUUGUAUUACAAGUAAACAACAUAGAUUAAACUUCAGUAGAUCUAUUGCUAGAAGUAAAUGCAUUCUAUAUUUAGUUCACUCUGAUGUUUGUGAAUUACCAGACAUAUCCAUGGGAGUUGCAAAGUAUAUGAUGAAUUUCAUUGAUGAUUAUUUCAGGAGAUGUUGGGUGUAUCCAAUUAAGAAAAAGUCAGAUGUAUUUCCAGUGUUUAAAAAAUACAAAGCGCAGGUGGAACUUGAAUCCGGCAAAAGGAUUAAGUGCUUGAGGACAGAUAAUGGUGGCGAGUAUACAGACGACGAGUUUCAUGCUUUCUGUAAGCAAGAAAGUAUUAAGAGGCAGUUCACAGUAGCAAACACUCCUCAACAAAAUGGAGUGGCAGAGCGAAUGAACAAGACUCUUACAGAACGAAUAAGAGCUAUGUUGAGGACUGCGGGUCUACCCAAUUUAUUCUGGGCAGAAGCAACCAAAACUGCCUAUUAUAUAGUAAAUCGGUCACCACCCACAACAAUUGGGCUGAAGAUAGAGAUAGAGAGGAGGAGCUCGGGCACAAACAAGAGAAAUUUUCUGUAUUUUGUGACAGUUAAAGUGCCUUUCACAUUGCAAGGAAUCCAACGUUUCAUUCCAGGACAAAGCACAUAGGAGUUCAAUAUCACUUCAUUCGAGAAAUAGUGGAAGAUGGAAAUAUGGAUUUACAGAAAAUCCAUACAAAGGAGAACUUAGCAGAUGUUAUGACCAAAUAAAUCAAUAUUGACAAGUUUGUUUGGAGUAGAUUCUCAUGUGGCCUAGCAGAGACGUAAGCAACAUAACAAUGGCGAAACAAAAAGGAUGGUAUGGAGAUUAAUUGAUCCUCAAUCAAAUCUCCAAGUGGGAGAAUGUCAAAGUCAUGGUUGGCACCACCCUUCUAGGUGGGUGGUGCCAAACCAUCAACAUUUUCAACACGGCCUGCCAUUUUUUAGGUGUCGAACUGCUUGAAGAAGAAAAAAGAGAAAAAAAGAGAAAAAAGAACAAAAGAAGAAAGAAGAAGCCGAAAGAUUUGAAAGGAAAAAUAAUAAAAUAUUAAUAAUAUUAUUUUAUUGGAAAAAAAGGAGGGGAAAUGAAGCCUAUAAAUAGAAGGCUUCAAUUCCCCUCUCGGCAUCCAAUUCUUUAGUUUUUCAAUCUUUUGUGAGAAAGGAAAAAUUAAGAGUUUUAAUACUCUUGUGUAAUUAGUGAGUGAGAGAUUGGGUGUAUAGGGGUUCUGGAAAGUGAGCCAAAAUAUUACAAUACUUGUAAUCCUCAUAUCACUAAUGAAAUAUUUUUUUUCUGUAUUCACUCGUGGACGUAGGCUAAAAGCCGAAUCACGUAAUUUUAUGGUGUUCUCUUUUGUGUUUGUUCUUUAUUUUUUUCUAAUUUCAUUUUACCUGUGACCCUACUUCACCCAUCAAUUUCCUAACAAAUCCAGUAUCAUAUAAUUAUACAAACAAAUAUAGAAACUAAAAAAUAAAUAAAGACUACAUUUUGUGCUUACAUAAGGUGGUAUUUGCACUUGGAACAUUUACACCGAGCCAGCAAGCUUGCCCUUCAAAAACUAAAUCCUUGCUCAGAAUUAUACACAAAGCAUGCUUUGCAAAGUAGUUCUUGUCUUGCAACUAGGCUUACCGAUGUAGUUUCUGUUAAAUCAAUACUUAUUGCAGCCCAAGUAUCACCAUUUUCAUUGGUUGGCUGCAAAGAACAGAAACAAAAAAUUCAAAUCAAAGGUAAAGCUAAACAAAUUGGCUUUUAAAGUAAAGAAAAAAGGCAUAGCCUUAAAAAAUUCCCAAGUAUCACCAUUUUCACCAAUGAUUUAUUACGUUAUGGGCAAUGAUAUUCGGCCACCACGAGACCAUAACGAAGCCAGAAACGCAUGCUUCUUCUGCCGUUUCGAAGUUUUAAAUUUGAAAAUUAAAAAUACAUUUUGCCAUUGAAAAAUAUCAAAAUUAAAUCUAAAGAAUUUGAAAAUUCCAAAAUUCUUACACGUCCCUCUCACUCGCUUAUUCUCUCUCUCUCUCUCUCUCUCACCUUCCCUCUCACUCACCCGAUCUGUCUCUCUCACUCACCCACUAGCAAGCUGUUUCUCUCAGGCUGUCACUCACCCACGAAACUUGUUGUCACGCUGCGCCCAUCGUUGACCAGCCAUCAUCGCUGCCACGCCACGCCCAUCACCGACCAGCCCAUCACCGAUCACGUCGCCGACCAGCCUUACUUGAAGGUGUGCUUGACGACUUUUGACCUUUUUCACCUACCUAGGUAAUUAAAUUUAGCAUGUUGAGGAAAAUUUUGAUUUAUUGUAUUUAUAUUUUAAAAUUAUUAGAAAUAAGAUAUUUGAAAUGUAGAUUUUGUUUUAAUUAUAUAUGAUUAAUAUAAUUUAUUUUUCAUGGUAUAAAAAUGAAGGAUUUGAAAAAAAAAACUAAAGUCGAAGAUUUUGAAGAAUUAGAUGAACAGCAAUUUAGAUAGAAAUAAUGAAAAAAACUGAUAAUGAUGUGGAUGUGGAACCAAAAAAGUAUGAUGUUGUUUGAUAAACACCAUUAUCUUCUUAUGAGCCAAAAAAGGAAGAAUUAGAUGACAACAAUUAAGGUAAGAUUAAACUACUUACUUAAUUAUUCUACAAUUAAUUUAAUUUUAAUUUUAAUGUAUCUUUUUAUGGAUUUGCAGGAUUCAAAUGUACAAACACCAUUAUCUUCUGAGGUGGAUAUUGUAGUCCCAACGUAGGAGAGCAAUAAGGAUCCAGUAAGUUUUAUGUUCUUUGAUGUAAUAUUAUUUAUUUAUUUUUUAAUUUUUAAUGGUCACUAAAUAAUGGUCAUUAUUUAGGAACCUGUGAUCACAUACCAAUUACAAGGAUGUGAUAUUUAUCCAUCGUUUCCUUUUGAUUCUUACAUUGUAAGUUAUAAUCCAAUUUCUAUAUUUAUGCUUAAUUAAUUUUAUAUUUUCUGGAAUGUAAUAUGGUUCUUAUUUUGUACAAACUAGCAAUCCCAUCUAUGUCCUUAUUCUUCAUCUUAGAUAUCGUAUAAAGGUUCUCAAUAAGGGAGUUUUCAGCAAUUGCUACUUCAACAAAAUGAUAAUGACAGAGAAGUUUGGAGCAAACUUAACAGAUUGAUCAUUGACUUAUUCUUUUGUUGUAUAAUUUUAGUUGUGUUUUGUGUAUUAGUUGGUUGGAUGGUAUUACUCUAAUGCUCAAUGAUUGAACAUGGAAAUAUUUUGAAGGUUUUUUAUCCAUAUAUUCAAAGGUUGAGUGUGUCAAUAACCAUUACAACAAUAAGAGUAGUUCAUAUAGAAAUGGCAAAUUAAAAAAAAAAGAUACAAUUAUUCACUUAAACAAAUGUUUCUAUGUCAAUCUUCCUAGCUUCAAGCCUAACUGAACCAGGCAAUUGGUUGUUCAUUUUCCUCUCACAAUUGUAAGCAUUGUAUGCUGAUUCGGCAUCCAACAAUGAUCUGUAAGAUUGGAAUGAAUCAAAUACAUAUUAGCAGCAUAAAGAGAAAAAGAAAAGGAUGGAUUCUAUUUUUCAAGGAUAAAAAUCAAAUACAAGUCACGUUUGGUUUGAUUUUAGAGGAGGGUUAAUGAAGCAAUAUAUGCUUUAUAGAAAAUAAAGAACCUUAGAAUGAAGCUGCAAUUACUGGAUUAACAGAAGAAAAUUAGGGAAUUCUAUGUGGUAAAGAACUUAACAAUGCAGCUAAGACCAAAAACAAUUGCCUCAACUAAAGAAUUCACAGAAACGUGUGAUAUAUCAAACUACCCAGAAUAUGUUUGAAGAACAACUUGAAAAUCUUAAUACACACCAUAUAUGCAAACUUUAAAUACCAAAAAAAAAAAUGAGUGCCAGCAGACGUAAACAUUAUAUAAGCAAAAACAUAAUUAUAACCAAACCAUAAGCUUUCAACAUUUCACAAAAUAUCACACUUCAAAUAACUUAUUUCUAGUAAUUUUCAAAUAUAAAAAAAAACAAAUACUUUUCUAAUCGAAGUAUUGUUGUGAAAAUUUUAAUAUACUCGCAAGCGCACGAAUCUAGAAAUAGAAUAGUGGUAACGAGGUCAAUCCCACAGGGAUUGUUAUAAAUUAAAAAGUCUAAUUUAAAUCUAAAAUUAAUAUUAAUUAUAACCUAGUUGAGCAAAUUGAGUUUUUAAGAAAAUUAAACCAAUUAAACUAAGGAAGCAAUUAAAAUAAAGGAGAAUUCAAUAAGAUAAGAAUUACCAAGGUUUCAGAAUCCACCACUAUUCAACUAGUAAUUAUCUAAUUAUUAAUUAAUCCCCAAUUUUAGAGUGACAACUCGAAAUCAAUCUAUGUCAUCUCAUGGAUAUAACAAUUAAGCCCAAGUAAUUAAAUCUAAUGUAGGUUCUUUUUCUGCUUAAUAAUAUGACAUCUAAGAAUCUCAUGUAAACAUAUUGAAUAACAAAGAGUCAAAGUUUCCUAAGCACUCCAUGUAAACAAUUUAAUGAAAGACAUAAAAUCAAAGAUAAUCAUGUAUAAACUUUAUAGAUCCAAGCAUAGAAUUAAUCGAAUAUUAAUCCUAACAAUCAAUAAUGCAUGACAGAAUUGAUGAAAAGAUUUUAUUAACAUCCAAUUAAUCAUGUGAAAUAAAAACCAUAAUCAUCAAAGAACAUAUAUAGGGAAUUAAUUAAAUAAAAAGAUAAUUAUUUCAUUGAAUAGGGUUUCAUCCUUAACCUCAGUAUAAGAAAAUUUGUUAGACAUACUUGAAUUGGGAGCAACAAAAUAAAUAAAUUCAGCCAUGGGGAAGCCGAAUUGCUGCAGAUUUUCUUCUCUGUCUUGAAUCCUUGCGUCUCCAGUUCUCUCUCCUCCCGUGGCCCUCUUGCCUUUAUAUAAUGUUACUGACUUGUUUAAUCCUUAUUGGAUUCUAAUUGCAUUAAUUCUUCUCCACCGACUUAUAAAGCCCACUCACCAAGGCCUUUUAAAAUUAUUUCCUUACUAAACUUUGAAAGCAAAGCACGCGUUUGACCACAAAAGCAAAAGGCCAAUUAAUGAUUUCUUCUUUUAAUGCCCAGCACAUGCAUUCCAAAUUGCCAAAUCUUUGCUUUCCAAAUGCAUGCCCACCGUUCAUCCUUUGAAGAGAUUGACUUCCAAUUUUGGUCUUCUUGACUUCCAUUAAUUCUUGGUUGCAUUUUUGUCUUCCAAUUUAAUCUUUAUUCCUUCUCAAUUUGAAGUGUUUUCAUGCCCUUUUUAUCAACAAUCUCCAAUUAAUUCCCUAUUCAAUAAAACAAUUCAAUUAAUUAAAAAUAACAAAUAAAUAUAACUAGCAAUUAUAUUAUUAAGGGUAAAAUGUGUAUAUAAAUUAUGCUCAUCAAAUACCCCCAAACUUAGAUUUUGCUAGUCCUCGAGCAAAACUAAAAUUUAAAACAAAAACAAAAGUAACGAAACAAAAAGUAAAUCCUAACUAAACCACUUUCGCAGGUAAUCGCGAUUGCAUUUAGCGUAUGCAACAAGCCUUUAAACCCCUAGGCGGCCCUAGUGGACUAGUUAUAGUCUCGUGAGGGCUUCAGUGAUGAUACCCACAAACAUCAUUAAAAAAAAUUAAAUUAAAAGAAAAAAAACUUUAAAUAAAACAUGAAAAAUAGCCUCAAAGAUUGCAAAAAUUAUAUAGCUCAAAGAAAAUUUCAAAUAUUGGCAAAGUUCUAACUUUAAUUCAAUAAUCAAUCCCAUCUCUCUUUCGAUUCUUGUAGUGUGUGUGUGAAAUCAAUUCAAUCAAAUUCAUUCCUAAAAUCUUCAAUAUCCACAACAUUCGCCUCAAACAAAGAACAGAGUAGGUCAAACUAAUCUUAUCAUCUUGAUCUCCAAAUUUUUUUCUUCUCACAGGCUUUUAUGUGCAUUUUCUUUUGAUUUUUUUUUUAGCACAUGCACUUGAUUUUUUUUUCUUUUUCUCUUUUUUUUUCCUUUUUUUUUAACCAUAGUCAGGAGCUUUCACUCUACCCCUUAAGGUAGCCUUCUUCUCAUGGUAGAUUAUCCUCUACAUACUUGUGGUACAUAGGCCCAAAUUACUCAAGGAUAGCUUCACUCUUAAGGGUUAUAGGUAGCUAUUUCUGACUUUGGUGCCCGUGUAUACUAUUUUGUAUUGUGGAGAUAAGAAUCAAGACAAACAGUCAUUUACUCUAUCUAAAAUUCUCAACUCAGGCUGCGUCAAUAUCAAAUUUCAAGUCAAAAUUACGAAAGAAUUGAUAUUAGUGCUCAUGGUUUAAAGAAUCUCAAUCAAGAGGAACUAACACAAGAAUCAAGUAUAAACUAAGACAAUAUUCAACCCUUUCUAAAAAUCAUAUUCAUUGUCAAUCAAGUUCUUAUCAUUGGCUUUUCACGUAAAAACUAAAAAACACAAUUUUUUUUUGAAUUUUUGAAUUUUUUUUUUAACAAACAAAGCACACACUAUUCCCACCCCCAAACUUAUUCGGAAUAUUGUCCUCAAUGUUUCACAAACAAAAGAUAUGCAUGCAAACAAAUGAAAGAGAAAAAAAAUUAAUAAUAAUAAAAACAUAAAUAAUAAAAAGAAAGUUGGAGAGAACACACCUGAAUGGGCUGGGAAAGCUUAAAAGAAAAUACCAAAUGAAAAGAAAACAUUAGAAAAGAAAAAUACUAGAAAAGAAAAACAAACAAAGAAAAAAAAACUACUAUUAAAAUAAAACAAGAGUGCAAAGAUGAACUUAAUUAAUCCUGAUAAACAGGAUCAUCUAAAAGUAUCUCCUCAACUUCUGGUGUUCUUAAUUCUAAAAAUGGUUUUAAUCUUUGGCCAUUCACCUUAAAUAAAUCACCAUUUUUAGGAUUUUCAAUCUCAAUUGCUCCAUAAGGGAAGACAGUACGAACUAUAAAAGGACCAGACCAUCGAGAACGUAACUUACCUGGAAAGAGAUGCCAUCGGGAAUUAUAUAAAAGUACUUUCUGACCUGGUGUAAAGACUUUUCUCAAAAUGUGUUUGUCAUGAAAGACUUUCAUUCGCUGUUUAUAAAUCUUGGCAUUCUCAUAUGCAUCAUUCCUGAUCUCUUCAAGUUCUGCUAGUUGUAAUCUUCUCUUGGAACCAGUCUGCUGCAUGUCAAAAUUGAAUUGCUUGAUAGCCCAAUAUGCACGAUGCUCCAACUCUACUGGCAGAUGACAUGCUUUUCCAUACACAAGUCGAUAAGGUGACAUCCCAAUUGGUGUUUUAAAAGCAGUUCUAUAUGCCCACAAUGCAUCAUCAAGUCUCAAAGACCAAUCCUUUCUAUCUGGCCUAACUGUUUUCUCUAGAAUCUGCUUGAUCUCUCUAUUAGAAAUCUCUACUUGGCCACUGGUUUGAGGAUGGUAUGGGGUGACAACCUUAUGUGUAAUGGAAUAUUUGUUCAAAAGAGUUUUGAAAGGUUUAUUGCAAAAAUGGGUACCACCAUCACUAAUGAUUGUUCUAGGGAAACCAGAACGAGACAGAAUAUUACUCUUCAAGAAUUUCACUACAACCCUAUGAUCAUUGGUUUUGCAUGGAGUGGCUUCAACCCACUUCGACACAUAGUCUACUGCAACCAAUAUAUACUGAUAACCACAAGAUGGAGGAAAAGGUCCCAUGAAAUCAAUACCCCAUACAUCGAAGAUCUCAAUCACAAGAAUAGGAUUGAGUGGCAUCAUGUUCCUCUUUGAAAUGCUACCCAUACGUUGGCACCUAUCACACAAAGAACAGAAAAUAUAAGCGUCAUGAAAAAGAGUAGGCCAAUAAAAACCACAUUGUAAAAUUUUUGUUACUGUCUUUUUAGCACUAAAGUGGCCUCCACAAGCUUGUUCAUGGCAAAAUGAGAUAACACUUUGAAUCUCAUUAUCGGGAACACAUCGCCUAAUAAUCUGAUCAGCACAAUAUUUAAAUAAAUAGGGAUCAUCCCCAAANNNNNNNNNNNNNNNNNNNNNNNNNNNNNNNNNNNNNNNNNNNNNNNNNNNNNNNNNNNNNNNNNNNNNNNNNNNNNNNNNNNNNNNNNNNNNNNNNNNNNNNNNNNNNNNNNNNNNNNNNNNNNNNNNNNNNGGGAAAGACUCAAUUCAAAGGUAAAGAUUCUGGAUAAAUUUAAGAUCAAGGCGAGAUAAAUGAUCCGCCACAACAUUUUCAGAACCUUUUUUAUCUCUAAAUUCAAUGUCAAAUUCUUAUAAAAGCAACACCCAACGAAUCAAUCUUGCCUUGGCAUCUUUCUUAGUAAACAAAUAUUUUAAAGCAGCAUGAUCAGUAAAAAUAAUCACUUUACAACCUAUAAGAUAAGAUCUGAAUUUAUCAAGUGCAAAUACCACAGCUAGCAUUUCUUUUUCUGUAGUUGAAUAGUUCAACUGUGCAUCAUUGAAUGUCAUACUAGCAUAAUAAAUCACAUAAGGCACACGAUCUAAUCUUUGUCUUAAAACUGCUCAUGCAGCAUAAUCAGAUGCAUCACACAUAAUUUCAAAAGGCAAAUCCCAAUUAGGUGGCUGAAUGAUAGGUGAAGAAGUCAACAAUUUCUUAAGCUUUGCAAAAGCAUCAAGACAAGAUUCAUCAAAGAUAAAAGGUGCAUCCUUAACAAGUAAAUUGCAUAAAGGUCUAGAAAUUUUACUAAAAUCUUUAAUGAAUCUUCUAUAAAAACCAGCAUGUCCAAGGAAAGAUCUUACUUCUUUUACGGAUUUAGGAUAUGGAAGAUUAGAAAUUAAAUCCACCUUAGCUUUGUCGACUUCUAUACCUUUGCUGGAAAUUAUAUGACCAAGAACAAUACCUUGUUUUACCAUGAAGUGACACUUUUCCCAAUUUAGAACCAAGUUCUUUUCUUUACAUCUCUGCAAAACUAAUGUUAGGUGCUGUAAACAUUCAUCAAAAGAAUCUCCAUAAACAGAAAAAUCAUCCAUGAAUACUUCAAGAAAUCUCUCAACCAUAUCAGAAAAAAUACUAAGCAUGCAUCUUUGAAAGGUAGCAGGUGCAUUGCAUAAACCAAAUGGCAUUCUCCUAUAUGCAAAAGUUCCAAAGGGACAAGUAAAAGUAGUUUUCUCCUGGUCCUCUGGAGCUAUAGGGAUCUGAUUAUAACCUGAAUAUCCAUCUAGAAAAUAAUAAAAAUCAUGACCUGCAAGUCUAUCAAGCAUUUGAUCAAUAAAUGGAAGAGGAAAAUGAUCUUUUCUUGUGAAUGAAUUCAAUUUUCUAUAAUCAAUGCAAACACGCCAACCUGUAGUUACUCUAGUGGGAAUUAAUUCAUUAUUAGCAUUAGUAACUACUGUAACACCAGAUUUCUUAGGAACAACUUGCACAGGGCUAACCCAAGAGCUAUCUGAAAUAGGAUAAAUAAUUCCUGCAUCUAAUAAUUUGAUUACUUCAGCUCUUACCACUUCUUUCAUGUUAGGAUUUAGCCUACGUUGCAUUUCCCUAAUAGGUUUAGCAUUUUCUUCAAGAUGAAUACGAUGCAUGCAAUCUACUGGAUUAAUACCUUUAAUAUCAGCGAUGGUCCAUCCUAUUGCCUCCUUAUGUUUUUUUAGAAUACCUAACAACUUACCUUUUUGCUCAAGAUUGAGGGAAGAAGAAAUAAUAACAGGUAGAGUGUCAUAUUCUCCCAAAAAUGCAUAUUCCAGAGUGUCGGGCAAUGCUUUGAGUUCCAAUUUUGGUGGUGCCUCUACAGAUGGGCCAAUUUUCUUCUCAGAAUGAGGCAGUAGUUCUGACUUUGUCUUCCAUUUAGUUGUGUCCGUAAUUGGAGGUGCAUCAAGUAAAGCACUGACUUCUGCAAUUGCACUGUCAUCAUUAAAAGAUAAAUCAAAAUGAGUUAGACAUGCCUCUAAUGGAUCAUCAGUAUGGUUAGAAAUGAAUGAAUCUUCUACUAAUUCCUCUAUCAUAUUUGCUUCAACAAAUUCAUCUUCUUCUUGUGGCUGCUUGGUAACAUUAAAAAUAUUCAAUUCCAUGGUCAUAUUACCAAAAGAUAGCUGCAUAUUUCCAUUCCUACAAUUAAUAAGAGCAUCAGCUGUAGCUAAGAAAGGACGACCUAGAAUAACUGGAGUGUGUUUCUUAGGAUCAUGUACAUGCUGAGUAUCAAUAACGAUAAAAUCAACAGGAUAAUAAAAUUUGUCAAUCUGUAUCAACACAUCCUCUAUAAUACCACGAGGUAUUUUCAUUGAUCUAUCAGCAAGUUGCAAAAUAAUAGGAGUUGAUUUUAACUCACCUAGUCCAAGUUGCAUGUAAACAGAAUAAGGCAAGAGAUUAACACUAGCACCCAAAUCCAAUAAUGUUUUAUCAAAACAUUGGUUCCCUAUAACACAUGAGAUAGUAGGAGAACCAGGAUCCUUAAAUUUUGGUGGCAUUUUACAUUGAAGUAAAUUGCUAGUUUGUUCAGUUAAAAAUGCCUUUUUAGUGACAUGUAAAUUUCUCUUUUUAGUACAUAAAUCUUUCAAAAACUUGGCAUAGGAAGGAACUUGCUUAAUAGCAUCGAGUAAAGGGAUGUUUAUACUUACCUGCUUAAAGAUUUCCAUAAUCUCACCUGUUGAAGUCCCUUUCUUUGCCUUUGUUAACCUUUGAGGAAAGGAGCCUUGGGAAUGUAAGCUGGCGGGCCACUCUCUUCAGGAUCAUUUGGUGAUGGGUCUUGUGAUGGAACUGGAUCUGAAGAAGUAGGCUCAUAUGUUUUUCUUGUUUGAACCUCCACCUUGUUGUCAAAUAACUUUCCUCUUCUCAAGGUCAUAACAGAUUUUGCUUCUUCAUGCUGAUGGCUUGAACUCGAUCCAACUUCGUGCACUCCUUUGGGAUUAGGAAUUGGUUGAAUUGGAAAUUUUCCUUUUUCUCUCUCAGCUACAGUAGUUGCUAAUUGACCCAAUUGAUGUUCAAGCUUUAGAAUAGCUUGAGUGUUUGACUGAAAAGCUUGUUGGGUUGACUGAAUGAAACUUUGAAGUGUAUCCUCUAAAGAAGGCUUUCUUUGUUGGGGUGCAACAAAUUGAGACAUAGGUUGUUGGGCAGGAGGAUGUAGUUGGUUAGGAGGGACAAAUUGUUGAUUGGACAUGUUCAACUGUUGUCCUCCUUGGUUUGACAAAGGCUGAUUUUGUUUCCAAGAAAAAUUAGGGUGAUUCCUCCAAUUAGGAUUAUAUGUGGGUGAAUAUGGAUUAUUAGGGGUUUUCUCAUAUGAUUGUAAGGCAUGUACCUGCUCAGAAUAAGCCUCUUGAUAGACUGGUAAUGAUGGACAAUUCUGUGCUGUAUGAGACAAGUUAGAACAAAUAGCACAAACCUCAUUAUCUACACUAGGAUGAUGAUUCAUUGAUUGGUUUAGAGCUAAGGCAUCUACUUUCCUAGAAAGUGUAACUAUAGUGGAUUUCACAUCAAAAUCAUCCUUAACUUCAUAUAACCCCUUUCUAGAAACUUGAGAUGAUUUUUCUCUUUGAUUUGAAAAAUCCCACUGUUGAGAAUUCUCAAAAAGUGAAUUAAAGAAAUCCCAUGCAGCCCUUUCAUGUAAGUUCAAAAAUCUCCCACCAUUCAUAGACUCUACCAUAUGACGAUUUGACAUGGUUAAACCGUUAUAAAAGCAUUAUAUAAGUCUCCAUUUUUCAAAACCAUGGUGGGGACACUUAAGGAGUAAAUCAUUGAAUCUUUCCCAACACUCGUAAAAUUGCUCACCCUCUCUUUGAUAAAAAUCACUUAUCUCUCUCCUAAGGGCAUUUGUUUUAGACAUAGGGAAAAACUUGGUGAGAAACUUAUUACUCAAUUCAUCCCAUGUACUAAUAGAUCCAUCAGGAAGUGAAUUCAACCAAGCUUUUGCUUUGUCUUUUAAUGAGAAAGGGAACAUACGAAGCUUAAUUGACUCAUCAUUAAAAUUUUGAAAACGGAAUGUAGAGCAUAUGUCAAGAAAUUCCUUAAUGUGCAAAUAUGGAUCCUCUCUUUCUAACCCAUGGAAAGAUGGCAAAAGUUGAAUGACAGAGGGCUUAAGUUCAAAGUGUGUUGCUGUAGUUUGUGGCAACACAAUACAAGAUGGUUGGUUGGCUGCAAGUGGUGAAAAGUAUUCGCUAAGGGUUUUCUCUGCUUACACUGGUGGAAGUAUUGGCAAUAAUCUAUUUGGGUCAUCCAUCACUUCUAAAGAACUAGCUUGACUACUAUCAAUUUUUGACUCUCUUUUAACCAAACGAUUUGUUGAAUCACGUUCCCAAACACUCAUAAACUAACCAGACAAGGAAAGAAAAUAAAAUAAAAUAAACCAACAAUAAUGAGAAUAAACGAAAUUAAACAACUAAAGAAUGAAUUCAAAAUAAAAUAAAAAAAAAAUAAAAAUCGAAUAAAUAAAAUAAAAGACAACCUAAAUUAUAACUAGUGGAAAAAUCAAAUUAACCUAGAUUAAACUUGACUUUCUAGCACAAUCCCCGGCAACGGCGCCAAAAACUUGUUGUGAAAAUUUUAAUAUACUCGCAAGCGCACGAAUCUAGAAAUAGAAUAGUGGUAACGAGGUCGAUCCCACAGGGAUUGUUAUAAAUUAAAAAGUUUAAUUUAAAUCUAAAAUUAAUAUUAAUUAUAACCUAGUUGAGCAAAUUGAGUUUUUAAGAAAAUUAAACCAAUUAAACUAAGGAAACAAUUAAAAUAAAGGAGAAUUCAAUAAGAUAAGAAUUACCAAGGUUUCAGAAUCCACCACUAUUCAACUAGUAAUUAUCUAAUUAUUAAUUAAUCCCCAAUUUUAGAGUGACAACUCGAAAUCAAUCUAUGUCAUCUCAUGGAUAUAACAAUUAAGCCCAAGUAAUUAAAUCUAAUGUAGGUUCUUUUUCUGCUUAAUAAUAUGACAUCUAAGAAUCUCAUGUAAACAUAUUGAAUAACAAAGAGUCAAAGUUUCCUAAGCACUCCAUGUAAACAAUUUAAUGAAAGACAUAAAAUCAAAGAUAAUCAUGUAUAAACUUUAUAGAUCCAAGCAUAGAAUUAAUCGAAUAUUAAUCCUAACAAUCAAUAAUGCAUGACAGAAUUGAUGAAAAGAUUUUAUUAACAUCCAAUUAAUCAUGUGAAAUAAAAACAAUAAUCAUCAAAGAACAUAUAUAGGGAAUUAAUUAAAUAAAAAGAUAAUUAUUUCAUUGAAUAGGGUUUCAUCCUUAACCUCAGUAUAAGAAAAUUAGUUAGACAUACUUGAAUUGGGAGCAACAAAAUAAAUAAAUUCAGCCAUGGGGAAGCCGAAUUGCUGCAGAUUUUCUUCUCUGUCUUGAAUCCUUGCGUCUCCAGUUCUCUCUCCUCCCGUGGCCCUCUUGCCUUUAUAUAAUGUUACUGACUUGCUUAAUCCUUAUUGGAUUCUAAUUGCAUUAAUUCUUCUCCACCGACUUAUAAAGCCCACUCACCAAGGCCUUUUAAAAUUAUUUCCUUACUAAACUUUGAAAGCAAAGCACGCGUUUGACCACAAAAGCAAAAGGCCAAUUAAUGAUUUCUUCUUUUAAUGCCCAGCACAUGCAUUCCAAAUUGCCAAAUCUUUGCUUUCCAAAUGCAUGCCCACCGUUCAUCCUUUGAAGAGAUUGACUUCCAAUUUUGGUCUUCUUGACUUCCAUUAAUUCUUGGUUACAUUUUUGUCUUCCAAUUUAAUCUUUAUUCCUUCUCAAUUUGAAGUGUUUUCAUGCCCUUUUUAUCAACAAUCUUCAAUUAAUUCCCCAUUCAAUAAAACAAUUCAAUUAAUUAAAAAUAAUAAAUAAAUAUAACUAGCAAUUAUAUUAUUAAGGGUUAAAUAUAUAUAUAAAUUAUGCUCAUCAAGUAUCACAUAAAAGGUUUUGUAAAGGCUGUGUCAAAAGAAUUUCUUUAACUGAUUAAAUAUACUAAUUUUAGGUGACAAUAAUAUAAUAAUAUUAAACUAAAUUAACUUAAUUUUGAGAAAAAAAUUUCAAAAAACGCAUAGAAUUACGGAUCAAGUCUAAUUAACAAUCAAACGUAGUAACCCAGAUGCAUUUAUGCCAAAAAGAAUGUUCAUAAGACUACACAAAACCACCCAAAAAAUAUUAUAAAAUAAUAAAAGCAACAACUGCGAUAGAUUUUGCCAGAACAAGAAACACAACAAAACAAAGAGAAUAAAUCAAUCAAGGGCAUAAAUAGAUUGAACAAAAAAGGGCAAGAUCAGAAAAGAAACCGACCCACGACGCUGGAUCCUCCUAAUCCUAGCGUCAUGGUUGCGGUUUUGAUGAUGCGUUAGCUGAGAUCUGAGUAAAAUAUUGACAGUGAGCUUGUGGGUGAGUGAAAGGGGAACGAGCUUCGUGGCUGAGAGUGAGAGCCGAGAGGGAUAGAGCGGGUGAGAGAGAGAGAGGGGGUGAGUGAGGAGAGGGAUAAAAAUUUAGAUUUUUUAAUUUGUUUUGAUUAGUUUUUAUUAUUUUUUAAUGAUAAAAUUUGUUUUUAAUUCUCAAAUUUAAAACUUCAAAACGGCAUAUAAGCAUGUCGUUUCUGCCUUCCCUCUGUAACGACUAACGAGGGUGGCCGAAUAUCAUUUUCCAUAAGAGUAAUAAUACAGCUACAAACUCUUGUACAAACUUAUUUUGUACAAACUGAUGUGGCAUGAUAAGAUUGGUUAAAUUAAAUAUCACUUGGCCCACAUGAUUUUUUUUAUUAAUUUAUAUUUUUAUUCAACCAAUGAAUUAAUGCCACGUCAGUUUGUACAAAAUAAGUUUGUACAAGAGUUUGUGGCUGUAUCAUUACUCUUUCCAUAAGAGUAAUAAUACAGCUACAAACUCUUGUACAAACUUAUUUUGUACAAACUGAUGUGGCAUGAUAAGAUUGGUUAAAUUAAAUAUCACUUGGCCCACAUGAUUUUUUUUUAUUAAUUUAUAUUUUUAUUCAACCAAUGAAUUAAUGCCACGUCAGUUUGUACAAAAUAAGUUUGUACAAGAGUUUGUGGCUGUAUCAUUACUUUUUCCAUAAAUCAUUUCUAUGCAAGAGACACGAUGAGGGACCCACAAACGCGACAGAAUUGGAUAUCCCGAUAUUUUAAAAUGAGGAAUAUAAUAAAUCGCCUGCCAAGAGGCUUCAUCAAGAAUCAAGAUAUAUAGUAGUUAAGCACAGCCUCUCUCUCUCCCUGUCUCUGUCUGUUUCCUCUCUGUUCUGUUCAAUGAAAAUGGAGGCUACACUUUGGGCUGUGACUUUCUCCAUUGCUUUCUCUACAGCUAUUCUAGCCGUAGCAUGUGCCUGGUGGAUGCUACUGAAUUGGGUAUGGCUAAAGCCAAAGAAGCUAGAAAAGUUCCUCAGAGAGCAAGGAUUCUCCGGAAACUCCUACAAAGUAUUUCAUGGAGACGUGAAAGAGCUUGCCCAGACCACUAAAGAAGCUGAAAGCAGACCCAUCAGCCUCUCCGACGAUAUCGCCCGGCGAAUUCUGCCUUUCCACCAUCAUAUCAUCACCAAUUUUGGUAAGCCUUCCUACUAAUUUAUCUCACUCAACUUUACUUGGUAAUAAUUUUAUUUUGCUUAUAUAUCAAUAAAAUUAAAUAAGAUUCAAGUUUUUCUAAUUUUAAAGGGAAAAGGAGAAUGGCACAUAAGUUCUUAAUAUUUCUUAUUUUUAUCACUUGCUAUUUGAUUUUUUAAUUUUUUUUAUUACACCCUUAAUGUUAAAAUCGUAAUAAAAAAAGUUAUUUUUUACCGUUUUACAGUUAUUAUCUUAAUUUCACUCUAUUGGUAUAGUAUGAUUUUUUUUUUUAAAUAUCAAAAGUCAUGUUACUCUUCAACAAUAAAAUUCAAACAUUAAAAUCAUAGUUAUGUCAUGAAAGUAGAGUGAUUAAAAAAUGAAGAAUAGUAAGGACCAAUGUGUCAUUCUUCCACAAGGGAGAAGGGACCAAAAGAAAAAAAGGGGACGGUUUUUGGAAACUUUCAACCAAGUGUCUGUUUCUGAAGAUUUCUUUUGUCUUUUUUAAAAAAAAAAUUAUAUAUCAAAAGCGGAUUGAUAUAGAAUUUUUUUAAUAAUCAAUAUAUCUUUAGUUUUUCCAUUUUGUGAUAUAUAUAUUUUUAAAUAUUUUUAUAUUGGUCUUAGUUGACCGAGAGUUAUUUAUACCAACCAUGAGAAUUAAUAUAGUAGAAACCUUGAAAUAUAAAUACUCCAUAAAGGAAUAAUUUUUUCAUAAUAAUAAAAAAUUAUGAUCCNNNNNNNNNNNNNNNNNNNNNNNNNNNNNNNNNNNNNNNNNNNNNNNNNNNNNNNNNNNNNNNNNNNNNNNNNNNNNNNNNNNNNNNNNNNNNNNNNNNNNNNNNNNNNNNNNNNNNNNNNNNNNNNNNNNNNNNNNNNNNNNNNNNNNNNNNNNNNNNNNNNNNNNNNNNNNNNNNNNNNNNNNNNNNNNNNNNNNNNNNNNNNNNNNNNNNNNNNNNNNNNNNNNNNNNNNNNNNNNNNNNNNNNNNNNNNNNNNNNNNNNNNNNNNNNNNNNNNNNNNNNNNNNNNNNNNNNNNNNNNNNNNNNNNNNNNNNNNNNNNNNNNNNNNNNNNNNNNNNNNNNNNNNNNNNNNNNNNNNNNNNNNNNNNNNNNNNNNNNNNNNNNNNNNNNNNNNNNNNNNNNNNNNNNNNNNNNNNNNNNNNNNNNNNNNNNNNNNNNNNNNNNNNNNNNNNNNNNNNNNNNNNNNNNNNNNNNNNNNNNNNNNNNNNNNNNNNNNNNNNNNNNNNNNNNNNNNNNNNNNNNNNNNNNNNNNNNNNNNNNNNNNNNNNNNNNNNNNNNNNNNNNNNNNNNNNNNNNNNNNNNNNNNNNNNNNNNNNNNNNNNNNNNNNNNNNNNNNNNNNNNNNNNNNNNNNNNNNNNNNNNNNNNNNNNNNNNNNNNNNNNNNNNNNNNNNNNNNNNNNNNNNNNNNNNNNNNNNNNNNNNNNNNNNNNNNNNNNNNNNNNNNNNNNNNNNNNNNNNNNNNNNNNNNNNNNNNNNNNNNNNNNNNNNNNNNNNNNNNNNNNNNNNNNNNNNNNNNNNNNNNNNNNNNNNNNNNNNNNNNNNNNNNNNNNNNNNNNNNNNNNNNNNNNNNNNNNNNNNNNNNNNNNNNNNNNNNNNNNNNNNNNNNNNNNNNNNNNNNNNNNNNNNNNNNNNNNNNNNNNNNNNNNNNNNNNNNNNNNNNNNNNNNNNNNNNNNNNNNNNNNNNNNNNNNNNNNNNNNNNNNNNNNNNNNNNNNNNNNNNNNNNNNNNNNNNNNNNNNNNNNNNNNNNNNNNNNNNNNNNNNNNNNNNNNNNNNNNNNNNNNNNNNNNNNNNNNNNNNNNNNNNNNNNNNNNNNNNNNNNNNNNNNNNNNNNNNNNNNNNNNNNNNNNNNNNNNNNNNNNNNNNNNNNNNNNNNNNNNNNNNNNNNNNNNNNNNNNNNNNNNNNNNNNNNNNNNNNNNNNNNNNNNNNNNNNNNNNNNNNNNNNNNNNNNNNNNNNNNNNNNNNNNNNNNNNNNNNNNNNNNNNNNNNNNNNNNNNNNNNNNNNNNNNNNNNNNNNNNNNNNNNNNNNNNNNNNNNNNNNNNNNNNNUACCAAAAAUAAUAAGAUUUAAUGAUGAAUAUCAUUAUUGGUACUUUAAUGAAGUACAAAAAAAUCUUAAUUACUAGAAAUUAUAACUCAAUUAAUAAUAAAACUCUACUUAUCUUAAAUUCAAUUGAUGAUUUGUGAGAUUGGGCUAUUUUUAAUACUACUGUUAUAAUUUAGCAUUCUAAUUACAGACAUAUUUAAAAAAAAAACCUGCAUUUGAUGGUUGUGGAAUUAAUUUAUUUAUUGACCGAUGGGGAAAAUAAUUAGGUUUAAUCAAAUUUUUUUAUAAUUUUUAAGGUGAAAUUGUAAUUUUCGUUUUGGGGGUAAAAUGGUCAUUUUUUUAAGUUUCCGUUAGUUUUCUUAACGGAUUCCAAACGGAAGUGGAAAAGUGAAAAAAAAAUGUAAAUUUAGGUGGAUUCCAGCCAAAAAAUGAAGGAAUUGUGUAUUUUUGAAAAAGGUGUAAAAAAUUGGUGGACGGUGGAUAUUUUCCCUAAAAUAAAUUUUGCGUUUUUAUUUUCUAAGAAUGAUAAAAACAAAAAAACAUGAUAAGUUGAAACAUUCUAAUCUGUAACCCUUAUUGCUAAAAUUACAGGUAAGAAUUCUUUCAUAUGGAUGGGUCCAAGACCAAACAUACACAUCACAGACCCUAAAAUGACAAGGGAAAUUUUUUUGAAGCAUGAUAUCUUUCAAAAAGAGGUAAGCCCACUUGUGAAGUUGCUGGUCACUGGGAUGGCGGGCUAUGCUGGUGAACAGUGGUUUAAAGUCAGAAAAAUCGCCACUCCAGCUUUCCAUCAUGAUAAGUUGAAGGUUCGUUUUCACCUUUAUAGUUCGUUUAAUCACACACACACACCAUUUUCAAUAUGCCUGUUCAUAUUGUUACCUGACCUAUAACAAUGUUUGACAAUUUCUUCCAUUUUUUUUUCAUAAGAAUAUGUUACCCACAAUUCAUAAGAGCUGUAACGACAUGCUGAGGAAAUGGGAGAUUUUGGUUUCAAAGGAUGAGUCCUGUGAGUUAGAUGUGUGGCCUCAUAUUCAAACUUUGACAGCAGAUGUGAUUUCUCGAACAGCAUUUGGCAGUAGCUUUGAAGAAGGAAGAAAAAUAUUUGCAGUGCUGAGGGAACAAAUUAAUCUUCUAAUUCAAGCUUCAUUUUUUGCUUAUAUUCCAGGAUGGAGGUAAUUUUAAUUAUUAAUCAACUUAGGUAGUGUUUACUUUCUGAAGUGAGAGUGUGGAGUGUGGAUUUCUCCCACUCCGGUGUUUACUUACCAUUUUUAAGGGGAGAGUGGGAUUCCCACUCUAUGGGUCCCACCUAAUUUUGGAUUGGGGAGUGGGAUUCCCACUCUCAUGGGGGGAGGUGAGAGUGGGAAUCCACUCCCCCCUCUUCCUUUUUUACCCUCAUAAUUAAAAUAAAUAAAUAAUAUUUAAUAAAAUAAAUAAUAUCAUAUUUAUUAAAAAUAAUAAUUAUAACAUAUUUAUUUUAUUAAAAAAAUAAAAAUAAAUAAAUAUUAUAUUUAAAUUAAUAAUAUUAAACAUUAAUUUUAAUAAAUAUUAAUUAUUUAUUUAAUUAAUAAUAAUAAAUAUUUUAUUCUAAAAAAAUAUUAAUUUUGUACUAUAUUAUCAAUAAUAAUGUUUCAUUUGUGUUGUUAUUAUUAAUAAUUUUUAUUCACAUAAUUUAAAUUAAAAUUAAUAAAAAAUUAUGAUUUACAUAAUUAAGAAUAUUAUUAAUUAUUAUUAAUUUAUAAAUAUAAUAAAAUAUUUAUUUUAUUUUCUAAAUAUAUUUUUUAUUAAUUUUUUAAUUACAAAUUAUAAUUCUUUACAUAAGGAUAAAAUUAUAAUUUAAAAUAAUUUACUCCCAAUCCAAGAUAAAGUAAACAAAUAAUUGAGAUUCUGAUUGACAAUCCAUACUUUCAUUUAGUCUAAGUAAACUCCCUACUCCCACUCCCACUCUCACUCCACACUCCUAAUCCAAGGAUUCCCACUCCUCAAGAUUCCCACUCCAAUCCAAAAAGUAAACGCAGAUUAUUCCUCGUAGUACUCUUGGUGACCUAAGCUGUGCUAAUUUUUUAAAGAUAUUAUAUCAGGUGUGUAUUUAUAAAUCAACAUAAGAUUAGAAGUGGUCUUCUAAAUAAAGAAUCCUUAUUAUUAUAGUGUAGAAAAGUGUUGUCAAAUGUUUUAGCAUAUAAAUAAUUUCCGCGUGCCUUGCACUUAAUUAUGAGAAUUGUUUAUUGGUAGGUUUGUGCCUAAUAGACUGAAUAGAAAAUUGAAAAGCAACCACAAUGAAAUGGGAGAACUGGUAAAGGGUAUCAUUAAGAAAAGAGAGGAAGCUCUGAAAGUUGGAAAAGCCAGCAAUGAUGAUGACUUAUUGGGUAUCUUGAUGGAAUCAAAUCACAAAGAGAUUCAGGAGAAGGAAACUGGAAUGAGUAUUGAAGAGGUGAUUGAAGAGUGCAAGCUGUUCUAUCUUGCUGGGCAGGAAACUACUGCAUCAUUGCUUGUGUGGACAAUGGUUUUGUUAUGCAUACAUCCUGAAUGGCAAGAACGAGCAAGGGAAGAGGUUUGUCAAGUUUUUGGAAAUAGAGAACCAAAAUUUGAAGAGCUGAACCAGUUGAAAGCAGUAAGUGAUCUUACUCCUACUUAAAUAUCUAUAGCUUUUCUAAUUUGUCGAAAAUUUUGGGAAGACUCAAUUUCUUGUUAAUUUUCAGGUGUCAAAGUCUGGAUUUACAAAAUAUAAAUUUGAACUACCAUUAGGACUCUAGGCUGGGGUAGAAUUAUUUUUAUUCUAAUGAUAGAUCAAAUUUGGAAUUUGGAAUUUGGAAUAUCCAAACAUCCGCACUUGAAAACUACUUCUCCUUAAAUUGAUACCACUUGAAUUUCUUAACCUGACCAGUGUUUGUCAAUAUUUUACUAUCAAAGAUAGAGGAAGCCACAUAAAUUAGGGAAAAUCUUGGGAGGUGCCAACAGAACUGUGUCAUCGUCCCACAACAUCAGAAUUAUAUUCUGUGAUUUUCACAAUUAAUUAUCCUUAAUAAAUUUGUUAUCAGUCACCAAGAACAAAGAAUUUCCUUGUUUGAAAAAAUAAUUCCAGUGUAUCGUGCAGGUAAGAAAAUUGAGUUCUAUACAAGGUACUUAGAUUAUGCAGUAGUUAUGGCCAUGGGGGUUGGUUACUGGAAAUGAUAAAACCUACAAAAAUGUCGAGGGUUCAAAUCCCUUCUUGUACAGGGAAUGGGAAGGGAUUUGUUAUAUAUGUAUGUAAUAUUUUAAAAAGUCAUAGUUUAAAAUUAACUAGUAGUGAUAGCUUAUUUUGCAAACCAAAAGACGGGAAAUCCAGUGAAAUUUAGAACCUUAACUAAUUUUUUUUUUUCCCCUCCCAAAUGAUUCCGUCAUCUGUUGCAGGUAAGCCAAAUUCUGUACGAGGUAUUGAGGUUAUAUUCACCAGCACCUCUGCUUACUCGAGCUAAUGUUAAGGAGAUUAAGCUAGGAGAAAUUGUUAUACCACCUGGAGUUUUACUUUCAUUGCCAAUAAUGCUUGUUCAUCAUGAUCAUGAAUACUGGGGCGAUGAUGCAAAAAAGUUCAACCCAGAUAGGUUUUCAGAGGGAGUCUCAAAGGCAUCGAAGAAUCAAAUUUCAUUCUUCUCAUUUGGUUGGGGUCCUCGAAUCUGCAUUGGACAAAACUUUGCUCUGUUGGAAUCGAAAUUAGCUUUAGCAAUGAUUUUGCAGAAGUUCACUUUCCAGCUUUCACCAACUUAUAUGCAUGCUCCUACUCGUGGGGUAACUGUAUAUCCACAGCAUGGUGCUAAUAUCAUUUUACACAAAAUUUAGUAUGCAUUACUAUCGCAAGUAUUCAGAAUUCAUGCCAUAUAGUAUAUGUAGAGCAAGAACUUUAUUAUUUUGAUUUACCGUUUUAAAUUUUCUUAGUACUCUUCUUUCCAAUAAAACCAUAUCAAUGGUUUUGAAGCAUUUAUAACACUUUUUUUUAAGUUUUUUUUUUUUUGGGUGUUUCGGAUUUUACAUAUUAGACAUGAAUUUAUAUCUGAUCAAUAAUUUUACGGAUUUUAAUUUGUCAAUCUAAUCAAAUCCACAAAUUGAUGAAAUUGAAUUCAAGUCUAAUCCAUGUGUCUGCAAAUCAAAUGCGAAUUUGAUCCAAUACUUAUUUAAUCUACCAUAUUACAAAUUAGUUUAAAAAUUUACAAUUCUAUCAAAUCCACAAACUAAUUAAAUAAAAAAAUUUAAUAUAAAAAUAAUUUUACUACCUAUCAAAUUCAAAAUUGAAUAAGAUUUAAAUAAAUUAAUUGUUUAAAUAAAGUUAGAAUAAUGCAUUUAGAGUUUCAAAAUAUAACACAUCGAAAAGAAAAAAUCUCAUUUGUUUAGAUUAAUACAUAAAAAUUAACUAAAAUUAUGAAAAUUAACUAUUUAGGAAUUAUUUUGUCUUGCUUGACCCAAGGAAGAGGAAUUGUUUUGUCUUACCUUUGGUUGAAUACCGAUUAUUAUUAUUUGGCGAGACCAAUUAAUUGUUUAUACAUACUUAAAAAAUAAUUUUGUCCAACCCUUUAAUUACAUUUUAUUAUAGGUAAUUAUGUAUAAACUAAAGUUAGUAUGUCGCAUACAAUUAAAAAAAAAAGAGUGCCCUGCACAUAUGACAAAGUAGUAAUGGAAAUUAAUUAUAAGCUACCCGAAUUUUGAGAUGGCUAAAUAUUUUUAAAUAAAAUAAAAUUAAAAGGCUUGUAAUUGGCCAAUUUGUCAAUAUAAUAAUAGAUGACAAACAAGUUAGACAAAUUUGUCUAUACAAAGGAUUGUGGAUGAGAGAAUUAUUUGAAAAGUCAGUCAAUCCCUUUAUAUGCCAAUUGAUGUGAUCAGGUUACAUAUAUAAAUUCUAACAAAGUGUUUGUGGUUCUACCAUUAUUCAUUAGAAAUUGUAUUCAAUUCUUGCCGAUCAUUUUUUAAAUUAUUGAAAAGCAACAAUCUGAAAAAGUCUAGUCACAAGAGUUAAAAUUUUAUCUAGAUAAAAUAGUAAUAACAAAAUAUGUUGGUUAAAAUUCGUGAAAAUAAAACAUUCAACUACCUUUUUUUUUUUUUAAAUUUUGUCAAUGCCUUAGGAAAUAAAUUACUUGGUCAUAAAAAAUACAAAGUUGUCUAAGACAACUUUUAGUUACUAUUUUUAAUUUUGUGACCAUAAUGACUCAUCUAUGACUAAAAAAUGAGAUCUUAAAAUUAUAAUAAAUCAAAAUAGCCUUAGAGACUAAUAUUAUGUGUCAUUGAUGGUUUGCCUAAAUUUACACGUGUUUUAGUUACAAAAUAUUUUGGUCACCUAUAGUUAUAUUUCUCGACCAUUUAUUUUGUCACGAAUGACCUUUUCUUGAUUGGAUACGUGUUGGUAGAUUUUUAUAAUCAAUUACUAUCAAUACCAAUGUACAAGUAUACACAACAAGUAAUAAAAUGAUGAGUAUUCAAGAUCGUCUCCACAGAGAUUGAUGUUGCUCAAAAUGCUAAAGCAAUCACAAUAGUACAAAUCAACUUUAAAGGUCGAAGCAAACAAUUGUCAAAUAAUUCUAUCUUAAUUAUUAAUUGCGAUAGAUGGAAAUAAAACAAUACUGUAAUAAAGUAAACUAAGUUAAAGGUGUCUAAAAUUCAAUUGAGAAUAUAGUAGUUGAAUGAUCAAACUCUCCUAAUCGGGUGACUGUUGUUUACUGAAUUAGCACCAGUUGUUACAAUAAGUGCUGCAGCAAUGGGUAGAAUAAAUCUGCAUGCGCAGCUAUCGCAUGUUGGAAAUCUCAUACCUUUAAAUUUACUAACAAUGACCAAUUGUUCAUAUAUUUAUGGUAUGGCAUAAUAACCUUUAAUCUCUCUACCCUACAAGGUGAACACCUAUGUCUAGAGUGUCACAAAUCUUAACUUCAAGUAGUGACUCGACUUAAGAACGAGUAAUAGUCUAAUAAUGUCCGCUAAGACAUGCCAUUUUGCUACUCUAUCUUAACUGAAACUAUUAAAUGAGUGGUCAACCGAAAUAACAGUUGUAUUCAUAAAACUAUUAAAGUAUAAUGCUACAGCACUACUAUAACAACAUAUAAAAACAGUCAAGAACCCAUUGGAUUAUUUGACACUCAACUACACGUAAAUUUAGUUCAUAUUCUGAAUGAGAAAAGUAAACAUAAAUAUACUAAUUGCAGAAUACAUCCAAACAAUUUCAAGGAAGAAAGAUAAUAUGAGUUGAGCACGGUGAAAGACUAGUGAUCCUCCUCGGUUCUUCAAUGAUGCCAAACAACACUCCUCAAUCUUGAUCUUUUUCUUCUUCUUCUUGCCUUUGUAAUUAAUUGGUUGGUAUUCUCUCACCGCCCUUCUAUGUGAUGCACGCCUCCUUUUAUAUUCCAAAUUAGGGUAAAAACCAAAGCCCAUGAGAUUGCAUGCGUCUUAAUUAGGAAACAUGCAGAUCACGACUUUAUGGCUGACCCGCACUUUAAACUUUCUCCCGCAUUACUCCCAGAUUGCUACAGCACUGGUUGCUCUAACAUCCGCAACAGCACUGCAUUAUUCCCGAUUGUGCUUUUCUUCUUUUGUGGCCAUUUUUUUUUCCUCUUCUUGCUCAUCUAAUGUCUCUGCAUCCUCCUCAUUAAUUUAAACCCUACAAUUAUGCACCUAUUUUUAGCACAAAUUACUUGAUUUAAGCAAAACUUAUUAAGAUCCAACCAAAAUGAAUGUUUAUGCAAAAGGUAACCAAAAUGUAAUAAAAACACUUUAUUUGCUCUCUAAAUAAUCUUGAUUCCAAUCUAGAAUUGAAGUAAUAACUCUCAUUUCCUAGAGUUAUCACACCCCCAAACUUAAACUAUUAUUUUUCCUCAAGUAAUGACACAUACUAACACUUCACACAAAUAAUCAUUCACACAAAUUUAGCUCUUUUAUCAACUUUGCAAAGAUUCUUCCACCUUCAGAUCAUAUUCUUAAUCAUGUAAGAUGACCAUAGUAAAUUAGUCCUAGACUUAAGCUUCUUUCUGUCCAUAGUGUGUGUGUGCUUCUUUCGAUUGAAUUUUAGAUAUGCUAUAGCAUGACCAAGGGAUUGCAUGAAGGUCAGCAGUGAGAACACUUCAUUCAUAAUUGGGGUAAUCAUAACUUUCACAUACUCAACUGUGAUUAUUUUAGGAUUGACAGACUAGGGAAUAUUUAACCUCCUCACUGUAACAUUUAUCUUUCAUGUGAAUGUCAAUCAAUUGUAAUGAUGACACCCAAUUACUCAAAUCAUGCCCAAAUUAGAGUUGCUGCAGCAGUAACUGUAAUGUAAUCUUAUCUAGAGGUAUCUUUUACUCAAGGCUGAACAUGGGGCUCAUGAACAGGCCUGGCUACUCAAUGCUUUAGACAGAGGAUUUUUUUUUUAUAUUUAUGCUACAACAUUGCUCAUAACUCUCACUACCUUUGAACACAAGUCUGCAUAUGGGGUACAUACUCAGAUCUGGUUACUCAGCAACUUAAGCCAUUGGAACAGCUUAUAUUCCAUAGAUAUCACAGUUAUUCAAACUUGCUUUUUCCCCCCAAACUUGAAAUCUUUUCUCUUCUUUUGGCUUUGCUCUAACAAUCUCAUACAAUUCAACCAAAGUCUAAGUGUCGGGACAGAAUUUCACUUUCAUCUAUAACCAUCUCUACUUGGCAUAUAUAUAAGGAAUAACACUCAAUUUAUCUUCAUUAGGUGUUCAAAUCCAUACACAAAUAUUAGAUAAUAGAGCUCCACACCACACAAACAUAAACACAUGCAUACAAACAUAACCUAUGCAUUCGGGAACACAACCCCCCUAAACUUGAGAGUUGUUGGGUCCUCACAAGCAAACAUAACAAAGGCACACAAAUUGACAACCAAAAAUUUAAUUUAAUUUAAUUUAAUUUAUUUAUUUAUUUUAUAAGAACAAAAACUAGUGAGAUAAGAGUACUCCCCUGUAGUGGGGAUUGCAGCACAUGACAGGUUGUGAUCAGCGCUUCUUGGAGGCACUGCGCAGCUUAUCCUUUGGUAAAGCUUUUGGCGAGGUGGCUAGCAAUGUCUUUGUCUUUUUCGCUGCAGGGCUGGUGAGAAGAGUUGUGGCUGGGGUUGCUGUAGCAGUACCUGUAGACGUACUGCCUUUUCAUUUGUUGGAUUGUCUUGGACUGGUGCGGAUAGGCUAGCUAGGAGUUUGCUGUGGAGGCUUUUGAGUCAAUGCAUCAGCUGCCUGGCCCUCGGCUGUGAUGGCAGCAAUUACUGCAAGUAGUUGCUUGGCUUGCUCAGAUGUAGGCAUAGCUCUGGCUGCUGCAGCAGCCAGCUCAGCAUCGACUUGCUCCAUUUCAUCUUCAGAGGCUGAAGGUGUUGCCAUUUUUUCUUUUCCCUUGUGCUUUCCUUUGCAUACAAAGGCUGGAAUAAGCGGUUCCACGUGAAGGUCUGCCUCCCCCUCUUCUUGAAUAAUGUGCUGCUUCCUAGUUUUGGAUUGGGUUGGGAUGGUUGGCAUAGCUCUGGCUGCUGCAGCAGCCAGCUCAGCAUCGACUUACUCCAUUUCAUCUUCAGAGGCUGGAGGUGUUGCCAUUUUUGCUUUUCCCUUGUGCUUUCCUUUGCAUACAAAGGCUGGAAUAAGCGGUUCCACGUAAAGGUCUGCCUCCCCCUCUUCUUGAAUAAUGUGCUGCUUCCUAGUUUUGGAUUGGGUUGGGAUGGUUGGUUCCUCACGUUCUUGCUCCGAAGUGUCCUCUGCCUCUGAGGGUGAGCUAUCAGUCUCAGACUUGUCACCUUCGUCCUCAGGUGGGUCCGAUGGUUCAGCAUCUUCUGAUUCGACUUCUGCUGGUGGUUCAGUUGCAGCUUGUUUUGCUGGUUCAUCUGUAGCAGUGGCUUCAUUACUAGUUUCUGCUGGAGCACCUGUGGUGUUGGUGUCAAAAUUGUACUGCUAAAGCAGGGAAGCAGGGAAGUUCCGGUGAGUGCGUUGUAUGUACAAAGCAAAUUGGUGUAGUUGGUUAUCCAGGUGCUGUAGAUAACUCCAAAACCAACCAUUUUCCCUCUGCUGAGCUUCCACACAUUGAGUGAUAUUGGUUCUGAAUGCUUGGAUGGUCUAUUCUAAGCCAAUAGUGCGUCUUGCGCCUAUUACAACAGCUGGUUCAAUAGUUGUUCCAGCACUCUCGCCAGUAACUCGCUCAAUUGUACGUGCCGUAAAGGCACUAUCAUUCUUAAUAUGAUCAUUUCUGGCUUCAAGAUGAACACCUGAAACUACACAAAUGCUGGUGAUAAGUGAAGGAAAUAGCAAGGCAGCAGUUCGGUGAGUCUUGACUACACACUCUCGGAUUUCUUUUGCAAUGAUGCUACACCCUCGAACAAGGACAUAUAGCAAAACCAAUCUCUCUUGUGAAACCGUAGUAGUGUGAGUAGUGGGCAUAAGCCUAGAUUUUAAAAUUUUCACCCACACCUUAGCAAUAGGUUUCAAAUCUAUCAUAUUCACUACAUGCCCUUCUUCGUUAGCCCAUGAUGCCCCUUCGAUGGUAAGAGUUGUAAAAAUUGUGGUCCACUUUUUCGGGGUUAACUUAUCAUGCAAUUUAGCAUACUCACAAGUAAUUUCAGUAGGUAAAUUAUAAAAAGCAUUGAUAACACAGGAGUCUAAUGGAACAAGUGUGUUUCUUACCCAGAUGUUGUGCUGAUCAGGGCUUACCAAAUUAGCGUAAAAUUCUUUGACUACUUGAAGCACAUGAUCAUGAGGGUGAUUGCAAAACUCUAACCAUCCUCGCUUUGCUGCAGCACUAUGAAUUGUUUGUACAAUUCCAGUGAGUUGUUCUGGGAAUUGAAACCCUUUCUCUUCUAGAAUUUUACGCGGCUCUAUGAAUUCUUCAUAUUUUUCUUCGGCAUGGUAACUCUGGAAGCGCGAUGGAUCUUUGAGGCGGCUUGCUGUUUUCUUAUAUCUCGGCAUUGCUGUAGCAGUAACAACUUGAAGCUACUGUUCCUGAGAGUAAAAAAAGAAAACGAGGUUAAGAAUGAGGAGAGUUGGAUUUGCGAAGGAGAUGGGGAAUACUGGCAUAGAGUACUAAGCACAGUGACUCCUUUUUAUAAUGGACUUUAAUUUGAAGAUAAAUACGGUAAUUAGAGAUAAUUGAGGGAAUAAAAUAUUUGAGUUAAAUGUGCAUAUCCCCAAAAUUAGCGGCCAGUGAAAUUAAAGCUUUAAUUUCAGAGAUUUGUUUCCGCAAUUUCUAUCCAUAUCCAUGUGUCCAUCUGUCACGAUUUUAUCUCCAACGGUAAGUGAAAGGCUCCAGCUUUUAAUUUACUGUAAUGGUAAGAUUAGUUGCUGCAGCACCCAUUUGCUUAUUCUUAACAACGGAUACAUACUCUACACUAAGGCUUUUGACACAUGGUUCACCUCUGAAUUCUGCCACCAUACACUCUCUCUUGUCAAUAUGGACUUCAAUUAUCACGCUUACUUCAAAAAAACUAAAUUUAAGUCUAAAAUUGUUAAAAGAAAUAGAUAUAUCAAAUUAACGUAAAAAUAAAUUAUGCAAUAAUGUAAAAGGAUAGAAAAAAAUAAAUGGUUAAUCAUGGAAAAACAAGAUUAAAUAAAAUGGUAAAGAGGAAGAGCUAUCUACAAAACCAAAAGAUAUCAAAAUUGGUUUGAAGUGGCUAUCUCCUCAAUGGGCUGCCUCCUAUGAAGCGCUUGAUUUAAGGUCAUUCAGCCUGACCUUCCUUCUUUGUUCAGUAGCUAGGUUCUUUAAGGAGUAACACCUCCUUUGAACAUUCUACUGCUGGAUGUAUGUAGUGCUUAACGCUUUGUCCAUUAACUUUGAACUCGUGGCAUGUUUGUUCAUCUAAAAGAUCAAUAGCACCAUGAGGAUAAACCUUGAGCAGUUUAAACGGGCCCGGCCAUUUUGACUUGAGCUUUCCUAGAAAUAAUCUUAGUCUUGUAUUGUGGAGCAACACUAAUUGACCAGGGUUGAAUUUCCUGUGCUGAAGAUGCUUGUCGUGCCAUUGUUUUGUCAUCUCUUUAUAGAUUCUUGCAUUUUCAUAUGCAAAUAACCGUAAUUCAUCAAGUUUACAAAGUUGAAGUUUCCUUUGCUCUGCUGCAGCAUGCAUAUCCCAAUUUAAAUUCUUUAGUGCCCAAUAUGCUUUAUGCUCUAGUUCUAGUGGCAAAUGAUAAGCCUUUCCUUAAACAAUUCGAUAAGGGGACAUGCCAAGUGGGGUUUUGUAUGCUAAUCUGUAGGCCCAUAGAGAAUCAUGUAAGUGUAAAGACCAAUCCUUCUUUGUUGGGUUCACCACUUUUUCUAAGAUCUUUUUUAUCUCUCUAUUGGACACUUCAGCCUGACCAUUAGAUUGUGGAUGAUAUGUUGUAGCUACCUUGUGUCUGACUCCAUAUUUUACCAUUGCUGCAGCAAAUACUUUGUUGCAAAAAUGUGUGCCCUCAUCACCAAUAAUUGCUCUAGGAGUGCCAAACCUGGAAAACACUUUUUUUUUUAAAGAAAAGCUACCACAGUUUUAGCAUCAUUGGUAGGUAAUGCUGCAGCUUCUACCCACUUGGAGACAUAAUCCACAAUAACAAGGAUAUAUAAGUUCCCAAAAGAUGGUGGGAAUGGUCCCAUAAAGUCUAUUCCCCAGACAUAAAAAAUCUCCACUUCCAGGAUGUUGGUCAAUGGCAUUUCAUGUCUUCUAGUUAUGUUCCCUGUCCUUUGACACCUGUCACAAUAUUUAACAAAUUCAUAUGCAUCUUUAAAAAUAGUGGGCCAAUAAUUGCAUAACUUUGGCAGCUGUUCUGUGACCACCAAAAUGUCCUCCAUAUGCCGCAGCAUGACAUGACUCCAGUAUAUGAGGUAUUUCUUCUUCUGUAACACAUCUUCUUAUUACUUGAUCUGAGCAUAGCUUAUAUAAAUGUAGGUCAUCCCACUGAUAGGUUCUAGCAUCAUGAAUAAAUUUCUUUUUCUCUUGAAACUUCAGCUCAGGUGGUAGCAACCCACUUACUAAAUAAUUAGCAAAGUCUGUAUACCAUGAAGAUUCUGACUGCUGCAGCAUCUGUGCUUGUUGUACUACCAGCAGCUGUUCAUCAGGAAAAUUUUCAAUGAUGCCCUUCCUUGUCAAUGUACUAGUAUCUGCUUCCAACCGUGACAAGUGGUCUGCCACUUGAUUUUCAGUCCCUUUUCUAUCUUUAAUUUCCAGAUCAAAUUCUUGAAGCAAUAAGAUCCAUCUGAUUAAUCUUGGUUUGACAUCCUUCUUUGAAAUUAAAUAUUUGAUGGCUGCAUAGUCUGUGUAAACAGUUACUUUAGUACCCAUCAGGCAAGCUCUGAAUUUGUCAAAAGUAAAAACUACUGCCAGUAACUCUUUCUCUGUAGUGGUGUAAUUGAUCUGAGUUGGAGUGAAAGUUUUGCUUGCAUAGUAUAUGGAAUGAAAAACCUUAUCCUUUCUUUGCCCUAAUACUGGCCCCACAGAAUAAUCACUAGCAUCACACAUCAAUUCAAAUGGUAAAUUCCAAUCUGGAGAUAUAACUACUGGAGCAGUGAUCGGGGCUUUCUUUAAUUCUUCAAAUGCUUGAAGGCACUCUUUGUCAAAGUGAAAUGGUUUGUCAUGCUCCAGCAAUGAACACAAAGGCUUAGCUACUUUGGAAAAAUCCUUAAUGAAUCUUCUGUAGAAUCCAGUAUGACCCAAAAAACUCCUAAUACCCUUUACUGAAGUUGGAGGUGGCAGUUUAUUUAUUACCUCUAUCUUGGCUUUGUCCACCUCAAUACCAUCCUUGGAUAUCUUGUGACCCAACACUAUUCCUUCUUGCACCAUGAAAUGACACUUCUCCCAAUUGAGUACUAAGUUGGUCAUCUCACAUCUUUUAAGAAUUUCUUCCAAGUUGUGUAAACAAUUACUGUAUGUUUAUCCAAAAACUGAGAAAUCAUCCAUGAAAACUUCCAAAUUCUGCUCCACCAUAUAAGAAAAUAUAGACAUCAUGCAUCUCUGAAAAGUUACUGGAGCAUUGCAUAGCCCAAAUGGCAUUCUUCUGAAGGCAAAUGUUCCAUAAGGACAAGUAAAUGCAGCAUUCUCUUGAUCCUCUGGAGCUAUAGGAAUUUGGUUGUAGCUUGAAUACCCAUCUAAGAAACAGUAGUAUUGUUUUCCAGCAAGUUUAUCCAGUAUCUGAUCUAUGAAUGGAAGUGGGAAAUGGUCUUUCCUUGUGGCUUUGUUGAGCUUCCUGUAAUCCAUACACACUCUCCAUCCAGUCACUGUCCUUGUAGGAAUAAGUUCAUUCUUCUCAUUAGCCGUUACUGUUAUCCCUCAUUCUUGAACACAUGUNNNNNNNNNNNNNNNNNNNNNNNNNNNNNNNNNNNNNNNNNNNNNNNNNNNNNNNNNNNNNNNNNNNNNNNNNNNNNNNNNNNNNNNNNNNNNNNNNNNNGCCUUCUCUGGUGCUCCACCGAAUUGCUGGAACAAUCUUCUAACAGGAUUUUAUGCAUACAUAUAGAUGGGCUGGUCCCCUUUAUAUCUGCCAUAGUCCAUCCAAUUGCUCUUCUGUAUUUCCCAGCAAAUCUACUAAGCUCUGUUCUUGACCUGCAUUCAAAGUAGAAGAAAUGAUUACAGGGAGUGUGUUGUUUUGACCAAGAUAAGCAUACUUCAAAUGUGAAGGUAACAAUUUUAAUUCAAAACUAGGAGGUGAUUCAAUAGAUGGUAAAGUUAUUGUUACUUCCCUGUCUGAAAGAUUCAGGUGUUCAAUAACCCUAUUGUGCCUAUUAGAUUGCUGUUUGUCCAUCCAAUAUGUUUGACUUGCUGCAACAUCUUCCUCUUCAACAUCCUCAAAGGUGGUGACUUUGUCAAGUACAUUACUGCAGCAUCUGUCCAUUCUGUCUGCUACAAUAAGAUCUACUACACUUAGGAAAUUGCAAUCUUCUAUUUCAUCAAGGUUUCUCAUAGCCUCUAAUACAUUAAAUGUGACUUGCUGAUCAUUCACUCUCCUUUCUGCACAUCUAUCAGAGUCUUUCCAGUUGCUAGAAAAGGUUUGCCAAGUAUAAUGGGUACCUCUUUGUCAGCUUCAAAGUCCAGCAUAAUGAAAUCCACUGGAAAAAUGAAUUUGUCAACUUUCACCAGUACAUCCUCUAUCUUUCCUUCAGGAUAUGCAUGAGAUCUGUCAGCUAAUUGCUAAGUGACAGUUGUUGGUCUGCACUCUCCGACUCCAAGCUGCUUAAAUACAGAUAAUGGCAUCAAAUUAAUACUAGCUCCCAAGUCACAAAGUGCUCUGCCAGCAUACCUAGUCCCUAUAGAGCAGGGUAUUGUAAAACUCCCUGGAUCUUUCAAUUUUGUGGGAAUUUUACUCUGGAGCAUAUGACUGCUUUCUUGUGUUAAAGCAAUAGUUUCAAACUCUCCCAGCCUUCUUUUUCGUGCCAAGAUAUCUUUUAGAAAUUUCACAUAAUUUGGUAUUUGCUCUAAAGCUUCCACAAAAGGUAUAUUUAUGUGCAGUUGCUUCAGCACUUCCAAGAAUUUGCUGAACUGCUUGUCUUGUUUUUGCUUCUGAAACCUUUAAGGGAAGGGUGGUGGAUGUCUAAACUGCUGGUUAGAUUCAGGAGGUACCAAAUUAUGUUUGUUUAGGUUGGUGCAGGUUGUGGCUACUAGUGUUGCAACUUCCUUUUCAGCAUGAUCUGGUUGCAUUUCUUCUGCAGUUGCUGUAGCUUGGCCCCUUAAAUCAGUGUCUUGAUGGGGAGUUUGUUGUAACAGGCUUCCCUUUUGAGUUGGUUUUUGAGCUGAAUUGCAUUCCAUCCCAUUUUUGGUCACUUCAACUGGGAUAUCAACAUUCUUUUCAGAUCUCAAACUAAUUAUUUUGUAGUGUUCUUUGCUCUCUCUCAUAGGCUCUUCUGUAUUGCUAGGUAGGCUUUCUUGAGUUCUGCUGCUCAUUGCUGUAGCUAAUUGUCCUAUUUGGUUCUCAAGGUUUCUCAAGGACACAGCUUGACUCUACACAAUUGCUCCAUUCUUUGCAAUGUACUCCUUGAUCAGUGCUUCCAAUGAAGUGAUUGGAUCUUGACUGAUAUGAAAACUAGGUGGUUGUGUGUUUUUACUUAGUCCAUUCAAUGCUGGAGCAUUUCGAUUUUGAUUGCUCAAUGAGAAAUUUAAGUGUUGUUUCCAGCCUGGGUUGUAAGUAUUUGAAUAUGGGUUGUUCUGAGGUUGUCGACGGAAGUUACCCAUAUAGUUUACUGAGGCUGGAUUUCCAGGACAAUUAUCAAAAUCAUGUUCUUCACCACAGUAGACACAAGAAAGUUCAAUAACUUGCUUUACUGUUGCUGGAGCAGCUGUCAUGGCUUUUACCAUGUUAGUCAAUAAGGUUACUUGAGCUGACAAGGCUGUAAUUGCAUCAAUGCUAUGUACCCCUACUGUUUGUCUUGCUGUUGGUUGCCUGGCUGAAGGCCACUGGUAAUUAUUAUUGGCAAUUCUUUCCAGAAUUUCAUAAGCUUCAGUGUAGGAUUUGGAUAACAGAGCUCCAUUUGCUGAAUCAUCCACCAUUAACCCUGUACUCGGAUUCAACCCAUUGUAGAAAGUUUCCAAUUGAAUGCAACAAGGAAUACCAUGAUGAGGAUACCUUCUGAGCAAGUCCUUGAACCUUUCCCAAGCCUCGUACAAACUCUCAUCUUCAAGUUGAUGGAAGGUGUUGUGCAAAUUUUACUGAACUCGCAAGCGCACGAAUCUAUUGUAGUAUAGAUCAAUGGUGACGAGUGUCGAUCCCACGAGGAGGUGGAUUUUAAUUGUGUGUAGAAUUAAUUUUUCUAAAUGGGUGGUUGGAUUUGUGGUGAAAAUUAUUUGGAUUAUCUUAAAAUUGGAAUUUAAAUGGCGAGAAUAAAUUGAAUAGAAAUCUAUUAAAAUGGCGUACUUGGGUAUCUGGAUCUGUAUCAACAUGCAUCAUGGGCUAAAUAAUCCUUAUUAAUGUCAAUUAAAUCAUGAGAGGGGAAUCCACACCUCAUGAACCACGCUCUAAUCAAUAUGGUGUUAAGGGCUUAUCGUGCCAAAUAAUAAUAACCUUGUACUAGCAGGCCGGUGAAACCAAGGCGGUACUAGACAAGAUUAAUAUUAUUUGUCGACGAGAAGUCAAAACAUCCACAAAAAUUAGAGGGGAAGAGAAAGUAAAUUUACUAAAUAAAGCCCAUGACACAUGUUGAGACUUCACCUUCAACCCAAGCUUGAAAGAAAAUUAGCCACUCAUAAUUGAACUAGGGGCAAAAUGAGAAUUUAUUAAAAUACAUACAAAAUACAAGAUGGAGAAGGAAUUACAGAAAAUGAAUCCCAAAAAUAGAUUCAGAGCUAUCAAAUUAGGGGGGAAAGGCUCACUUUUUAUAGAUACAUGGAGUAAAUCAUGACCAUCGGAUUAAAAACAGUUUGGACGCUCAGGAUUGCGCCACGUCAUCAGUCAACAGUAUGCGGUUUGACCACGUGGAUGAACAGUAACACAGUUUGACCCGGGUUGAACAGUGACGCGGUUUGGUUGAAAAUAAUCUUGUGUGAUGCAUGUACCGUACGCGAGAUUUUUCGUCCACUAAUAUGCUGCCACGUCACCAUCAACAGUACAUAGGAAUUUUAGCCCAAUAGGAUCAUGACACCUCAUCAGUCAAUGCACAUCAUCGAUCUGUCUAUGUGAACAGUGUCAUGAACAGUAACGUAGACAGUACCGUACACGUGAAUAGUACCGUACAUAUGAAUAGUGCCAUUUUUCCUUUUAUGCUCCUCCUAAGGUUUUCGACCGUCCUGAGUUUAAAAGUGAUAUUUGUUUUGCCGUCUUAUCUCUCGUUUAUUGUGAAAUGACCAUGAUGCCCCUAAAAUACAUAAAAUACUUAAUUAAAAUCAAACACACAUAAUUAAAUUGCAAAAAGCUUAAAUACAUAAAAGUAAGGGUUGUUAGUAAAACUUGAAAUGUAAAAUGAUGAUUUUCUCCUUUAUAAAUAUACAUUUUAUAACACUCAACAGAAGGAUGUAAUCUCAUUUCGUAAUUUUGCAUUCUUUGUCGGUGGGAAAUAUUUCAUUAGGAAUUUAUCUGCCAAUUCAUUCCAUGUAGUGAUGGAAUCAGAUGGUAAUGAAUGUAACCAUGCCCUUGCUCGAUCUCUUAAGGAAUAAGGAAAUAGCCUCAGCCUUAAGGCAUCUUGUGUUGCUCCAGCAAUCUUGAAAGCAUCAUUUACUUCCAAGAACAAUUUAGAGAUGGAGAUGAGGAUCUUCAUUUGGCAAUCCAUUGAAUUGCCCAACUGUUUGUAACAUUUGAAACAUCACUGGCUUUAACUCAAAGUUGGCAGCGUCUACUUCAGGUAUGAUGAUGCCAGGAUGGACAACUUAAGGAGUUAACACAACAUAAUCUCUUAUACCUCUGUCUCUGUCAUCAACCAUGUAAAUAAUAUUGUUAUCAAUGCCAAUGUGCAAGUAUACACAACAAGUAAUAAAGUGAUGAGUAUUCAAGAUCGUCUCCACAGGGAUUGAUGUAGCUCAAAAUGCUAAAGCAAUCACAAUAAUGCAAAUCAACUUUAAAGGUCGAAACAAACAAUUGUCAAAUAAUUCUAUCGUAAUUAUUAAUUGCGAGAGAUGGAAAUAAAACAAUACUGUAAUAAAGUAAACUAAGUUAAAGGUGUCUAAAAUUCAAUUGAGAAUAUAGUAGUUGAAUUAUCAAACUCUCCUAAUGGAGUAACUGUUGUUUACCGAAUUAGCACCAGUUGUUACAGUAAGUGCUGCAGCAAUGGGUAGAAUAAAUCUGCAUCCACAGGUAUCGCAUAUUGGAAAUCUCAUAUCUUUAAAUCUACUAACAAUGACCAGUUGUUCAUAUAUUUAUGGUAUGACAUAAUAACCUUUAAUCUCUCUACCCUACAAGGUGAACACCUAUGUCUAGAGUGUCACAAAUCUUAACUUCAAGUAGUGCCCUUAUGGGAUUUAAGAUAACAUAAUCCAGGAAACUCGACUUAAGAACGAGUAAUACUCUAAUAAUGUCCGCUAAGACAUGCCCUUUUGCUGCUCUAUCUUAACUGAAACUAUUAAAUGGGUGGUCAACCGAAAUAACAGUUGUAUUCAUAAAACUAUUAGAGUAUAAUGCUACAACAAUAGCAUAACAACAUAUAAGAACAGUCAAGAACCCAUUGGAUUAUUUGUCACUCAACUACACGUAAAUUUAGUUCAUAUUCUGAAUGAGAAAAGUAAACAUAAAUAUACUAAUCGCAGAAUACAUCCAAACAAUUUCAAGGAAUAAAGAUAAUAUGCGUUGAGCACGGUGAAAGACUAGUGAUCCUCCUCGGUUCUUCAAUGAUGCCAAACAGCACUCCUCGGUCUUGAUCUUUUUCUUCCUCUUCUUGCCUUUGUAAUUAAUUGGUUGGUAUUCUCUCGCUGCCCUUCUAUGUGAUGCACGCCUCCUUUUAUAUUCCAAAUUAGGGUAAAAACCAAAGCCCAUAAGCUUGCAUGCGUCUCAAUUAGGAAACAUGCAGAUCGCAACUUUAUGGUUGACCUGCGCUUUAAACUUUCUCCCGCAUUGCUCCCAGAUUGCUGCAGCACUGGUUGCUCUAACAUCCGCAACAGCACUGCAUUAUUCUCGAUUGUGCUUUUCUUCUUUUGUGGCCACCUUCUUUCCUCCUCUUACUCAUCUAAUGUCUCCGCAUCCUCCUCAUGAAUUUAAACCCUACAAUUAUGCACCUAUUUUUAGCACAAAUUACUUGAUUUAAGCAAAACUUAUUAAGAUCCAACUAAAAUGAAUGUUUAUGUAAAAGGUAACCAAAAUGUAAUAAAAACACCUUAGUUGCUCUCUAAAUGAUCUUGAUUCCAGUCUAGAAUUGAAGUAAUAACUCUCAUUUCCUAGAGUUAUCAAUACGCGUAGUAUCUCUUGGAAUAAUCAUCAAUGAAAGUUACCAAGUACUUUUCACCUCUCAGGAAUAUAUAUGGCAAUUCUAAAAUAUCAGAAUGAAUCAAGUUAAAGAUGCCUCUACUUCUGCCGCUAGAUCUAUUAAACUUGAAUUUAUGCUGCUUGUAACACAAUGGUCACAAAAUGAUGAGUUUUCAUAUUUAAACCUCGGAAGCAACUUUCGCUCAGAGAUAAUCUUUAAACCUUAUUUUGACAUGUGGCUAAGUUUGAGAUGCCACAUUAUUAUCGAUUCUUCUUCAUUUGAUGUGACACAUCAGCUUCUUAUAGUGUUUUCCCUUCAAGUAUGAAUAGAAUUAACACCGAUUUUUUCCACCUUCAUCAAUAGAAAUGCGCCUUUAACAAUCUUCAUGAUCCUAUUUUUCAUAUGAGCUUUGCGUCCAAGACACUCUAUUCGUUCUAAACACAAUAAAAUCUUUUUCAUGCCUUUGACAUGUCGUAUCUCCUUAAUUGUGUGAACUGUACCAUCAAACAUUUUUCUUUUGACAGCACCAAUACCAGAUAUUUCCAAGUCACCCGUGUACACAUAUUCUCUUAAAAAUGUCCAUAUUUGUGGAACCAUUCUCUUUAAGAGGCCAUGUGCCAUGUUGCUCUUAAGUCUAUAAGCUAAAUGUCAGCCAAAUGCUUCCUGUCCUCUGCAACAAUUGCUAUCUCGCUGUAGAGAAUUUUUCCAUCAUCAAAAGUACUUACCGUACAAUAAUGAGCAUUUGGUGACUGACCUUUAUUGUCUCUACUUUGCUUAUUUUUCUAACACUCUUUCUUAACGUGCUCUUUCUUGCUGUGAUUGUAGCAUUUAACAUUCUUCUUACUUCUUGAUUUUGAUAUACUAUGAUUGUGACCUCCACUGAGGCCACAUUUUGUUGAUCUAUUUCUAGUCAUCGAUAAUGCUUUUGCAUGCUGCGAACUUCCUGCUUACUUUUCUUGUUUUUUUGUUUGCUUUCUUCAUUUAAUAUAGAGGUUACAACAUUGCCGAAGACUAGACUGUCUAUUUGGUUAUUGUUUGUUAGAUUAAUGAUGAGUUGAUCAUAUGAAUUUGAAAAGUGUAAAGUUUCCUUUUUAAGAAAAUCUUGUUUUGUAAAGACUUGUCCCCAUACAAUUUCGUAAGAGUAUCUCAUAUUUUCUUUGCUGUCUUUUUAUCUCCACACUAGAUAACACUUCAUUAGCCAAUGCUAAAUGUAGAUCCGUAGUUGCAUUACUGUCUACCUCGUUCCACUUGUCAUCAUCAGUUAUCUCCAUGGACUUUUCUCCUAUUGUUACCAUGCAAUUUUUUUCCCUCAAAAUAGCCUUCAUCUUUAUUUUCUACAAUGACGAAUUAUUUCCGUUGAGCUUAUCAAUUUUGUAUUUUUCCACCAUUGCUUUUUCACCACGAACUACCUUUGCUAGGAUUGGCUCCCAUCGUUUCACGUGAAUACUAACCAUAUAUGUGAAACAGUACUAUAUACGUGAAUAGUACUGUGACAACCAACUUGGCUCUAAUACCACUAUUAGGAAAUUAAUGGUGAAGCAGGGCCACAACUAAAAUGAAAUUGGAGAAAAAUAAAGAAUAAGCAUACAAAGAGGACGCUAGAAAUUACAUGGUUAAGCUUUUAACCUAUAUCUAUAGGCGAAGACAGAAUGAUAAAACUUCACUAGCGCAAAGAAGAUUAUAAGUAUUGUAAGAUUUUACCCUUACUUUCUAUAACCCAAUACACCUAAUCGCUCAAAUCACUAAACUCUCAAGAGUUUACGAUUUGAGCUCUCAAAACUCUCAGCUUCUCACUCUUGAUAGAAGAAACGAUUUGAAGAAAAAAAAAUGGAUUUUUUUUUUACGAAAUGGGCAUUAAUUUACAAUUUAUGGGGAACUCCUCUUUUUAUAGCCAAAGUCAUCUAUUAUUUUAAUUUCUUCUUUUUUUUAUCCUUGUCGUUGCUUCUUCAAUGUCGAAGCCAUAAACUGCCAUUUUCCUUCAAACUUUUUGGCGCCGACCACUAUUUGUCAAAUUCAACAUUUGUGGCUUCUUCUUUUACAGCAGCGGCUUCUACAUUUGAUAGCCAAGCCAACAAGCCAUAGACAAAAGAAGAAGCACUCGGUUACUAUCGAUGGUUGUUAAGCAGUCAAACAGCCUAGAUGACAGAUGAAAAAAACAUUUAGGCAAUCUACGGUCUCAUUUUUUACUUUCGCAAAAAAAUCCUUGCACGACCCCCUCUUCAAUUUCCAAUUUUAUUAUUCCCUCUUCAUUUUUAAUAUUUUUCCCUUUGCAAAUCCUCUUUAAAAUCGUUUGAUCAAGUAGCCUAUCACUUUUAAAAAUAAGCAGUUCAGGUGGUUCACUACUUAUUACUACUUUUCGAUAAGUUUCAUGACAUGGAUUCAACUUAAAACACAUUCGAUGCUCUCAGAUUCUCUACAUUGUAAGUUAUGUGAAACAUAAUUAAGGAAUUGCCUAAUAUAAAUUAUUUAAAAUAUAUUUUAUUAAAAGUAUUGUGUCUUUCCACACAUUUUAGAAGUUUUUGGGAUUGAUGCCAACUUAGAGUUAUCCAAGUCUUUUCUUUUUAAAUAAAUAAGUAAAUAAUUCAUUCUGCAUUUUGGUUCAUACAGAGCAUGAAUAUAGCUACAAUCAAAUUCGACAGUUAUGUUUCUCAUUUUGUAGAAAACUCUAUUGUACAGAAUUCACUACUAAAAAAUUAGUCUUUAAUGACGAUUUUAAAAGACAUAAGAUGACAGUUUAAAACCAUCAUCUUAGACAGCGACAUUAAAAUGGGUACACCUUUUAUGACGGUUCAAAAACCGUCAUUAAAUGUAUACACAUAAUCACGGUAUUAAACAAUCAUUAUUUGUGAUAUAUUCUAGAGUUUUAAUGACGGAUUUUUCUUAAAAACCGUCAUUAAAAACAAUGAUGGUUCUUUAAAUAACGGUCAUCAAUAGCACUUUAGCAUAUAUUUUAAUGACGGUUUUCUUCAAAACCGUCAUUAAAUGUUUCUUUUAAUGACGAUUAUUAAAAAAACCAUCAUUAAAUGUUUCUUUUAAUGACGGUUAUUAAAAAAACCGUCAUUAAAUGUCAAUUUUUAAUGACGGUUUUAUAUAAAACAAUCAUCUUAUAUAGGUCUUUGAUGACCGUUCUUAUAUAAGAACCGUCAUCUUUUGCAUGAGUAAAAAGAAAAAAAAUAGUAAUUUAAAAUUACCAUGCUUUAAUUUUUUUUAGAUUAAAAUUUACAUAGUUGUUUUCACAUUCUAAAUUGUACAAUUGAAGCCGCAUUUGCAAAAUUUCAAUUUACAUUACACAUUGAUAUAAUUGUCAUUCACAUACAAAGAAUUCAAAUACAUACAAGCUUAAUUAUAACAGUUUAGUGCUUAAACAACCUUGAUCAAAGUAACUCCUAAUAAUGAAAAAAAUAUGCUACACGAAUUCUCAAAUUAAAAUCCUGUCAAAGUCAUGGUUGGCACCACCUUUCUAGAUGGGCGGUGCCAAACCAUCAAUAUUUUCAACACGGCUCGCCAUUUUUGGUGGUGACGAAAUGCUUCAAGAAGAAAAGGGAGAAAAAAGAACAAAAGAAGAAAGAAGAAGCCGAAAGAUUUGAAAGGAAAAAUAAUAAACUAUUAAUAAUAUUAUUUUAUUGGAAAAAAGGAAGGGAAAUGAAGCCUAUAAAUAGAAGGCUUCAAUUCCCUUCUCGGCAUCCUAUUCUUCAGUUUUCAAUUUUUUGUGAAAGAGGAAAAAUUAAGAGUUUUAAUACUCUUGUGUAAUUAGUGAGUGAGAGAUUGGGUGUACUGAGGUUCUAGAAAGUGAGCCAAAAUAUUACAAUACUUGUAAUCCUUAUAUCACUAGUAAAAUAUUUUCCUUCUGUAUUCGCCCGUGGAUGUGGGCUAAAAGUCGAACCACAUAAUUUUAUGGUGUCCUUUUUUGUGCUUGUUCUUUAUUUUCUUCCAAUUUUAUUUUAAUUGUGGCCCUGCUUCACCCAUCAAUUUCCUAACAGUGGUAUCAGAGCUAGGUUGUAUUUUUUGGAGUCAGGGUACUGUUCAUGUAAAAGUACUAUUCACGUAUAUGGUAUUGUUCAUGUAUAAGGCAUUAUUCACAUAUACGAUACUGUUAAUGUAUACGAUAUUAUUAACGUAUACGACAUUGUUCACACAUAUGGUUGUUGUUCACGUGAAACGGUAGGAGCGAUUCUAGCAAAGUUAGUUUUUGGUGAAAAGCAAUGGCAGCAAAAUACGAAAUUGAGAAGUUCAACGGAAAUAAUUUUUCAUUGUGGAAAAUGAAGAUAAAAGUUGUAUUUAGGAAAAAUAAUUGCUUGGCAGCAAUUGGAGAAAAGCCUACGGAGAUAACUGAUGACAAGUGGAACAAGAUAGAUGGCAACGUUAUUUCUGAUCUAUACUUGGCACUUGCGGAUGGAAUAUUAUCCAGUGUGGCAGAAAAAAAAGACAGCAAAGAAAUAUGGGAUACUCUCACAAAAUUGUACGAGACCAAGUCACUGCACAAUAAGAUCUUCUUAAAAAGGAGACUAUACUUUUCGAAUGACGGAAUCUACAUCAGUGACUGGCCACAUCAACACCUUGAAGACUCUAUUUUCACAACUCCCAACAUUUGGUCAUAAUAUAGAGGAAAAUGUAUGUGCAGAGCUUUUAUUUCAGAGUCUAUCAGAUUCGUAUGAUCAACUCAUUAUCAACCUUACAAACAACAAUCCAGCGGACAGUCUAGUUUUCGACGAUAUUACCGCUUCCGUAUUAAAUGAAGAAAAUAGGCGAAAAAAAUAAGGAAGACAGACAAGUAAGUUUGCAGUAAGCAGAAGCACUAUCGGUAACAAGAAGGAGAUCAACGGAACGUGGCCUCAGUGAGAGUCACAAUCAUGGUAGGUCAAAAUCAAGAAGUAAGAAGAAUGUCAAAUGCUAUGAUUGUGGCAAGAAAGUGCACGUCAAGAAAGAGUGUUGGAGUAACCAGAAGAGAAAAGAGGGUAAAGAACUUGAGUCAUCAAAUGCUCAGGGGUGUGUAGCAAGUACCUCGGAUGAUGGCGAAAUUCUCUAGAGCAAGGCAACAACUAUUUCAUAAAGCAGAAAACGGCUAUCUGACGUCUGGCUUAUAGACUCAGGAGUUACAUGACAUAUGACCUCUCGGAGAGAAUGGUUCCACACAUAUGAACCUAUCUUAUGAGGAUCUGUAUAUAUGGGAGAUGAUCAUGCCUUGGAGAUUGCUGAUAUUGGUACUAUUAAAAUAAAAAAUAUUUGAUGUUAUUCAUACAAUUAAGGAAGUACAACAUGUCAAAGGCUUGAGGAAGAAUCUAUUAUCUUUAGGACAAAUGGAUAGUUAUGGGUACAAAACUCAUGUGGAGAAUGGAAUUAUGAAGAUUGUUAAAGGCGCGCUUGUAUUGAUGAAGGUAGAAAAGAUCGGUGCUAAUAUAUUCAUGCUUAAAAGGGAAACAUUGCAUGAAGCUGAUGUGUCUGUUGCAUCAAAUGGAGAAGAGUCAAUGAUGAUGUGGUAUCUCAAACUUGGCCAUAUGUCAAAACAAAGUUUGAAGAUUUUCUCUGAGCAAAAAUUGCUUGUAGGGCUCAAAUUGGUAAGCUUACCAUUUUGCGAGCAUUGUGUUACAAGUUAGCAACAUAGAUUAAACUUUAGUAGAUCUAUUGUUAGAAGUAAAUGCAUUUUAGACUUAGCUCACUUUGAUGUUUAGGAAUCACCAGACAUAUCCAUGGGAGGCGUAAAGUACAUGGUGACUUUCAUUGAUAAUUAUUCCAGGAGAUGUUGGGUGUAUCCAAUUAAGAAAACGUCAUAUGUAUUUUCAGUGUUUAAAGAGUACAAAGUGCAGGUAGAACUUGAAUCCGAUAAAAGGAUUAAGUGCUUGAGAACAGAUAAUGGUGAAGAGUAUACAUAUAACAAGUUUUUUGCUUUCUGUAAGUAAGAAAGUAUUCAGAGGCAGUUCACGGUAGCAUACACUCUUCAACAAAAUGGAGUGGCAGAGCGAAUGAACAAGACUCUUACAUAAUGAAUAAGAGCUAUGUUGAUUUAUUAUAGGCAGAAGCAACCAAAAAUGCUUGUUAUAUAGUAAAUCAGUCGCCAUCCACAGUAAUUGGGCUGAAGACAACGAUAGAGAUGUAGACUGGAAAGCCAGCUAAUUACUCCUACCUAUAUGCAUUAGGAUGUUCUGUGUACGUGAUGUAUAAUGUCCAAGAAAAAACAAAGUAAGAUCCUAAAUUUAGGAGGUGUAUCUUCUUGGGGUAUGCUGAUGGAGUAAAUAGGUAUCGUCUGUGGGACCCCACUGCCCACAAGAUUUUCAUCAGUAGAGAUGUUAUCUUUGUAAAAGAUCAACUACAAAGGAGAGAUGAGGAUGAUAGGGCCGUAAAAGAAAAGUCAGAGACUGUACCAGUAUAUGUGAAAAAUAAUAUGGAAAAAGAAAAUUCAGAUUCUUUUGAAGCAGCACCGGAGCAUGAUGAACAAGAACCAGUCGAGUCUGAGGUUCCAGAAGUUCGUUGGUUAACUCGUGAGAGACGACCACGAGUGUGGUACUCGGAGUAUGUCACAGAGAUAAUGUUGUAUACUGUCUUCUAACAGAGGAUGGAGAGCCAUCAACUUUCCAUUAAUCUUUAAAUAGCUCAGAUGUUACUUUGUGGAUGACAGCAAUGCAGGAGGAAAUUGAAGCUCUACACAAGAAUAAGACAUAAGAAAGAAAGUGGAGCGGUAUCGUGCAAGAUUGGUGGUGAAAGGAUAUGCUCAGAAAGAAAGUAUUGACUUCAAUGAGAUAUGUUCUCCGGUGGUUCGACUCACAAUAGUCAGAGUAGUCUUGGCAAUGUGUGCUAUAUUUGACCUACAUCUAGAGUAGUUGAUGUGAAAACUGCAUUUCUUCAUAGAGAACUUGAAGAGAAAAUUUAUAUGCUCCAACAAGAAGGUUUUACUGAAAUAGGAAAGGAGAACUUGGUUUGCAGGUUGAAAAAAUCUCUAUACGGUCUCAAACAGGUGUUGAGGUGUUGGUAUAAGAGAUUUGAUUCCUUUAUCAUGAGCUUUGGAUACAACAGACUCAGUUCAAACCAUUGUGUAUAUUACAAGAGGUUUGAAGAUAAUGAUUUCAUCAUUUUACUGUUGUACGUGGAUGACAUUUUAGUAGCAGGCCCCAAUAAAGAUCGAGUCCAAGAACUAAAGGCACAAUUGGCUAGGGAGUUUGAAAUGAAGGACUUAGGAUUAACUAAUAAGAUUCUAAGGAUGCAAAUUCACCGAGACAUAAAUAAUAGGAGGACUUGACUUUCUAAGAAGAACUACUUGAAGAAAAUCUUACGACGCUUUAAUAUGCAAGAUUGUAAGCCAAUUUCUACCCCACUUCCUGUUAAUUUCAAGUUAUCCUCAAGUAUCUAUCCUAGCAAUGAAGCAGAGAGAAGGAAGAUGUCUCGAGUACCAUAUACAUCAGCAAUGGAAAGUUUAAUAUUUUUUAUGAUUUGUAUAAGACCAGACAUUGCACAAGCAGUGAGAGCGGUCAAUUGAUACAUGGCGAAUCCUGGUGGAGAACAUUGGAAAAUUGUGAAGAUGAUUAUGAGAUACAUCAGAAGAACUCUGAUGUUGCAUUAUGUUAUAGAGGAUCAUAAUUUAUUGUCAGGGGCUACGUGGAUUUAGAUUUUGCAGGAGACAUUGAUAAAAAAAAACUACUACUAGUUAUGUGUUUAUACUUGCAAGAGGAGCUGUAAGCUGGGUUCCAAAACUAUAGACCGUUGUGGCUCUAUCUACAAAAAAUAAAAUAAAAUACAUGGCAGCUACAUAAGCUUGCAAGGAAGCUAUUUGGAUACAAAGGUUAUUAGAGGAGCUCGGACACAAACAAGAGAAAAUUUAUGUGUUUUGUGACAGUCAAAGUACCUUGCACAUUGCAAGGAAUCCAGCCUUUCGUUCCAAGACAGAGCACAUAGGAGUUCAAUAUCACUUCGUUCGAGAAGUAGUGGAAGACGGAAGUGUGGAUUUACAGAAAACUCAUACAAAGGAGAACCUAGCAGAUGUUAUAACCAAGCAAAUCAAUAUUGACAAGUUUGUAUGGAAUAGAUCCUCUUCUGGCCUAGCAGAGACGUAAGCAGCAUAACAAUAGCGAAACAGAAAGGAUGGUGUGGAGAUUGAUUGAUCCUCAAUCAAAUCUCCAAGUGGAAGAAUGUCAAAGUCAUGGUUGGCACCACCCUUCUAGAUAGGCGGUGCCAAACCAUCAACAUUUUCAACACGGCCCGCCAUUUUUUAUGGUACCGAAAUGGUUGAAGAAGAAAAAUGAGAAAAAAGAACAAAAAAAGAAAGAAGAAGCCGAAAGAUUUGAAAAGGAAAAAUAAUAAAAUAAUAAAAUAUUAUUUUAUUGGAAAAAAUGAGGGGAAAUGAAGCCUAUAAAUAGAAGGCUUCAAUUCCUUCUCGGCAUCCCAUUCUUCAGUUUUUAAUCUUUUAUGAGAGAGGAAAAAUUAAGAGUUUUAAUACUUUUGUGUAAUUAGUGAGUGAGAGAUUGGGUGUAUUGGAGUUCUGAGAAGUAAGCCAAAAUAUUACAAUACUUAUAGUCCUCAUAUCACUAGUGAAAUAUUUUCCUUCUGUAUUCGCCGGUGGUUGUAGGCUAAAGGCCGAACCACAUAAUUUUCUGGUGUUCUCUUUUGUGCUUGUUCUUUAUUUUCUUCUAAUUUUAUUUUAACUGUGGCUCUGCUUCACCCAUCGAUUUCCUAACAAAUCCAAUAUUAUAUAAUUAUACAAACAAAUAUAUAAAUUAAAAAACAAAUAAAGACUAUAUUUUGUGCUUACAUAAGGUGGUAUUUGCACUUGGAACAUUUACACCGAGCUAGCAAGCUUGCUGAUAACUCUAUGAAAUGAGAGUUAUUACAGCAAUUCUAAAUUUAAAUUAAGAUCACUUAGAGAGUAAAUAAUGUGUUUUUAGUGCAUUUUUGUUACAUUUUGCAUAAAUAUUCAUUUUAUUUUAGUCUUAAUAAGUUUUGCUUGAUUUAGAUUAAUUCAUGCUCAAAUUGUGUGCAUAAUCGUAGGUUUCCAGAAGCUUGUGAUUCAAGGAAAGAAUGCUGAAUUAUUGGGUUGGCACAAAGGAUGAAGAAUAUGGCCACAAAAGGAGUGAAACAAAAUCUGGAACAGUACAGUGCUAGAGCCGUUGCUGGAGGAGCCAUGCUGUAGCAAUUCUGGAACAACGAUAGAGAAAACAUAGCACGGAAAAUCUGCAAGAUUGCGAUCUGCAGUUUCCUAAUCUGACUCAUGCGUGCCCUAGGCUUUUGUUUACCCUAAAUGUCAGUUAUAAGAAGAGGCGAGCAACACAUAAAACGACGACAAGGAAUUAACAUAGAAAAAAUCAAGAGGAAAAGAAGAACACAAUCAAAAUUCAAGGGAACAGAUGCCACAUCAUUGAAGAAUCCAGCAGAGUUGUUUGGAUUUAGUCUUUAUCGUUCUUUACUUGUUCUUUUCUCAACUCUUUGAUUGAACCAAUGUAUUUCGUGACCAUUGGUUUGCUGUUUGUUUUUCUUUUUCAAAGUAUGAACUAAACUUGCUUGUAGUUGAGUGACAAACAAUAUGAAUGGGUUUUUGACUGCUCUUAUGAGUUGCUGUAUGAUUGCUAUAGCAUUUUACUCUAGUAGCUAUUAUUAUAACUGUUAUUUUGGUUGACCACCCAUUUAAUGGUUCAAGUUAAGAUAGAGCCGCAAAAGGACCUGUCUUAGUGGAUAUUAUUAGAGUAAUACUUGAUCUUAAUUUGAGUUUCCUGCAUUAAGGUUAGCUUUAAUCCGAUAAGGACUAUACUUGAAGUUAAGAAUUGUGAAGAACUAGACAUAGGUAUUCACCUUGUAGGGUCGAUAGAAUGGACGUUCACAAUGCCAUGCCUCAGGUAGAAUAAUAACUGGUCAUUGUUAGGACACUUAAAGGUAUGAGAAGUCCAACACGCGACAGCUGAGGAUGCAAAAUAAUUCUGCCCAAUACUGUAGGAAUUGCUGUAGCAACUGGUAUUAAUUUGAUGAAAAGCAGUCAGUCCAUGAAGAGAGUUUGAUCAUUCAACUAUCGCAUUCUCAAUUGAUUCUUUUACGCAAUUUACUCAAUUUAUUUCACUACUGCAGUUAUUUGUUUUAUUUCCUUACAAUUGUUAAUUUUGGUAGUAAACAAUUUUAAAUUUAUUCAUCUCGAAAUAAAGGUAGAUAGCACUAUUGUGAUUCCUUUAGCAUUUCUAGUCACAUCAAUCCCUGUGGAGACGAUCUUAGAUACUCAUCACUUUAUUACUUGUUGUGUACACUUGCACAUUGACAUUAAUAGCAAUUGAGUUUAAAAUUAACCAACAAGUUUUUGGCGCUGUUGCCGGGGAUUGAUUGUUUAUUUUCGAAGUGUGAAGUAAAUCUUGAUAGUGCCAACUUGAUCUAAUUUGUUUUAUUUAUUGACAGAUCAACACUUGCAUGAGCAAAGACAGAAUUGUUGUAUUCCAAUUUGAUCCUUAGAUUGAAAGGACUGUAAGGAGACUGCAAAGAGAACAAAGAAAUUUAAAAACUGUUUCAGACAUGGAUAAUCUGUAGGAUGUGGGAAACUUGGACCCUCAUGGGCCACUACAACCUGUCAACAUUCAAGAGGGGCUGAAUGAGCAUAUUAAUCAGAGACAGCCAUGCAACAAUAAUAUUAUUUACGUGGUUGAUGACAGAGACAGGACUAUCAGAGAUUAUGUUGUGUUAACUCCUCAAGUUGUACAUCCUGGGAUAGUCAGACCUGAAGUGGAAGCUGCAAACUUUGAACUUAAACCAGUGAUGUUCCAAAUGCUGGAAACAGUGGGUUAAUUCAAUGGACUACCAAAUAAAGAUCCUCACCUCCAUAUUAAGUUAUUUUUUGGAAGUGAGUGAUGCUUUAAGACUAAGGCUUUUUCCUUAUUCCUUAAGAGAUCGAGCAAGAGCAUGGUUGAGUUCAUUACCCUCUGAUUCUAUAACUACAUGGAAUGACUUGGCUGAUAAAUUCCUAAUGAAGUAUUUUCCACAACCAAAAAUGCAAAAUUACGGAAUGAGAUCACUUCAUUUCAUCAACUUGAAGAUGAGAGUUUGUAUGAUUCUUGGGAGAGAUUUAAAGAGCUGCUCAGAAGGUGUCCUUAUCAUGGCAUUCCUUGUUGCAUACAGUUAGAGGCUUUCUAUAAUGGGUUGAAUCCAAUUACGAGAUUGAUGGUUAAUGCUUUAACAAAUGGAGCAUUGUUAUCUAAAUCCUACACUGAAGCUUAUGAAAUCUUAGAGAGAAUUGCCAACAAUAAUUAUCAGUGGACAUCAACUAGACAGCCAGCAGCAAGAGGUGCAGCAGGGGUAUAUAGUAUAUAUGCUAUUACAACAUUAUCAGCACAAGUAACCUCAUUGACUAACAUGGUGAAAGUCAUGACUUCUGCUCCAACAGCAGUAACUGUCUUGUGUGUAUUGUGGUGAAGAACAUGACUUUGAUAACUGCCCUGGAAAUCCAGUAUCAGUAAAUUAUGUGGGUAAUUUCAACCGACAGGUUCAAAACAACCCAUAUUCAAAUACUUACAACCCUGGAUAGAAGCAACACCCAAAUUUCCCAUGGAGCAGUCAAAAUAGAAAUGCACCAGCAUUGAAUGGACGGAAUAUGAACACUCAACCACCUAGUUUUCAUCAACAGAGUCAAGGGCAAAAACACACCAGCCAAGAUCCACUCACUUCAUUCGAAGCAUUGAUUAAGGAAUACGUUGCAAAGAAUGAAGCAAUUGUACAGAGUCAAACUGUAUCAUUGAGAAAUCUAGAAAACUAAAUGGGACAACUUGCCACAGCAAUGAGUAGCAGAACUCAAGGAAGCUUACCCAAUAAUACAGAAGAUCCAAGAAAAGAGAGAAAAAAACACUGCAAAGUAAUCAACUUAAGAUCUGGAAAGAACAUUGAUAUCCCUGUUGAUGUGACUAAAAAAUGGCUGGAACUUAAUUCCUCACAAAAACCACCUCAAGAUGAGAGUACGUUACAACAACCUAACCAUCAAGAUACUGGUGUUAGGAGCUAAGCUUAGGCAAAUAUGAAAGGAAAUCAGUCAGUACAUACUGAGAAAGAAGUUGCAACACCAGUGGUAAUAACCUACAACAAACCAAAUGAGCAGGGUUUGGUACUUUCUGAAGCUACCCAGCAGUUUAGGCAUCCACAUCUUUUCCCACAGAGAUUCCAGAAGCAAAAACAAGACAAGCAGUUCAGCAAAUUCCUUGAAGUACUGAAGUAAUUACACAUCAACAUACUUUUUGUGGAAGCUUUGGAACAAAUGCCUAAUUAUGUGAAAUUUCUAAAAGUUAUAUUGGCAAAAAAGAGAAGGUUGGGAGAAUUCGAAAUUAUUUCUUUAACACAGGAAAGCAGUCAUAUGCUCCAAAGUAAGAUUCCUAAAAAAUUGAAGGAUCCAGGAAGCUUCACAAUACCAUGUUCUAUUGGAAUUAUGUACAAUGGCAGAGCACUCUGUAAUUUGGGAGCCAGUAUUAAUCUAAUGUUAUUAUCUGUAUUUAAACAUUUGGGAGUAGGAGAAUUCAAGGCAACAACAGUCACUUUACAAUUAGCUGACAGAUCUCAUGCAUAUCCUGAAGGAACAAUUAAAGAUGUACUGGUAAAGGUUGACAAAUUCAUCUUUCCAGUGGACUUCAUUGUACUAGACUUUGAAGCUGAUAAAGAGGUACCCAUUAUACUUGGAAGGCAUUUUUUAGUAACUAUGAAAACUCUUAUAGAUGUGUAAAAAAAAGAGCUAAUAAUGAGGGUAAAUGACCAGCAAGUCACAUUUAAUGUAUUAGAGGCUAUGAAGAACCCUGAUGAGGUAGAAUAUUACAAUUUCCUGAGUGUUGUAGAUUUUGUUGUAGCAGACAUAAUCGACAGAUGCUGCAGUAAUGAGGUCAUCAAGGUUGCCACCUUUGAAAGCUUUGAAGAAGAAGAUGUUGCAACAAACCAGAUAGAUUAGAUGGAAAGAAAGCAAUCUAAUAAGCAUAGCAGAUUUGUUGAACAUCUGAAUCUUUCAGACAUGGAAAUAAAAGCAAUUUUACCAUCUAUUAAAUCACCUCAUAUUCUUGAAUUAAAAUUGUUACCCUCACAUUUGAAAUAUGUUUAUCUUUGUCAAAAUAACACACUCCCUGCAAUCAUUUCAUCUACUUUGGAUGCAGGUCAAGAAUAAAGCCUGGUAGAUGUGCUUGGGAAAUACAAAAAGGCAAUUGGAUGGAUCAUGGCAGACAUUAAAGGGAUCAGCCCUUUUAUAUACAUGCAUAAAAUUUUUUUAGAAGACUGCUACAAUAAUUCAGUGGAGCAACAGAGAAGACUAAAUCCCAUUAUAAAGGAAGUUGUAAAGCAAGAAAUCAUCAAAUGAUUGGAUGCUGGAAUCAUAUACUCAAUAUCAAACAGUUCAUAGGUAAGCCCAGUUCAAUGUGUUCCAAAGAAAUGAGGAAUAACAGUGAUAGCAAAUGAAAAGAAUGAACUUAUUCCACAAGAACAGUGACUGGUUGGAGGGUAUGUAUGGAUUACAAGAAGCUCAAUAAAGUCACUCGAAAAGAUCACUUUCCACUUCUAUUCAUAGAUCUGAUGUUGGACAGACUUGCUGGAUAGCAAUAUUACUGUUUCCUAGAUGGGUAUUCAGGCUACAACCAAAUUGCUAUACCUCUAGAGGAUCAGGAAAAGACUACAUUUACUUGUCCUUAUGGAACUUUUGCCUUCAGAAGAAUGCCCUUUGGUUUGUGUAAUGCUCCAACAACUUUCCAAAGAUGUAUGAUAUCUAGUUUUUCCGAUAUGGUGGAGCAAACAUUGGAAAACUUCAUGGAUGAUUUUUCAAUCUUUGGAGAGACAUAUACUGAUUGUUUACACAACUUGGAAGAAGUUCUUAAAAUAUGUGAGAUGACUAAUUUAGUGCUCAAUCGGGAAAAAUGCCAUUUCAUGGUGCAAGAAGGCAUAGUGUUAAGUCAUAAGGUAUCCAAGAAGGGCAUAGAGGUAGAUAAGGCAAAUAUAGAAGUGAUAAACAAACUGCCACCUCCCACUUUAAUCAAGGGGAUUAGAAGUUUUUUAGGCUAUACUGAAUUUUACAGAUGAUUCAUAAAAGAUUUUUUCAAGGUAGUUAAACCACUAUGCUCAUUGCUAGAACAUGACAAGCCUUUCCAUUUCGAUAAAGAUUGUCUUCAAGCCUUGGGGAAUUAAAGAAAGCUUUGAUAACUGCACCAGUGGUUAUAUCACCAGAUUGAACUCUCUCAUUUGAACUAAUGUGUGAUGCCAGUGACCAUUCUAAUGGGGUUGUGUUGGGGCAGAGGAAGGAUAAGAUUUUCCACUCUAUAUAUUAUACCAGCAAAACUCUUACUCAAACUCAGAUUAACUACACCACUACAAAGAAAGAGUUGCUAGCAGUAGUAUUUGCUUUCGAUAAAUUCAGAGCUUACUUGAUGGGUACUAAAGUGACAGUAUACACAGAUCAUGUAGCCAUCAAAUACCUAAUCUCAAAGAAUGAUGCUAAACCUAGAUUAAUAAGAUGGGUCUUAUUGCUUCAGGAGUUUGAUUUGGAAAUUAAAGAUAAGAAAGGGACUGAGAACCAAAUAGCAGACCAUAUGUCUAGGAUAGAAGCAUAUACAAGCACAUUGAUAAAAAAGGAAAUCACUUAAACUUUUCUUGAUGAACAACUAUUAGAAAUACAGCAAGCACAGAUGCUGCAACAAUAAAGACCUCCAUGAUAUGCAGAUUUUGCUAACUACUUAGUAAGUGGGUUGCUACCACCCAAAUUGAAGUUUCAACAGAAAAAGAAAUUUCUCUAUGAUGUUAGAAGCUACCAAUGGGAUGACCCAUAUUUGUAUAAGUUAUUCUCUGAUCAAGUAAUAUGAAGAUUGCUUCAGAAGAAGAAAUCUCUCACAUACUCUAAUCCUGCCAUGCUACAGCAUAUGGAGGACAUUUUGGUGGUCACUGAACAACUGCUAAGGUUCUGCAAUCAGGGUAUUACUGGCCUUCUAUUUUUAAAGAUGCUUAUAAGUUUGCUAAAUGUUGUGACAUGUGUCAAAGGACAAGAAACAUAACUCAAAGACAUGAAAUGCCAUUGACAAACAUUCUGGAAGUGGAAGUUUUCGAUGUAUGGGGAAUAGACUUCAUGGGUCCUUUUCCACCAUCCUUUGGGAACUUAUAUAUCCUUGUUGCUGUAGAUUAUGUCUCUAAAUGGGUAGAAGUUGCGGCAUUACCUACCAAUAAUGCUAGAGCAGUAGUGAACUUCCUUCAGAAAAUAUCUUUUCCAGGUUUGGCACUCCACGAGCAAUUAUUAGUGAUGAGGGUACUCAUUUCUGCAACAAAAUAUUUGCUGCAACUAUGGAAAAAUAUGGAGUCAUGCAUAUCACCCACAAUCCAAUGGCCAGGCAGAAGUGUCCAAUAGAGAGAUUAAGAAGAUCUUAGAAAACGUGGUGAACCCAUCAAUGAAGGAUUGGUCCUUGCGUCUACAUGACUCCCUAUGGGCCUACAAAACAGCAUAGAAAACACCACUUGGCAUGUCUCCCUACCAAAUUGUGUAUGGGAAAGCUUGUCACUUGCCACUUGAGCUAGAGCACAAAGCAUACUAGGCACUGAAGCAAUUAAAUUGGGAUAUACAUGUUGCAGCAAAGCAAAGGAAACUUCAACUAUGUGAGCUUGAUGAAUUAUGGUUGUUCUCAUAUGAAAAUGCAAGAAUCUAUAAAGAGAGGACAAAACAUUGGCAUGACAAACAUAUCCAACAUAGGAAAUUAAGUCCUAGUCAACUAGUACGGCUCCAUAAUACAAGGUUCAGAUUAUUUCCAGGAAAACUUAAAUCUCGAUGGUCUGGACCCUUCAAGUUGCUCAGAAUUUAUCCUCAUGGGGCUGUUGAUCUCCUAGAUGAAAAGACAGGCCAAGAAUUCAAAGUCAAUGGGCACAGAGUUAAACAUUACAUACACUCAGCUGCAGAGUGUUCAAAGAAGGUCUUACUCCUUAAAGAACCAAGGUUAUGAGCACGCAAAAAAGGUCAGGCUGAAGGACCUUAAAUCAAGCGCUCAAUGGGAGGCAACCUAUUGCGGAGGUAAUCACUUCAACUAAGAUUAACCCUUCUUGUUUUUGAUAAAUGUUUUUCCUUUUAUUUCAUUUUAAUUUUGGUAUUCACUUAUUGUUAUUUAUUUACCUUAUUUAGGAUUAUUUAACUUUUACUUUUAUUGUUUUAUGUUUUUAUUUUUAAUUCUUAGGAUUGGUUUUAUCUUUAAUUUUAGAUUGGUUUUAUUUAUUUUUAAAUUUCUCAAGGGAAAUAUGUGUGACAAAUGGAUUCCAUAUUAACAUGUGGGGCUGUAGUGUUGACAGAAUGCAGAGGCAAGCCUUCGUGUCAGCAGUUAUUAGAAGAAAGUAUGUAACCAUUGCUAAAGCAAACAAUUGAUUGCUGCAGCAACCUAUGUUACCGUUACAAUAACUUAAAGAUGGAGCCUCUCAUUUACCGUUGGAGAUAAUAUAUGACAGAUGGGUGGAUGGAUUUAGAUAGAAAUUAAGGAAGAAUAUCUCCUAAAUUAAUGCAUUAAUUUCACCUUCCUAUUUUUAUGAGAUAUGCUUAAUGAAUUUAAAAAAUAUUCUUCCAUAAUUUAUCUUAUUUUACCGCAAUUAUUUUCAUUUAAUCCCACCUAUAUAAAGGAGUUACUGUGCAGGUUGACUUCUAACACUAUUUGUUCUCUCAUUCGCAGUUAAGACUCUAGCCCUCCAUAAUCUUCUCUUCUCAAUUUACUCUUGCACAUCUUAUCGUCAGAUUCUUACUGCUGUAGCAAUGCCAAGGUACAAAAAGACAGCUAACCGACUAAAAUAUCCCUCACGAUUUCAAAGUUACCAUGCAGAAGAAAAAUAUGAAGAGUUCAUUGAACCGUAAAAAAUUCUGGAAGAAAAAGGGUUUCAAUUCCCACCUCAACCCACAGGAAUUGUGCAAUCAUUGUACAAUGUUGCAGCCAAGCGCGAGUGGCUAGAGUUUUGUGACCACCCUCGAGACCCUGUGUUGCCAGUAGUGAAAGAAUUUUAGGCCAAUUUGGUAAGCCCUGGUCAGCACAAUAUUUAGGUACGAAACUCACUUGUUCCAUUAUAUUCUCGAGUUAUAAAUGCUUUUUAUAAUUUACCUACUGAAAUUAAUUACGAGUAUGUCAAGUUACUUGACAAAUUAACACCGCAAAGAUGGAAUAAAAUUUUCACAACCCUUACUGUAAAAGGUGCAACUUGGGCUAAUAAAGAAGGGCAGGUGAUUAAUAGGAUAGAUUUGACACCCAUUGCCAAGGUGUGGGUGAAAUUCCUAAAAUCCAGACUUAUGCCAACCACCCACACCGCCAUUGUUUCUAAAAAAAGGUUAAUAAUGUUGUAUGUAAUUGUAAAAGGGCUUCCCAUAGAUGUGGGAAGCAUUAUCGAAAAAGAAAUUCGAGACUAUGCCAUAAGAACCACAAAGCAGCUGCCUUGCUUUUUCCUUCGCUCAUCACCAACAUCUGUGUGGUAUCGGGAGUUCAUCUCGAUGCCAAAGAUGAGCAUGUUAAGAAUAAUGGUGCCUUUGCUGCACACACCAUCGAGAAAAUUGCUGGUGAAGCUGCUAGAGCCCCAUCUGAACCAACUGUUGUGACAGGGGUGAGACGAGCUAUUGGGUUGGAACAACGAAUACAAGCACUGAGCACUAGCAUCAAUCAAUGUGUUGAAACUUAGCAGAGGGAAAAUAGUAGGUUCUAGAGCUAUUUGCAACACCUGGACCACCAGCUCCACUAAUUUGCAGUAUACAUCAAGAGUAACCAUAGAAAUUUCCCUGAUUCUUUGCUCCAACAAUAUAAUUUUGACACCUACACUACAGAGGCUCCAGCAGAAGUCAGUGAGGAAGCUAUUGACAUAGAUGAACCAGAGGAGGAAGCUGCAGUAGAUCAGCAAGCAGAGAAGGAAACCGAUGUUGAUGACAAGUCAGACCAGCCCGAAGAAGAGGAUGUUAAGUCUGCCACUGACAGUUCCCCAACAAAGGCAAAGAAAGAGAAGGAGAAAGAACAUGAGGAACCCCUAAUCAGAACCUCUUCCAAGUCUAGAAAAAAGCACAUCAUCUAAGAAGAGGAAGAUGAACCUGCAGAAGAACCUCAUAUUCUAAUAAUUUUUAGGAUGGGUAAAGAGAAAGUAACCACUCCACAUGCCUCGGAUGAUGAAGCCGAGCCAAUUGAUGCAGAGCUGGAAGCUGUAGCAGCCAAAGUCAUGCGUAGACUAGCAGAGGUAAAAUAUCUACUUGACAUCAUUGCCGGUAUCAUGGCUGAGGGACAGGAAUCCGAGGCCCCAAUUCUGGCAUCUUCACAACAAACCCCCAGCAAACCUACUAUCACUAGUCCAAAGUGAUCCAGCAAAAUAAAGGGAGGUAUUUCUGGAGGCCCUACUACAGUAGCCACACCAGAACCUAAAAGGACCAGAUCUGUUUCAUCUAGACAUACUGCACCAACGACCACUCAUUCCACCAGUCCACCAACGAAGAAGAAGAAGCCAUUGCCAGUUACCUCACUACAAGAAUCCCCUAAGGAUCGGCUACGCAGGGCAUCUAAAAAGUGCUGAAGUCACUCCACUAUGUUAUAGCAGCACUCCAAUAACAGGGGAGUACCCCCUUAUCUGCUAGUUUAUUUUAUUUUUAGUUUUAAUUUUCUAAUUCAUUUUGUAUGGCCUUUCAUUUAGUGUAUACAUGUAUGGUUUAUGUACUUUUUUUUUUGUGCUUGUGAGGACACAACACCACUUAAGUUUGGGGAGAUUGUGUUUAUGUUUGUGUUGUGUGAAGCUCUGUUAUCUAAUAUUUGUGUAUGGAUUUAGAAACCUAAUGAAGAUAAAAUGAGUGUUAUUCAGUACUUGUGAGAAUGCCAAGUAGAGAUAGUUGUAGAUGAAGGUUGAGAUUCUAUCCUGAAACUUAUAGUUUGAUUGGGUUUUAUGAGAAUGUUGUAGCAAACCAAGAACAUAAAAGAGAAACAGAAUACUUCAAGUUGGAGAAGAAUUUUGGCUAAACUGUGGUCAUUAUGAAAUAAAUUUGGCUCCAAUGGCUUAAGUUGCUGAGUAACCAGGGCUGAGUAUGCAUCCCAUAUGCAAACUUGAGUCCAAAAGCAACAAGAGUUACGAGCACUGCUAUAGCAACUGUUCUUAAAAAAAAAAAAAGGUCCUCUGUCUAGGGUAUUGAGCAGCCAGGUCUGUUCAUGAGCCCCAUAUCCAGCCUUGAGUUAAAAGAUAUUCUUAGAUAAGACUAUGCUACAAUAUUGCUACAACAACUCUGAUCUAUGCACUGAUUGAGUAAUUGGGUGUCAUCAUUACAAAUGAUUGGCAUUCGCAUGAAAGAAUAAAAGUUGCAGUGAAAAAGGUUAAGUGUUCUUAGCACAGUUUGAGUAUAUGUGUCAUUUUUGCCUCCCCAUGUGUGAAUACAAUUGUGUUCUACCUCUGAAUUACAUAUAAUAUCUCGAUAAUGCUGAAGCACCUCUAAAAUCUUAUCAAAGUGACACACACACACUUGGACAGAGGAAGCUUAAGUCUAGAACUGAACUGCUAUGGCCAUGUUGCAUGAUUAAGAUUGUAAUCUGAGGGUGGAAGAAUCCUUGCGAAUUUGAUGACAGAGCUAAGUUGUUUGUUGCGUGAUUGUGUGCACGAAGUGUUAGUCUGUUGUCAUUACUUGAUGACAAGUAACGGUUUAAGUUUAGGGGUGUGAUAACUCUAUGAAAUGAGAGUUAUUACGGUAAUUCUAAACUUAAAUUAAGAUCACUUAGAGAGUAAAUGAUGUGUUUUUAGUGCAUUUUUGCUACAUUUUGCAUAAACAUUCAUUUUAGUUUAGUCUUAAUAAGUUUUGCUUGAUUUAGAUUAAUUCAUGCUCAAAUUGUGUGCAUAAUCGUAGGUUUCCAGAAGCUUGUGAUUCAGGGAAAGAAUGCUGAAGAACUGGGCUGGCAUAAAAGAUGAAGAAUAUGGCCACAAAAAUAGUGAAACAAAAUCUGGAAUAGUGAUGUGCUAGAGCCGUUGCUGGAGCAGACAUGGCUGUAGCAAUUCUGGAACAACGAUAGAGAAAACUUAGCACGGGAAAUCUACAGGAUUACGAUCUGCAAUUUCCUAAUCUGACUCAUGCGUGCCUUAGGCUUUUGCUUACCCUAAAUGUCAGUUAUAAGAAGAGGCGUGCAACACAUAAAACGGCGGCAAGGAAUUAACAUAGAAAAAAUCAAGAGGAAAAGAAGAACACAAUCAGAAUUCAAGGGAACGGAUGCUGCAUCAGUAAAGAAUCCAGUAGAGUUGUUUGGAUUCAGUCUUCAUUGUUCUUUACUUGUUCUUUUCUCUACUAUUUGAUGGAACCAAUGUAUUUCGUGACCAUUAAUUUGCUGUUUGUUUUUCUUUUUCAAAGUAUGAACUAAACUUGCUUGUAAUUGAGUGACAAACAAUCUGAAUGGGUUUUUUACUGCUCUUAUGAGUUGUUGUAUGAUUGCUAUAGCAUUUUACUCCAGUAGCUAUUAUUAUAACUGUUAUUUUGGUUAACUACCCAUUUAAUGAUUCAAGUUAAGAUAGAGCCGUAAAAGGGCCUGUCUUAGUGGAUAUUAUUAGAGUAAUACUUUAUCUUAAUUUGAGUUUCCUAGAUUAAGGUUAGCUUUAAUCCCAUAAGGACUAUAUUUGAAGUUAAGAGUUGUGAAGAACUAGACAUAGGUAUUCACCUUGUAGGGUCGAUAGAAUGGACGUUCACAAUGUCAUGCCUCAGGUAGAAUAGCAACUGGUCAUUGAUAGGACACUUAAAGGUAUGAGAAGUCCAACACGCGACAGCUAAGGAUGCAAAAUAAUUAUGCCCAGUGCUGUAGGAAUUGUUGUAGCAACUGGUAUUAAUUUGAUGAAAAGCAGUCAAUCCAUGAAGAGAGUUUGAUAAUUCAACUACCUCAUUCUCAAUUGAUUCUUUUAUGCAAUUUACUUAAUUUAUUUCACUACUGCAGUUAUUUGUUUUAUUUCCUUACAAUUGUUAAUUUUGGUAGUAAACAACUUUAAAUUUGUUCAUCUCGAAAUAAAGGUAGAUAGUACUAUUGUGAUUGCUAUAGCAUUUCUAGUCACAUCAAUCCCUGUAGAAAUGAUCUUAAAUACUCAUCACUUUAUUACUUGUUGUGUACACUUGCACAUUGGCAUCAAUAGCAAUUGAGUUUAAAAUUAACCAACACUUGCCCUUCAAAAACUGAAUCCUUGCUCAGAAUUAUACACAAAGCAUGCUUUGCAAAGUAGUCUUUGUCUUGCAACUAGGCUUACCAAUGUAGUUCCUGUUAAAUCAAUAUUUAUUGGAGCCCAAGUAUCACCAUUUUCAUCGGUUGGCUGCAAAAAACAAAAACAAAAAAUUCAAAUCAAAGGCAAAGCUAAACAAAUUGGCUUUUUUAAAGUAAAGGAAAAAGGCAGAGCCUUAAAAAAUUCCGAAGUAUCACCAUUUUCACUCAUUGGUUCAAUCUCGAUUUUAUGUUUACAAUCACAUUUCUCAUAAAUACGAUCACUUACAGAAAAUUCCCACAAUCCCACAUGCAACAUUUCUCAUAAAUAUGAUAACUUAGUUUACUAUGAUAUUGGAUACUCAACAAAGACUAGUUGACAAUUCUCUAAAGGUUCAAAUAUUGGCCCUUUAAAGUCAUUUAAACUCAAAUAUAAAACAUGUGUCUAAUCAAAAUGCUUGUGCAUGAAUAUAUUAAAAAACCAUAAUUUCAAAGGGAAAAAAUUGAACAAAGAAUUAAAAAUUUCUCAAAUAGAAUUUGACAAUCCAACAUUCAAAAUUUGAUAUUCCAAAGCAUUCUUUUCGAAAGAAUCUAAAUAAUUUGAUUAUCAAAAUAUAAAAUGAAAUCUUUACAAUUAUCUAGUUAACACCAAACCCUGCAAAUAUGUCUUAGAAUUAAACUAUAAGUGAAUGAUGAGAUAUUUCAUUUAAAAGCACUACAAGAAAAAGGACCUACUAUGACAAGUAAAACUGUCAUAGUAGGGGUUGGAUGACGGUUGUUCAUACCGUCGUUAUAGCCAACGUCAAGAAUUAAUGACAGAACAAUACCUGUCACAGCCUGUGAUAGAUAUAACUAGUCACACAACUAUCAUAACUUUAUUAGAAAGAAAUAUAAUAAUUUUGAAUUUGACCCUUUUUUUUAAAUUUUGCAUGCUAUAUUUUGAACUUUUAGCUGGAAAUCUUAAAUUUGGCGCGAAAAUAAAAAUCAUAAUUAAUUGAAUUUUUUUUACAAUUAAUUCUGAAAUUAAAAUUAUGAUUAAUAAAAAUGACUAUUUGUUACUACCAUGAAAUCAUUAUCAUUUUAAUAAAAAUCUUGCAAUUGAUUUAGAAAUUAAAAUUUCAUAAUUUAGUUAAUUAAUUAGAUUGUUAAAAUGAAUAUUACAAAUAAAAAUUCACUGACAAAGAAAAUGAAUAAUUACAAGUGACAAGUCCAAAAUAAAUAGAAAGUAUUGUAACAACAUAAAAACCAAAUUUCAACAUGUAGAAGACUAGCAAUUUUGAGACUAAUGAACCAUGAUCAGUUCAUUUCCAGCACCACAACCAAGCCAACAACACUGAUCAAACCAAAAAAAAAAAAUUCAUUCUAGCAGUUUUAGUGAAGCAUACAACAAAUACCAAUCUAAGAAGAAGCUAAACGUGCAAAGAUGCACCAAUACUCAGGACAUGUUUUGGCAUCAAAGAAAAAAGAUGGCCAACUCCAGCAAUACCCACCAUCUUCAUCAAAUUCUAACAUAGCAAGUGUAACAAGCUAGGUAACUGCACAAGUCAAAUAUAACUUUAUCAAAUUCAAAGUCCGUGACAAUGCAUAUAGAUUAUAAUACUAGGCAAUAGAAUAAUAGCUAGCUGAGGAUCGAAUGGAAAUUUUUUGAAAUUCAUCAAAUUUGAUCUCAGCUAAUAAAUUACCUAGGUGGCUUCCCCUUUCAGACCAAUGUAGUAUAUCUGAGUUAUGUCACCCUCAAAAUUGUCUGGGAAGUAUAUUGUGUAAAAUAGCUUUUGCAACAUAUUUUUUGAAUCAUAUCUUCAAAAAUCCUACAUCCUCAAUAGAACUUCAAAAGAUAACCAGGCAUAAUCAAUCAACUCAACAAAAAUGUUUAUCUAAUUGUAAUGUGAAAAAGUCAUGUGAUGAGCAUAUAAUACAUACAUAUUUUACCAUUAAUUAAAUAAUUGUUAGUUAUAUUUAUUUGUUAUUUUUAAUUAAUUGAAUUAUUUUAUUGAAUAGGGAAUUAAUUGGAGAUUAUGAAUAAAAAGAGCAUAAAGGAGUUCAAUUUGUAAGCAUUAAAGAUUAAUUGAUUUUUGGAAGGAAUUAGACAUACAUGCAUGUGGAAAUCAAGCCAAGGAACCGAAUUCAACAAGUAAAUUCAUCAUGCACAUGCGGACAAAAGAGAGAAAUUGAUUUUAGCUUUAAGAAGGGACCCCACUUGGCUUUCAUAAAUGGAAAAAGGAAACCUAUUACAAUUCAAAGUGCCCACGUGAGUGAAGCAAAACAAAUAAAAGGCCAAACCCUUUUGGCUUUAGGAUUGACAAGGUGGGGCCCAUUUUAAAGGCUAUAUAAGAAAGCUAAGCUUUUGGCUUUUGGAGAGGGGGGAGCCGCCAGAGGAAGAAGAGAGGAGCAGACGCAGGGUGGAGAGAGUAUUCGACAGCAGCAACAAUUCGGCUUUCAUGGCUGAUUUUAUUUUUUGUGUUGUUCCCAAUUCAAGUAUGUCUAGCUAAUUUUCUUAUACUGAGGUUAAGGAUGAAACCUUAUUCAAUAAAAUAAUUAUCUUUUUAUUUAAUUAAUUCCCUAUAUAUGUUCUUUGAUAAUUAUGGUUUUUAUUUCACAUGAUUAAUUGGAUGUUAAUAAAAUCUUUUCAUCAAUUUUGUCAUGCAUUAUUGAUUGUUAGGACUAAUAUUCGAUUAAUUCUAUGCUUGGAUCUAUAAAGUUUAUACAUGAUUAUCUUUGAUUUUAUGUCUUUCAUUAAAUUGUUUACAUGGAGUGCUUAGGAAACUUUGACUCUUUGUUAUUCAAUAUGUUUACAUGAGAUUCUUAGAUGUCAUAUUAUUAAGCAGAAAAAGAACCUACAUUAGAUUUAAUUACUUGGGCUUAAUUGUUAUAUCCAUGAGAUGACAUAGAUUGAUUUCGAGUUGUCACUCUAAAAUUGGGGAUUAAUUAAUAAUUAGAUAAUUACUAUUUGAAUAGUGGUGGAUUCUGAAACCUUGGUAAUUCUUAUCUUAUUGAAUUCUCCUUUAUUUUAAUUGCUUCCUUAGUUUAAUUGGUUUAAUUUUCUUAAAAACUCAAUUUGCUCAACUAGGUUAGAAUUAAUAUUAAUUUUAGAUUUAAAUUAGACUUUUUAAUUUAUAACAAUCCCUGUGGGAUCGACCUCGUUACCACUAUUCUAUUUCUAGAUUCGUACGCUUACGAGUAUAUUAAAAUUUUCACAAGUUUUUGUCGCCGUUGACGGGGAUUGUGCCAGAAAGUCAGUUUAAUCUAGGUUGAUUUGAUUCUUCCACUAGUUAUAAUUUAGGUUAUCUUUUAUUUUUAUUUUUUAUAUAAAAAAAAAUUUAUUUGUCUUUAAAUUCAUUGUUUGGUUGUUUGAUUUCUUUUAUUUUUUAAAUUUCGUUUAUUCUCAUUAUUGUUGGUUUAUUUUAUUUUAUUUUUCUUUUCCUUGUCUAGUUAGUUUAUGAGUGUUUGGAAACGUGAUUCAACAAAUCGUUUGGUUAAAAGAGAGUCGAAAAUUUAUAGUAGUCAAGCUAGUUCUUUAGAAGUGAUGGAUGACCCAAAUAGACUAUUGCCAAUACUUCCACCAGUGCAAGCAGAGAAAACCCUUAGAGAAUAUUUUUCACCACUUGCAACCAACCAACCAUCUUGUAUUGUGUUGCCACAAACUACAGCAACACACUUUGAACUUAAGCCCUCAGGCAUUCAAUGGGUUAGAGAGAGAGGAUCCAUAUUUGCACAUUAAGGAAUUUCUUGACAUAUGCUCUAUAUUUCGUUUUCAAAAUUUUAAUGAUGAGUCAAUUAGGCUUCGUAUGUUCCCUUUCUCAUUAAAAGACAAAGCAAAAGCUUGGUUGAAUUCACUUCCUGCUGGGUCUAUUAGUACAUGGGAUAAAUUGAGUAAUAAGUUUCUCACCAAGUUUUUCCCUAUGUCUAAAACAAAUGCCCUUAGGAGAGAGAUAAGUGAUUUUUAUCAAAGAGAGGGUGAGCAAUUUUACGAGUGUUGGGAAAGAUUCAAUGAUUUACUCCUCAAGCGUCCCCACCAUGGUUUUGAAAAAUGGAGACUUAUACAAUGCUUUUAUGACGGUUUAACCAUGUCAAAUCGUCAUAUGGUAGAGUUUAUGAAUGGUGGGAGAUUUUUGAACUUACAUGAAGGGGCUGCAUGGGAUUUCUUUAAUUCACUUUCUGAAAAUUCUCAACAGUGGGAUUUUUCAAAUCAAAGGGAAAAAUUAUCUCAAGUUUCUAGAAAGGGUCUAUAUGAAGUUAAGGAUGAUUUAGAUAUGAAAUCCACUCUAGCUACACUUUCUAGGAAAGUAGAUGCCUUAGUUAUAAACCAAUCCAUAAAUCAUCAUCCUAGUGUAGCUAAUGAGGUUUGUGCUCUUUGUUCUAACUUGUCUCAUACAGCACAGAAUUGUCCAUCAUUACCAGCCUAUCAAGAGGCUUAUUCUGAGCAAGUACAUACCUUACAAUCAUAUGAGAAAACCUCCAAUAAUCCAUACUCACCCACAUAUAAUCUUAAUUGGAGGAAUCACCCUAAUUUGUCUUGGAAACAAAAUCAACCUUUGCCAAACCAAGGAGGACAACAAUUUAGCUUGCCCAAUCAACAAUCUGUCCCUCCUAACCAAGUAUAUCCUCCUGCCCAACAACCUAUGUCUCAAUUUGUUGCACCCCAACAAAGAAAAUCUUCUUUAGAGGAUACACUUCAAAGUUUCAUUCAGUCAACUCAACAAGCUUUUCAGUCAAACACUCAAGCUAUUCUAAAGCUUGAACAUCAAUUGGGUCAAUUAGCAACUACUGUAGCGGAGAGAGAAAAAGGGAAAUUCCCCAGUCAAUCAAUUCCCAAUCCUAAAGGAGUGCACGAAGUUGGGUCGAGUUCAAGUCAUCAGCAUGAACAAGCAAAAUCUGUUAUGACCUUGAGAAGAGGAAAAUUAUUUGACAACAAGGUGGAGGUUCCAACAAGGAAGACAUCUGAGCCUACUUCUUCAGAUCCAGUUCCAUCACAAGACCCAUCACCAAAUGAUCCUGAAGAGAGUGGCCCACCAGCUUACAUUCCUAAGGCUCCUUUUCCUCAAAGGUUAACAAAAGUAAAGAAAGGGACUUCAACAGGUGAGAUUAUGGAAAUCUUCAAACAGGUAAGUAUAAACAUCCAUUUACUCGAUGCCAUUAAGCAAGUUCCUUCCUAUGCCAAGUUUUUAAAAGAUUUAUGCACUAAAAAGAUAAAUUUACAUGUCACUAAAAAGGCGUUUUUAACUGAACAAACUAGCAAUUUACUUCAAUGUAAAAUGCCACCAAAAUUUAAGGAUCCUGGUUCUCCUACUAUCUCAUGUGUUAUAGGGAACCAAUGUUUUGAUAAAGCAUUAUUGGAUUUGGGUGCUAGUGUUAAUCUCUUACCUUAUUCUGUUUACAUGCAGCUUGGACUAGGUGAGUUAAAAUCAACUCCUAUUAUUUUGCAACUUGCUGAUAGAUCAAUGAAAAUACCUCGUGGUAUUAUAGAGGAUGUGUUGAUACAGAUUGAUAAAUUUUAUUAUCCUGUUGAUUUUAUCAUUAUUGAUACUCAGCAUGUACAUGAUCCUAAGAAACACACUCCAGUUAUUCUAGGUCGUCCUUUCUUAGCUACAGCUGAUGCUCUUAUUAAUUGCAGGAAUGGAAACAUGCAGCUAUCUUUUGCUAAUAUGACCAUGGAAUUGAAUAUUUUUAAUGUUACCAAGCAGCCACAAGAAGAAGAUGAAUUUGUUGAAGCGAAUAUGAUAGAGGAAUUAGUAGAAGAUUCAUUCAUUUCUAAUCAUAAUGAUGAUCCAUUAGAGGCAUGUCUAACUCAUUCUGAUUUAUCUUUUAAUAAUGACAGUGCAAUUGCAGAAAUCAGCGCUUUACUUGAUGCACCUCUAAUUACGGACACAACUAAAUGGAAGACAAAGUCAGAACUACUGCCUCAUUCUGAGAAGAAAAUUGGCCCAUCUGCGGAGGCACCACCAAAAUUGGAACUCAAAGUACUGCCUGACACUCUGGAAUAUGCAUUCUUGGGAGAAUCUGACACUCUACCUGUUAUUAUUUCUUCUUCCCUCGAUCUUGAGCAAAAAGGUAAGUUGUUAGGUAUUCUAAAAGAGCAAAAGGAGGCAAUAGGAUGGACCAUCGCUGAUAUUAAAGGUAUUAAUCCAGUAGAUUGCAUGCAUCGUAUUCAUCUUGAAGAAAAUGGUAAACCUAUUAGGGAGAUGCAACGUAGGCUAAAUCCUAACAUGAAAGAAGUGGUAAGAGCUGAAGUAAUCAAAUUAUUAGAUGCAUGAAUUAUUUAUCCUAUUUCAGAUAGCUCUUGGGUUAGCCCUGUGCAAGUUGUUCCUAAGAAAUCUGGUGUUACAGUAGUUACUAAUGCUAAUAAUGAAUUAAUUCCCACUAGAGUAACUACAGGUUGGCGUGUUUGCAUUGAUUAUAGAAAAUUGAAUUCAUUCACAAGAAAAUAUCAUUUUCCUCUUCCAUUUAUUGAUCAAAUGCUUGAUAGACUUGCAGGUCAUGAUUUUUAUUAUUUUCUAGAUGGAUAUUUCGGUUAUAAUCAAAUCCCUAUAACUCCAGAGGACCAGGAGAAAACUACUUUUACUUGUCCAUUUGGAACUUUUGCAUAUAGGAGAAUGCCAUUUGGUUUAUGCAAUGCACCUGCUACUUUUCAAAGAUGCAUGCUUAGUAUUUUUUCUGAUAUGGUUGAGAGAUUUCUUGAAGUAUUCAUGGAUGAUUUUUCUGUUUAUGGAGAUUCUUUUGAUGAAUGUUUGCAACACCUAACAUUAGUUUUGCAGAGAUGUAAAGAAAAGAACUUGGUUCUAAAUUGGGAAAAGUGUCACUUCAUGGUAAAACAAGGUAUUGUUCUUGGUCAUAUAAUUUCCAGCAAAGGUAUAGAAGUCAACAAAGCUAAGGUGGAUUUAGUUUCUAAUCUUCCACAUCCCAAAUCCGUAAAAGAAGUAAGAUCCUUCCUUGGACAUGCUGGUUUUUAUAGAAGAUUCAUUAAAGAUUUUAGUAAAAUUUCUAGACCCUUAUGCAAUUUACUUGUUAAGGAUGUACCUUUUAUUUUUUAUGAAUCUUGUCUUGAUGCUUUUGCAAAGUUUAAGAAAUUGUUGACUUCUUCACCUAUCAUUCAGCCACCUAAUUGGGAUUUGCCUUUUGAAAUUAUGUGUGAUGCAUCUGAUUAUGCUGUAGGAGCAGUUUUAGGACAAAGAUUAGAUCGUGUGCCUUAUGUGAUUUAUUAUGCUAGUAUGACACUCAAUGAUGCACAGUUGAACUAUUCAACUAUAGAAAAAGAAAUGCUAGCUGUGGUAUUUGCACUUGAUAAAUUCAGAUCUUAUCUUAUAGGUUGUAAAGUGAUUAUUUUUACUGAUCAUGCUGCUUUAAAAUAUUUGUUUACUAAGAAAGAUGCUAAGGCAAGAUUGAUUCGUUGGGUGUUGCUUUUACAAGAAUUUGACAUUGAAUUUAGAGAUAAAAAAAGUUCUGAAAAUGUUGUGGCGGAUCAUUUAUCUCGCCUUGAUCUUAAAUUUAUUCCAGAAUCUUUACCUUUGAAUGAGUCUUUCCCAGAUGAGCAACUUAUGAGUGUAAAUGGUGUACUAUGGUUUGCUGAUAUAGUUAAUUACCUUGCUACAGGUCAAAUCCCAGAGCACUAGACUAAGCAAGAUAGAACAAAGUUCUUAUCUAAAGUGAAAGACUUCUUUUGGGAUGAUCCCUAUUUAUUUAAAUAUUGUGCUGAUCAGAUUAUUAGGCGAUGUAUUCCCGAUAAUGAAAUUCAAAGUGUUAUCUCAUUUUGCCAUGAACAAGCUUGUGGAGGCCACUUUAGUACUAAAAAGACAGCAACAAAAAUUUUGCAGUGUAGUUUUUAUUGGCCUACUCUUUUUCAUGACGCUUAUGUUUUCUGUUCUUUGUGUGAUAGGUGCCAACGUAUGGGUAGCAUUUCAAAGAGGAACAUGAUGCCACUCAAUCCUAUUCUUGUGGUUGAGAUCUUCGAUGUAUGGGGUAUUGAUUUCAUGGGACCUUUUCCUCCAUCUUUUGAUUAUCAGUAUAUAUUGGUUGCAGUAGACUAUGUGUCGAAGUGGGUUGAAGCUAUUCCAUGCAAAACCAAUGAUCAUAGGGUUGUAGUGAAAUUCUUGAAGAGUAAUAUUCUGUCUCGUUUUGGUUUCCCUAGAACAAUCAUUAGUGAUGGUGGUACCUAUUUUUGCAAUAAACUUUUCAAAACUCUUUUGGACAAAUAUUUCAUUACACGUAAGGUUGCCACCCCAUACCAUCCUCAAACCAGUGGCCAAGUAGAGAUUUCUAAUAGAGAGAUCAAGCAGAUUCUAGAGAAAAUAGUUAGGCCAGAUAGAAAGGAUUGGUCUUUGAGACUUGAUGAUGUAUUGUGGGCAUAUAGGACUGCUUUUAAAACACCAAUUGGGAUGUCACCUUAUCGACUUGUGUAUGGAAAAGCAUGUCAUCUGCCAGUAGAGUUGGAGCAUCGUGCAUAUUGGGCUAUCAAGAAAUUCAAUUUUGACAUGCAGCAUGCUGGUUCCAAGAGAAGAUUACAACUAGCAGAACUUGAAGAGAUCAGGAAUAAUGCAUAUGAGAAUGCCAAGAUUUAUAAACAGCGAAUGAAAGUCUUUCAUGACAAACAGAUUUUGAGGAAAGCCUUUACACCAGGUCAGAAAGUACUUUUAUAUAAUUCCCGAUUGCAUCUCUUUUCAGGUAAGUUACGUUCUCGAUGGUCUGGUCCUUUUAUAGUUCGUACUGUCUUCCCUUAUGGGGCAAUUGAGAUUGAAAAUCCUAAAAAUGGUGAUUUAUUUAAGGUGAAUGGUCAAAGAUUAAAACUAUUUUUAGAGUUAAGAACACUAGAAGUUGAGGAGAUACUUUUAGAUGAUCCUGUUUAUUAGGAUUAGUUAAGUUCAUCUUUGCACUCUUGUUUUAUUUUAAUAGUAGGUUUUCUUUUCUUUGUUUGUUUUUUUUCUAAUAUUUUUCUUUUUUUUUUCAUUUGGCAUUUUCUUUUAAGCUUUCCCAGCCCAUCCAGGUGUGAUCUCUCCAACUUUCUUUUUAUUACUUAUGUUAUUAUUAUUAUUAUUAUUAUUAUUAUUAUUAUUAUUAUUAUUAUUUCUUUCAUUUGUUUGCAUGCAUAUCUUUUGUUUGUGAAACAUUGAGGACAAUGUUCCAAAUAAGUUUGGGGGUGGGUGUUGUGAAAAUUUUAAUAUACUCGCAAGCGCACGAAUCUAGAAAUAGAAUAGUGGUAACGAGGUCGAUCCCACAGGGAUUGUUAUAAAUUAAAAAGUCUAAUUUAAAUCUAAAAUUAAUAUUAAUUCUAACCUAGUUGAGCAAAUUGAGUUUUUAAGAAAAUUAAACCAAUUAAACUAAGGAAGCAAUUAAAAUAAAGGAUAAUUCAAUAAGAUAAGAAUUACCAAGGUUUCAGAAUCCACCACUAUUCAACUAGUAAUUAUCUAAUUAUUAAUUAAUCCCCAAUUUUAGAGUGACAACUCGAAAUCAAUCUAUGUCAUCUCAUGGAUAUAACAAUUAAGCCCAAGUAAUUAAAUCUAAUGUAGGUUCUUUUUCUGCUUAAUAAUAUGACAUCUAAGAAUCUCAUGUAAACAUAUUGAAUAACAAAGAGUCAAAGUUUCCUAAGCACUCCAUGUAAACAAUUUAAUGAAAGACAUAAAAUCAAAGAUAAUCAUGUAUAAACUUUAUAGAUCCAAGCAUAGAAUUAAUCGAAUAUUAAUCUUAACAAUCAAUAAUGCAUGACAGAAUUGAUGAAAAGAUUUUAUUAACAUCCAAUUAAUCAUGUGAAAUAAAAACCAAAAUCAUUAAAGAACAUAUAUGGGAAUUAAAUAAAAAAAAUUAUUAUUUCAUUGAAUAGGGUUUCAUCUUUAACCUCAGUAUAAAAAAAUUAGCUAGACAUACUUGAAUUGAGAGCAACACAAGAAAUAAAAUCAGCCAUGAAGCCGAACUGCUGCACUCGUCCUUUUCUCCCCUCUUCUGCCUUGCGUUUUCACUCCACUGGCGGCUCUCCCUCUUCUCCAAAAGCCACAACUCCCUUUUAUAAUCUUUGAAAUGGGCCCCAUCUCUUAAAUCCUAAAGCCACAAGGCUUGCCCUUUUAUUUACUUGGCCACGUAAUUGAAAACUAUAAAAGCCAAAAGUUAUUGAUUUCCUUCCUUUAUUCUACUUUGACUUUCCAUUCAAAGCUUUAAUUAAAAGCUUUGUUUAAUGUGCUGCCCACUUUAACUUUAACCUUCUUCUUUGUUUGCACGUGGAUGGUGAAUGCAUUUGUUGAGUUCGGUUUCCUUGGCUUGAAUUAACAUGCAUAUAAGCAUAAUUGCUUCCAAGUUAAUUAAUCUUUAAUGCUCACAAAUUGAACUCCUUUGUGCCAUUUUUAUCCAUAAUCUCCAAUUAAUUCCCUAUUCAAUAAAAUAAUUCAAUUAAUUAAAAAUAACAAAUAAAUAUAACUAACAAUUAUUUAAUUAAUGGUAAAAUAUGUAUGUAUUAUAUGCUCAUCAGUGGGAAUAGUGUGUGCUUUGUUUGUUAAAAAAAAUAAUAAAAAAAAUUUCAAAACAAUUUCAAAAAUUCAAAAAUUAAAAAAAUUUGUGUUUUUUUUUUUAAUGUGAAAAGCCAAUGAUAAGAAUUUGAUUGACAAUGAAUAUGAUUUUUAGAAAGGGUUGAAUAUUGUCUUAGUUUAUACUUGAUUCUUGUGUUAGUUCCUCUUGAUUGAGAUUCUUUAAACCAUGAGCACUAAUAUCAGUUCUUUCAUGAUUUUGACUUGAAAUUUGAGAUUGAUGCAGCCUGAGUUGAGAAUUUUAGAUAGAGUAAAUGAUUGUUUGUCUUGAUUCUUAUCUCCACAAUACAAAAUAGUAUACACAGGUGCUAGAGUCAGAAAUAGCUACCUAUAACCCUUAAGAGUGAAGCUAUCCUUGAGUAAUUUGGGCCUAUGUACCACAAGUAUGUAGAGGAUAAUCUACCAUAAGAAGAAGGCUACCUUAAGGGGUAGAGUGAAAACUCCUGACUACGGUUAAAGAAAAAAAAAAGAGAAAAAGAAAAGAAAAAAAAAUCAAAUCAAGUGCAUGUACUGAAAAAAAAUCAAAAGAAAAUGCACAUAAAAGCCUGUGAGAGGAAAAAAAAUUGGAGAUCAAGAUGAUAAGAUUAGUUUGACCUAUUCUGUUCUUUGUUUGAGGCGAAGGCUGUUGAUGUUGAGGAUUUUGGGAAUGGAUUUGAUUGAAUUGAUUUCACACACACACUACAAGAAUUGAAAGAGAGAUGGGAUUGAUUAUUGAAUUAAAGUUAGAACUGUGCCAAUAUUUGAAAUUUUCUUUGAGUUAUAUAAUUUAUGCAAUCUUUGAGGCUAUUUUCAUGUUUUAUUUAAUUUUUUUUUCUUUUGUUCUCUUUAUUUAUUUAUUUAUAUAUUUUUUUAAUGAUGUUUGUGGGUAUCAUCACUGAAGCCCUCAAGAGACUAUAACUCGUCCACUAGGGUCGCCUAGGGGUUUAAAGGCUUGUUGCAUACGCUAAAUGCAAUCGCGAUUACCUGCGAAAGUGGUUUAGUUAGGAUUUACUUUUUGUUUCAUUAUUUUUAUUUUUUUUUAGUUUUAGUUUUAGUUUUGCUCGAGGACUAGCAAAAUCUAAGUUUGGGGGUAUUUGAUGAGCAUAUAAUACAUACAUAUUUUACCAUUAAUUAAAUAAUUAUUAGUUAUAUUUAUUUGUUAUUUUUAAUUAAUUGAAUUAUUUUAUUGAAUAGGGAAUUAAUUGGAGAUUAUGAAUAAAAAGAGCAUAAAGGAGUUCAAUUUGUAAGCAUUAAAGAUUAAUUGAUUUUUGGAAGGAAUUAGACAUACAUGCAUGUGGAAAUCAAGCCAAGGAACCGAAUUCAACAAGUAAAUUCAUCAUGCACAUGCGGACAAAAGAGAGAAAUUGAUUUUAGCUUUAAGAAGGGACCCCACUUGGCUUUCAUAAAUGGAAAAAGGAAACUUAUUACAAUUCAAAGUGCCCACGUGAGUGAAGCAAAACAAAUAAAAGGCCAAACCCUUUUGGCUUUAGGAUUGACAAGGUGGGGCCCAUUUUAAAGGCUAUAUAAGAAAGCUAAGCUUUUGGCUUUUGGAGAGGGGGGAGCCGCCAGAGGAAGAAGAGAGGAGCAGACGCAGGGUGGAGAGAGUAUUCGACAGCAGCAACAAUUCGGCUUUCAUGGCUGAUUUUAUUUUUUGUGUUGUUCCCAAUUCAAGUAUGUCUAGCUAAUUUUCUUAUACUGAGGUUAAGGAUGAAACCCUAUUCAAUAAAAUAAUUAUCUUUUUAUUUAAUUAAUUCCCUAUAUAUGUUCUUUGAUGAUUAUGGUUUUUAUUUCACAUGAUUAAUUGGAUGUUAAUAAAAUCUUUUCAUCAAUUUUGUCAUGCAUUAUUGAUUGUUAGAACUAAUAUUCGAUUAAUUCUAUGCUUGGAUCUAUAAAGUUUAUACAUGAUUAUCUUUGAUUUUAUGUCUUUCAUUAAAUUGUUUACAUGGAGUGCUUAGGAAACUUUGACUCUUUGUUAUUCAAUAUGUUUACAUGAGAUUCUUAGAUGUCAUAUUAUUAAGCAGAAAAAGAUCCUACAUUAGAUUUAAUUACUUGGGCUUAAUUGUUAUAUCCAUGAGAUGACAUAGAUUGAUUUCGAGUUGUCACUCUAAAAUUGGGGAUUAAUUAAUAAUUAGAUAAUUACUAGUUGAAUAGUGGUGGAUUCUGAAACCUUGGUAAUUCUUAUCUUAUUGAAUUCUCCUUUAUUUUAAUUGCUUCCUUAGUUUAAUUGGUUUAAUUUUCUUAAAAACUCAAUUUGCUCAACUAGGUUAGAAUUAAUAUUAAUUUUAGAUUUAAAUUAGACUUUUUAAUUUAUAACAAUCCCUGUGGGAUUGAUCUCGUUACCACUAUUCUAUUUCUAGAUUCGUGCGCUUGCGAGUAUAUUAAAAUUUUCACAACAUCAUGCCAAUAAAUCAAAAGCAAAUAAAUAUUACAAGUAGAACUCAAUGAACAUAAUUUUAAUUCAAAAUGGAGACAUAGAACUAGAUUUCAAGUACAAAAGUCUAUGGCUAUGGUGCAAGGAUGAGGACUUUUACGAAGUCGACCAAACUUUCAAUGAAUGAUUCAAGGAAAUCAAUAACGAAUAGACUCUAUGCAGCAACAAAUAUUUUUCAAUCACAUAUAUGCCAUCCACGUUUCAGACACGCUUCUUGGAAACAAGCCAAUGUCUAGAUAAAAGGUGAACCAUAAAGUGCACAAAUUACCCCUGAAGAAUUCAGAUGUUACUCCCAUGCUUUAAAAACUGACUUGACACUCCCUGAAAUAGUCUUAUUUAAUGCAAACACCUAAAAAAACAAUCCAAUAAAAAAGAAAAAGGAAAAAUUACUGAAAGCAAUUAAAUGAAAUGAACUGAAAAAACAAACAACAAUAAUUUCUUUUCCAUCCUUGACAAUGAAAUGAACUAAAAAUAGAGCCAACAACAGCUCAGAAAGAAGUAGCUCCCUGUCACAAAGCAAACAGGGCAUUCAUUCACAUGAAGCAGCCCUUCACUAGACCUGUAAAGGACCAUAACCCAGCCUAUCUACUGCAAAGUACACUAAAACAUGGUGGGGAAAAUUAUCUUAAAAUAGCUCCCUUGCAAUUACCAUAGAAAUUUUUGAAAGCUCACUGAUGUGAUGUGAUGUGAUGUGAUGCAAUAGAGCACAAUCAAAAUCCAAAGACAUCAAUGAGUAAGCAAAACUAAGCUAAGCAGAUAAGGUCUUUGCAACAAAAAUUGUAAAGUAACUAAAUGCAUACAAAAACAGAAGCAUCAAGGUCAAGCUAACCUCAGAAGUAGCAUUAUUAUCUACUGAAGUCUUUGCUUCAACAAAUUUCCAUGAAGCAGACAUGUUACUUUUCCUCAAAGAAUCGAGUAUUAAAAGGCCUAAAUCGAUUGUGUUGGCUGCGAUAACAUCAAUGACAUAAACAUUGGUUUAAAUAAUUUGCCACAUAUAUAGUUAAUAUAAUUAAUAACAGGAAAGCAUAGUUGCUGUAAGUAAGGUAAUACAAAUAACUUGUAACUAAAAUUCUUCACCAACACACACUUACAUCUUUUGAUAGUAGAGAUUUAAAGUACUGUAGUGCCAGUCUUUCUUUCCAAUGUAAUUUUGCACUAGUCAAUUAAAUUUUUAACUACAUAAAUAAAUAAAGUAACCAGGAUCUCUUAACUUAAAUAAUAACAAUAAGAAAAUAAAAUAUAGCAACAAGCUACUUGCUUGCUAGAACCACUUGGAAUAUCAUUUCAAUCUAGCACAAGUAACAACAAUAAUUUUCACAUAAGUGACAAAGAUUAAUAAACUUCGAACAAAAACUAAUGAAAAUCUAAUGUUAUAUUACAUAAGCAAAGUACAAUAUUCUAGUCACUCAAGGAGCUAAUAUGGUGCUUUUAGAAGCUUAGAGUUGACGUUCAGUAACCAAAAAUAAAUAAAUAAAAUAUAUAACCAAAAAGACAAAAGCACCAAUGCCAUGAGUAAAUCAGGAUUUUAUAGAAUCCAAUAAAACUAACAAUAGGUCAAGUUUAAAAAGCAAGCAAAAAUAAUUUUAAAAAAAACCUAAAACAACCGAAAGUGAGAUAAAAGUUAGAUUUGAAAAUAUACAAAUUAAAAUGAAUGAACUAAAUAAUUAAUUAAUCAGAGAGAAUUAACCAAUUGAAGCAGAGGUGCAAAGCCCUUGGCCAACAAAGAAGAUCAAUCGCACAAGAAUUGAGAAGAAAAUAAUAGGAUCCCCAAUUUGAAGACUGAACAAAAUGUCAAGGUGAUUAGCUGCACAAGAACAAAACCGAUAUCAUUCUAUAGGUUCAGGUUUCGUUCAUUCCAGCAACUAGUACAUUUAAGCACAUAAAUUUUAGGGAAAAAAAAUUAUUUUCCAACCCAGUGAACAAAUUUUAGAUAAACCUUUAGUGCUUAGAACUACACCUUUAGUGUUGAAAUUGACAAGAAAUUUUAAUCAAAUUAACACGCAAGAGAAAAUAAGGAGAAUAAUUACCUAUGUUAAUCGAAAAAUUGAGCUUAAUCAACAGUGGCACAUGUUCAGUGGGUUCUUCGUGUGGAUCUCGAUGAUGGCCAAAAUCAACGGUGGGUGACAAGGUAAAAUCGACGCCGGGACCUGAGAUAAAAUCGACGGUGUUACUGAUGCAAGGGUUUGAGGCGAUAUGUUGUUGUGAGAGUGAGACCGUGUGAAGGUGAGAGACUUUGAGUUUUGGCUAAACACUUGGGAAAAAAACCGAUAUGAAGUGUUUUGUGUUUAUUCAUUUUUAUUUACUUUUCUCUAAACGCUACCGUUUCUUCUUUUUUUUUUCCUUUAUUUUUUUAUCUUGUUUAAUAAAAUCAUUUUAAAGUCAAAUCAUUUGAAAAUAAAGUCAAAAUAAAAUUUUAUUUCAAACUGCCUGAUGGCCAAAAUCACUAUCACAGACUAGUCAUCAAUUUAUGAUAAUCUAAAUAUCUAUCACAAAUCUGUCUCACUAUUAUGAUAGAACAAAUUUUUAUCACAAUUUUAUCAUAUUUUAUUGACAUAAAAAUUUUGUAUCAUAAAUAUGUCAUAUUUAUGUAAAAUAAGAGACUCAGGCCAAGAACCGUCACACAUGUACCUGUCAUCGUAGGUCAUUUUUCUUGUAGUGAAGCUUAAGGACUAAUCUUUUUAAAUAACUAUUAAGCUUCUCAGUAAGGGAAACCUUCCAUUCUAUUUUUCUUUCUUUUCUUUCCAGGAAUUCAAUAGCUGCCUUGUAAAAUCACAAACAAUAUUUUCUCUCUCUAGUAAAAUAAUUUACAUCAACUUGCAUUAAAACAGACACAAUUAUAUAUAUUUAAAUCUACAAGACAAUAUUUUCAAUAGCAAACUUGAACUACUGCAGCCAAUAUUGUUGUAUUUAAUAUAUUCAAAGGCAAGCCUACUCUAAACGUUGUGUAAAGAUCUAAUUGGUUCGUGGAAGGGUACGGAAGUGAAGGUUACUUGGUCAUGUUCUAAUACAAGUUAAAGGUAAUUCUAAUUACCGAACACAAGCAACCUUAAUACAAAUAAUAGCAUGGCUGGAUUGCAUUAUCCUUCUCUAUUGACAUGGCGACUUAAACUUUAGACUCAUUUGUUUGAAUUUUGUAAAUACUUUGUAAUCACUGCCAACAAAAAUAAAAAAGCCUAAAGAAAUAUUGCAAUCUAUUGAAAAAUAGAAACUAUUUCUGUCUUUGUCCCCAUAUGUUCUGCACUGCACCAUGGAAGACAGAAAAAAAAAAGAAGAAACAAAACUCCAAUAUAUUAAAAAAUACUGAAUAACAUCAUUUCAUUUGAUUCCUAAUAUGUACGUCCAACCAGUUCAACUUUAUAAUGCUAAAAUUAAACCAUAAAUUAAAACCAAUUGAAUAAAAAUGGAUAACUUCAGGAACAUGCCUUCACAAAGGAAAUAAGAAAAAGACACCACAAAAGAUUAACUUUCUAUAUGUUUCCAAGACGCUGUAUAGCUUCAAGGCUCCUAGAAACCUAUUAUCUUUCUCCUUUGUCCAUCAUUCAUGUUGCUUCCUUUUCUACCAUUAACCAAAAUUCACAAUUCAUAUAUUUUAUCCUUAACAGCUAUUUCAUAUCACCAAAAAAAAAUUUAAAAAUUAAAUAAAGAAGAAGAAGAAGAGACAGAAAAUAUAAAAGUAAUCAAAGGUUUCUACUUAAUGUAGGGGUCCAUAACCCUACAAAAUGAGCCUUAGCCCUAACCCUCAAAAUCUAUCACAAUGCCCAGACCCUAGCCUUGACCCUCAGAAUCAAACAUAAUCCCACCAAAAUCAAAGAGUUUACCUGCAAUGACCAUGGAGAAGAGCGGAGGAGCGAUAACGAGCAGGUCCAGGAGAGCGAAUAUAAAAUUUAAUAGAGCGGAAUAAGCCAGUGAAUGGGUCUAUGAAAGUAAAGUGAGCGAAACGGCAAUGGAGAGUGAUCCAUUUCAAGCAAAAUAAAGAGAGCUUAAGCAAAAAGAAGAGUCGCGAGAGACCGAAGAUGUGAAGUGAGCGCCUCUACAAGUGUUUGAAGAUAAGGGAAAAUCAUGUUUUAGCAUGAUUGUUUUAAUAUUAACUGUCAUUAAUUAACUAAAAAAUCAAUAUCUCCAAUAAUGACCUUUUUUUCAAAAUGGUCAUUGUAGGUAUACAUUUAUGAUCGUUGUUGAAAUAACGGUCAUUAAAUAUUUUUCGUGACUGUUGUUAAAAAGAACGGUCAUUAUACAUGGGCCGUAUUUAUAUUUUUGUAGUAGUAACUUUUAAUGACCGUUUUUAAACAUAACCGUCAUUAAAAGUAAUAGUUUCAUAUUUAAUGAUAGUUACAUAAAAGAACCGUCAUUAUAAAUCUUGAACUUUUAAUGACCGUUUUUAUAAUAAAACUGUCAUUAUAAACCUUGAACUUUAAAUGACCAUUUUUAUAAAUAACCGUCAUUAAAAGUAAAAUUAUGUUUUAACUCACAUUUAAUGAUGGUUAUAUAAUUGAACCGUCAUUAUAAAUUUCAAAUUUUUAAUAACCUUUUUUUAAAUAACCGUUAUUGAAAGUAAAAUUAUAUUUUAAAGUAACAUUUAAUGACGGUUAUAGAAUAGAACCGUCGUUGUAAAUGCUAGAUAUUAUGACCGUUUAUAUAAUAACGGUCAUCAAAUAUUUUUAAUGACGGUUGUUAAUAAAAACCGUCAUAACUUAUGAGUCAUUGUUUUAAUUUUUUGUAGUAGUGGAAGUUUAGAUGCUGAAGUGCACACGGCAAAUGGAAGGAGAUCUAAUAAAUGUAGUGAUUAUCAUGCACAAACAAAAGCUCCACUGAGUGGUUGUCAAAUGAACUUUUUUUAGUCAGCCAAGUUAAAUUAACGGAAAGUAGAAGGAUAAAAAAUCAACUUUUACAAAUUGCAUUUCCCUCAAUUUACCUUGACAAUGCAAUGAUAUAAAGGCUUAAAAAUUUUCAAAGCACAGCUCCUUGGUGCCACUUGCCAAUGUAAUAACUAAUAACAGUACAUAGUUUGAUAUUCAUCGAGAAGCACAUCAUUUGGAGAAGAAAUACUUUCACACUAAAGUGUUGCACUCGAUUAUUAGGAAUUGACAUUUUAACAAAUUUAAUGUGUCCACAAACAAUAUUAAAUUAGAUGAGUCCUAUUGAAGAACUCGCCAGAAUUGUGUUUUAAAUAUUGUUAUAGUAAGGUUAUAUGAUAAGAUAAUAAAUAUUAAUCGAAAGAGGAUUGUUAGACUUAAUCGAUUAACUGGAAAUGAAAGAUGUGAAAUAUAAUUAAAAAUUAAUGGCUAACUUGUAAAUUCUUUUUGUGCAUUGGACCAAAGAAUCAUAAUAGAAGCAGCAGCAUCUGGUGCCAGGAAGUUUUUCACAGAAAUUUUCCAUUUUUCUAGUUCACUUCUUCCUCUUUUUUGGUGGCUGAAGAGAUUCUUCAUCUUCGUCUUCCUUGUCCUUUUCGAUGUCUACUUCUUCCACUUCAUCCUCAUGCUCGUACUCGCCCCAAUCAUCAUCGCCGUCAUCUCCCUCUGCAUUGGCUUGCCUUGGGUUUCUGUAUAUUCCUUGAUUUGUAGGAGCAAGAUCUGAAGAUUUGAAGCUCUAAAACUGAAGAAAAGAAGCAAAAGCAGCUGCGUUCACAAACCCACUCCACGCGGUUUUAGUUUACGCAGGUUUAAAGUAAAUAUUUGACCACAUUACAAUAUUCUGUGGUGUAAUCUCCAAACUUGGUAUUAUAAUACUUUUGGUAUUGCAAUACUUUAAUACUAUGAGGGGUUCUGGUACAAUAUAGUGAGGAAUACAAACAUGCACGUAGUGAUUAUUAUGCACAUACAUAAGCUUCAUUCAGUAGUUGUCAAAUAAUUUUUAUUUUUUUUUAAAGUUAGUUGAGUUAAACAACGGGAAAGUAGAAGGAUAUAAAUUAAAAUUUACAAGUUGCAUUUCCAUCCAUUUAUGUUGGCAACACAAUGAUAAAAAAGCUAAAAAAAUUUCAAAAUACAUCUCCUUGGUGCCACUUGCCAAUGUAAUAACUAAUAACAAUACAUAAUUUGAUAUUCAUUAAGAAGCAGGUCAUUUGAAAGAAAAACACUUGUAUGGAUUAUGAUCUUCUCUUGAUAUGAGCUCUCUUAUUUUAUAACAAAUUUUGUGACAUCGAUUUUUUAAUAUUAGUGUAUGAUAAGAAUUUAAUUAUUUUUAUUUUUUAAUUUAUUGAUCACCAAUUACCUUAAUUAAAUUUACUCUUAAGAAGAUAAAGAUCAUGAAAUGAUCGUCCUAACAUGAACUGACAUUUUGAAGUGUUGCGCUCGAUUAAUAGGACCUAACAUUUUAAUAAAUCUGAUGUGUCCACAAACAAUAAUAAACUUGGUGAGUCCUAUUGAAGACACCAGAUUUAUUUGUUAAAUAUUAUGAUAGCACAAAAAUAAAACUAUCACCUUUUUUUAUCUAUAUGUAAUCUAAUGAGUUGAGCUAUUGGCACCUCUCUUAAACUCUUAUCAAACCCCUUUGUUUAUGAUUUUACAAUUUUAACCUUAAUUUGAAUUAUUUUAUACAAAACUUAAUUAGUCGCACCCAUCUACUUCAACAACAAUAUCAUCAACAAUUAGGUUUGUUUAUGACCUAGAUGUAGGAUCUCAGUUACAAACCAUUUAUUAAAUACCAUCAAAUGAAUUAUUCAAAAAGAACAAUUUUGAAUACAAGAUAAAGACUAAUUUAAAGUAAAAUAACUCUAAAAGUAUACAACAUUUUGUAAAUGAAAAAAAAAAGGUUUCACUCUUAUUCAAAGUAUAAAGUUAUGGUUUCGGUGGUUAGAAAAGAAAUCACUCCAAAACUGAAUUUGAUAAGUUCAAGUGCCAGACUUACGAUGUUGAAUAAGAACAAUUAUUAUAAAUUUAAAAUAAAAGACAAAUGUCAUUGAUCUUGUAAGAGUUUCAUAGAGAGAGUGUUGUGAAAAUUUUAAUAUACUCGCAAGUGCACGAAUCUAGAGAUAGAAAAGUGGUAACGAGGUCGAUCCCACAGGGAUUGUUAUAAAUUGAAAAGUCUAAUUUAAAUCUAAAAUUAAUAUUAAUUCUAACCUAGUUGAGCAAAUUGAGUUUUAAGAGAAAUUAAACUAAUUAAACUAAGAAAACAAUUAAAGUAAAUGAGAAUUUAAUGAGAUAAAAAUUACCAAGGUUUCGGAAUCCACCACUAUUCAAUUAGUAAUUAUCUAAAUAUUAAUUAAUCCCCAAUUUUAGAGUGACAACUCGAAAUCAAUCUAUGUCAUCUCAUGGAUAUAACAAUUAAGCCCAAGUAAUUAAAUCUAAUGUAGGUUCUUUUUCUGCUUAAUAAUAUGACAUCUAAGAAUCUCAUGUAAACAUAUUGAAUAACAAAGAGUCAAAGUUUCCUAAGCACUCCAUGUAAACAAUUUAAUGAAAGACAUAAAAUCAAAGAUAAUCAUGUAUAAACUUUAUAGAUCCAAGCAUAGAAUUAAUCGAAUAUUAAUCCUAACAAUCAAUAAUGCAUGACAGAAUUGAUGAAAAGAUUUUAUUAACAUCCAAUUAAUCAUGUGAAAUAAAAACCAUAAUCAUCAAAGAACAUAUAUAGGGAAUUAAUUAAAUAAAAAGAUAAUUAUUUUAUUGAAUAGGGUUUCAUCCUUAACCUCAGUGUAAGAAAAUUAGCUAGACAUACUUGAAUUGAGAGCAACAAAAGAAAUAAAAUCAGCCAUGGGAAGCCGAAAUAUUGCUGCUGCGGAUUGCUCUCUUCCAAAGCCGAAUUCUCCUCCACUGGCGGCUACUCCCCCCAAAAGCCAAGAGCUUAGCUUUCUUAUAUAGCCUUUAAAAUGGGCCCCACCUUGUCAAUCCUAAAGCCUAAAGGAUUUGGCCUUUUAUUUUUCUUUACUCUCACUCACGUGCUCAUCAAUUAAGCUUGUACUAGGAUUUCCUUUUUCCAAUUGUAAAAGCCAAGUGUGGGCCCCUUUAAGUUGCUUUCCAUCCAUUUAUCUUCUUUGUCCGCAUGUGCAUGGGUAAAUGAAUUUGUUGAAUUCGGUUUCUUGGCUUGAUUUCCACAUGCAUGUACGUCUAAUUCCUUCCAAAAAUAAAUUAAUCUUUAAUGCUUACAAAUUGAACUCCUUUAUGCUCUUUUUAUCCAUAAUCUCCAAUUCAUUCCCUAUUCAAUAAAAUAAUUCAAUUAAUUAAAAAUAACAAAUAAAUAUAACUAACAAUUAUUUAAUUAAUGGUAAAAUAUGUAUGUAUUAUAUGCUCAUCAGAGAGACAUGAAAUUUACUGAGAUUUUUGUUGAGAUAGAUAAUCGAAAUGUAAUUUGUAGAAUUAAAUAGAGAUUAUUUUUCAAUGGAAUUUUACGAGUACAUUCGAGGGGCGUCAACAGUCCAACUCUAAUCUAAUAAGUAAUUUCUACGCAAGAGACACGAUGAGGACCCACAAACACAACAGAAUUGGAUAUCCCGAUAUCUUAAAAUGAGGAAUAUAAUAAAUCGCCUUGCAAGAGGCUUCACCAAGAGUCAAGAUAUAGUAGUUAAGCACAAUCUCUCUCUCCCUCUCUCUGUCUGUUUCCUCUCUGUUCUAUUCAAUGAAAAUGGAGGCUACACUUUGGGCUGUGGCUUUCUCCAUUGCUUUCUCUACAGCUAUUCUAGCCGUAGCAUGUGCCUGGUGGAUGCUACUGAAUUGGGUAUGGCUAAAGCCAAAGAAACUAGAAAAGUUCCUCUGAAAGCAAGGAUUCUCCGGAAACUCCUACAAAGUAUUUCAUGGAAACUACUCGCCCAACAAGGCGUUGAUGCCACCUGGUGGAUUGGUUCUGUAGCAUUUUUUUUUUUACUUUAAUUUGAAUUUGAGAAAGGGCUAAAAAAGUUGAAUUAAGUUUCAACGCUCUUCUAUUUUUAAAAAUAAAUAAAUAAAAUAUGGUGUUCACCUGUUUUUAAAAAUCAUUUUCUUCGCAUUACGUGUCUUUUAACGCGUUAUAAAAACAUUCAUCUCGGAAGAAGAGUAAUGCAUACUUAAAAAAAAAAAUUGAAAAAACUAAAGGAUCCUUUUUUUUUUAAUUAUAACAAGAUGAAGAUGCCAUAAAAUAAAAUAAAUUUUGCCUUUUUUUUCUAAGAAUAUUAAAAACCAAAAACGCCCAUAAAACCAGACGAAUAACUUGUCCUAAACCAGUGGGUUUUGAGUUAUUUCAAACUUCUCUCAUUUUUACAUCAAUAUUUUUUUCUGUCGGCAGUAAUUUUCCCAGUGAAAUCCAUUUUUUAAUAAUGUUAUGAGAGCUGCUGAUAUUCAACAUAUUGUAACCUUGGUUCUAUCAUUUUGGACUUCAAUUGAAGAUAUAGAAUAUUAAAAAAUGUGUACUUUAGUUACUUUUUGUAUUUCUUGUUGGAUAUGUAGAGACUAAUGAUGUGUUCACUUAUUGGAAAUGAAAAUAAAAAUUAAGGAAUAGAAAUGAAUAAUUUUUUUUACUUGCUUAAAUAAGAGGUGGAAUGAGAAUUAAUAUGGUGGGCUCCACUUAAAAUUGAGAAUGAUUACUAGAGUUAUUAUUCUCACGGAGAGGUGGGAAUAGAAUUCUCAUUCCCUAAAAUGAUUAUAUUACCCCACUUAAAUCUUACAAUUUUCAUUUUAUCCUUCAUUAUUAUUAUUAUUAUUAUUAUUAUUAUUAUUAUUAUUAUUAUUAUUGUUAUGGAUAAUAAUUAUAAUAUUAUUGCUAUUAUAAUUAUAAUAAUUACUAUUGUUGUUGUUGUUGCUGCUGCUGUUACUACUACUACUAUUAUUAUAGUAAUUUUAUUAUUAAUAUUAAUUAUAAUGAUUAACAAUAUAAUAAUUUUGCUAUAAUAAUAAUAAUAAUAGUAGUAGUAGUAGUAGUUAUUAUAAUUAUAAUAGUAAUAAUAUUAUAAUUAUUAUCCAUUAUAAUUAAUAUUAAUAAUAAAAUACUAAUAAUUAUUAUUAUUACUACUACUACUACAACAAUGAUAAAUUAAGGUCAAUUUAAUAACCUAUAACUAUUCAUUUUAAUUUUAAGAUAAAAUAAACAUAUUAAUGACAAUAUAGUUCAUUCCAAUUCCGAUUUUCAUAUCUAAAAUAAAUAAUUUAUUAUGAUUCUCAUUGCCCAUUUCGAUUCCACUCCAUUCCGAUUUUAACUCAUUCCGAUUACUAAUUAGUAAACACACUAUAAUAUUAUUGCAAAGUAUUGCAAGAUUCUAAUCCGUAACCCUUAUUGCUAAAAUUACAGGUAAGAAUUCUUUCAUAUGGAUGGGUCCAAGACCAAACAUACACAUCACAGACCCUAAAAUGAUAAGGGAAAUUUUUUUGAAGUAUGAUAUCUUUCAAAAACCGAGAAGCCCACUUGCGAAGUUGCUGGUGAACAGUGGUUUAAAGUUAGAAAAAUCGCCACUCCAGCUUUCCAUCAUGAUAAGUUGAAGGUUCGUUUUCACCUUUAUAGUUCGUUUAAUCACACACAAACACAGACCAUUUUCAAUAACACACACCAUUUUCAAUAUGCCUGUUCAUAUUGUUACCUGAUCUAUAACAAUGUUUGACAAUCUCUUCCAUUUUUUUUUCAUAAGAAUAUGUUACCUACAAUUCAUAAGUGCUGUAACGACAUGCUGAGGAAAUGGGAGAUUUCGGUUUCAAAGGAUGAGUCCUGUGAGUUAGAUGUCUGGCCUCAUAUUCAAACUCUGACAGCAGAUGUGAUUUCUCGAACAGCAUUUGACAGUAGCUUUGAAGAAGGAAGAAAAAUAGUUGAAGUGCUACGGGAGCAAAUUAAUCUUCUAAUUCAAGCUUCAUUUUUUGCUUAUAUUCCAGGAUGGAGGUAAUUUUAAUUAUUAAUCAACUUAAAUUAUUCCUCGUAGUACUCUUGGUGACCUGAGCUGUGUUAAUUUUUUAAAGAUAUUAUAUCAGGUGUGUAUUUAUAAAACUACAUAAGAUUAGAAGUGGUCUUCUAAAUAAAGAAUCCUUAUUAUUAUAGUGUAGAAAAGUGUUGUCAAAUGUUUUAGCAUAUAAAUAAUUUCCGCGUGCCUUGCACUUAAUUAUGAGAAUUGUUUAUUGGUAGGUUUGUGCCUAAUAGACUGAAUAGAAAAUUGAAAAGCAACCACAAUGAAACGGGAGAACUGGUAAAGGGUAUCAUUAAUAAAAGAGAGGAAGCUCUGAAAGUUGGAAAAGCCAGCAAUAAUGAUGAUUUAUUGGGUAUCUUGAUGGAAUCAAAUCACAAAGAGAUUCAGGAGAAGGAAACUGGAUUGAGUAUUGAAGAGGUGAUUGAAGAGUGCAAGCUGUUCUAUCUAGCUGGGCAGGAAACCACUGCAUCAUUGCUUGUGUGGACAAUGGUUUUGUUAUGCAUACAUCCUGAAUGGCAAGAACGAGCAAGGGAAGAGGUUUGUCAAGUUUUUGGAAAUAGAGAACCAAAAUUUGAAGAGCUGAACCAGUUGAAAGUAGUAAGCAAUCUUACUCUUACUUAAAUAUCUAUAGCUUUUCUAAUUUGUUGAAAAUUUUGGGAAGACUCAAUUUCUUGUUAGUUAAUUUUCAGGUGUCAAAGUCUGGAUUUCCAAAAUAUAAAUUUGAACUACGAUUAGGACUCUAGGCUGGUGUAGAAUUAUUUUUAUUCUAAUCAACGAUCAAAUUUGGAAUUUGGAAUAUCCAAACAUCCGCACUUGAAAACUACUUCUCCUUAAAUCGAUACCACUUGAAUUUCUUAACCUGACCAGUGUUUGUCAAUAUUUUACUAUCAAAGAUAGUAGAAGCCACAUAAAUUAGAGAAAAUCUUGGGAGGUGCCAACAGUACUGUGACAUCGUACCACAACAUCGGAAUUAUAUUCUGUGAUUUUCACAAUUAAUUAACCUUAAUAAAUUUUUUAUCAGUCACUGAGGACAUUGGAUUUCCUUGUUUGAAGAAAUAAUUCCAGUCUAUGGUACAGGUAAGCGAAUUGAGUUCUAUACAUGGUACUUAGAUUAUGCAGUAGUUUUGGCCAUGGGGGUUGGUUUUUAGAAAUGAUAAAACCUACGAAAAUGUCUAGGGUUCAAAUCCCUUCUUAUACAGGGAAUGGGAAGGGAUUUGUUAUAUAUGUAUGUAAUAUUUUAAAAAAUCAUAAUCUAAAAUUAACAAAUAGUGAGCUUUUUUGGCAAACCAAAAGACCGGAAAUCCAGUGAAAUUUAAAACCUUAACUAAUUUUUUUUUUUUUUUUUUUGCCCUCCCAAAUGAUUCCGUUUUCUGUUGCAGGUAAGCCAAAUUCUGUACGAGGUACUGAGGUUAUAUUCACCAGCACCUCUGCUUACUCGAACUAAUGUUAAGGAGAUUAAGCUAGGAGAAAUUGUUAUACCACCUGGAGUUUCACUUUCAUUGCCAAUAAUGCUUGUUCAUCAUGAUCAUGAAUACUGGGGCGAUGAUGCAAAAAAGUUCAACCCGGAGAGGUUUUCAGAAGGAGUCUCAAAGGCAUCGAAGAAUCAAAUUUCAUUCUUCUCAUUUGGUUG